Molecule: long non-coding RNA, 100681 nt
Filed under: Linum usitatissimum (flax)
Lineage: Eukaryota; Viridiplantae; Streptophyta; Magnoliopsida; Malpighiales; Linaceae
Description: long non-coding RNA (LUSI_LNC005795)
Source: RNAcentral
UUUUUUUGAGCUCGUUUUGUCAGGAAUUGCAGAAGAACUUGGAUUGUAUGGAAGAAGCGGUGGAUGAAGAAGAUGAAGAAAAAGGAAUAUGUGACAGAUGGAGAGGAAAGUACAGAGAAAUGAGAGUGACGAUGAAGAUGAAUGGGAGACAGUGAGAGCAGAGGGAGAGAGAAAGAGAGUUUGUUUUUGGUCCCUCUGCAGGUUACAGUGAGAGAAGGGAAAAUCUGCUUGCAUUGCAAGAAACCAGAAUCAGAACCGAAACUUAAGGGGGGAUUUUCUGGUGGGUUACUAUGUUUGUAGGAAAAAUUCGAGCCGAGUUGGAACUAGGUGCUUGUACGCGCUCGGCAAUUAUCGGGUUGACUGAACCUAUGUCGAUUUGUGUGUUUUAUUAUUAUUUAAAUGUGAUGAAAUGUAUGAUAAAACAUUUUAAUUCUUUCACAGAGUUUUGUAUAGUCGAAAUUAACAAAAUGCAAUUCUACAUGAUAACUUAACACACAUAAAGCAAGUCAAUUUGAAAAUUUUCAACACUAACAUAACACCAAGUAAAAUUAAUUUUUAAUUUCAUUUGACCAUUAUUUAUAAGGGUUAUCAUAGUGAAACUUGAAUUUUAGUCAUUUCCAACAUGUAUGUCAAAUAUUAGCCGAUUUACAAAAUUUGAAAUUUUCUUAUGAAAAUGGUCAAAUUUCCUUAGUAUAACACACGAAAAUUGACCGAUUUUGACAUGCAAAUUAAAACAUUUUAAAUUCACUAAUAUUUUACAUAUAUAUUGAUAAUGGGUAAAAAUUAAUAUUUCACCAUGUUAAUCAUUUUAAAUAAUAGCUAAAUAAAAUUAAAAAAUAAUUUUUUUAAUUUGGAGGAGUCAUCAUAUCCUUAUUGUCAGUCUAUUUUUGUACAUAAAACAAAUAAAAUUGGGGAUUUUAAUAAGUACAAAGCAUUUGGAAUUUUAUGUGGUCCAUAGCUUAAUGUGGGUUGUUGGUAUUUGAAUCAUGUGUAACUAAAUUUGUUGUUGAUUAUGUAAUGCUAUGUGUAGCAAUUCUCAAUACUUCCAUCACUAGAGUAUAAAGAAAUCCCAGUCGUUUGUCGAUCCCUGAUCUUAAUACUCGGACGAGGCUCUUCUUCCUGAAACUCCAUGACCGUGUGGUUUAACUUCUCACCGCCUUUCGAACGAGGAUCGCACUUACCACCAUUACUAAACCCUCUCUUCUGCUCACCACCAUUCAUCAUCUUCAUAAUGUUCAUACCUCCUCCAUGCUCUCCAUGCUCAUCCUUCUGUUGAGAAGGAGAAGGGGCAUAAGGAUUAUACGGCCCACUAUUACCCUCACCGGGCUGCUUCUGACGAGGCCCAACAGGCCCUUCACGCUCUCCCUCCAUGGGCCUUCCAAACAUUGGAGGUGGAAGCCCAAACUCGAUAUCAUCACCCUGGCCCACCUUCGAGCUGUGUUGGUUUUUGCUCUUCUUGCUGCUCUUAUGACUAUCCUUUCUAUCCUUCUUGAGUUGUUGCCUGUUGCACAGCCGGCCGAGGCAGCAGGCUAGCCCCGAGACCACGAUGAUCAAUUCAAGAGCUUCUAAGCAGAUACCAUGAUACAAUUCUUUGUCAAAGUUCACACAAAUCGGUACAUGUCUCAACUGAUAAGCUUCACUCCAUUCUCAAGAAAGGAGAUCACAACUCUUUAGCUCAUAAACAAUGUAUCAUACAAUACUAACAAUUUAUUUUUCUCCUCUCAAGCUUUGUUAAAGAGAGCCAAUGAGAAUAUCUCUUCCUUUAAACAAUGUAUCAUACAAUGCUGAUAACUUGUUUGUAAAUAUUAUCUGACAUGCAAAAGAUAAUUAAAGCAGAUGCAGAGAAUAAGAAACUACUGGAAACAGUUGAUCGAACUUGGAAAUGAAGAAUAACAAACAUUCAAUACAACUAGCGAGUCGUCUUCAAAACUGUGAAGUGACAGCAAUAAGAACACCACUCACAUCCCAAUCCAUAAACUAACCGGAGUCUGAAACACAUAACUCAAAACAGACGAGAAACCAAAAAGGAAAAGAACACCCUAGUAACCGCCCUUGAGAUCGUUGGUAACAUCGUAAGGGAUGGGAGUGACAGUCUCCAAAGUAACACCACCUUCAACCAUGAAACCAGGCUUGGGACCCUGUGGUUGCCUCUUGGUGCUGAUCACCUCACCUCUUGCCUUGGCAGCUGCCUUGAGCUCGUCAUUCUUCUUCUUCCUGAGUGAGAGCUCCUCGGUGCACCUUGAUGGCAGAACAUGCUCGAUCCUGACGUGGAUCCUCUUCCUCAAGAUUUUACCACGGACCUGAGAUCAAUCACAAAGGAAUCAGCUUUCAGAAUGUCCAAACCAAACAAAAAUAACACUGAUAAGUGCAAAUAUUAUGGUAUAAAAAUGAGAACCCAAAUGUGAAAAAUACUAAACCUAUUCAAAUUAUAGGUUCACAAGGUGGAAAAACGUUUGUUCCCAAUCAAGUAAGGGUGGUUAAUAUAGUGACAGAGUUCAUUCAAGAAACUCAAAUAUAUUCGCAUUAGUUUUCAAAACAAUGGAAGUGCAAACCAUGUUAUAAAUUGAGAACGAAAAUGAGAACAAGACUAUCCAAACUUUAAGCAAUUCAGAUUCUAAGUACACAGGGUGGAAAAAUGUUUGUUCCCAAUCAAGCAAGGGCGAUUUCUGUAGUGAAGUGUUCAAUAAAGAACCUGAAAUAUGUUAACAGGACAGGCCAAAAAUUUAAUCUGGUUCAAGCAAAUGGUUAACAAAGUAGAGAAUCGAAUUCGUAAGUAUCAACAAAGAUCAAGGACAACAUUCAGAGCAUUUCACUUUAGGUAAUUAUCAUGCAUCAUUACUCGUUACUGAUAGAAAUUAGGGUUCACUUCAAAUCUUAUUGUGAAUAACCGCUAUAGAUUGCUUUCUGGCAAUACAUCGAACACCUAAUAGGCAAAAACAUAAACACAUCCACAAUACCAAAAGAAUAGCACAUACAAUCCAUGAAACUAAAUCCUAACCAAAGCUUCAACAAUCAAUGGGCAGUAAACAUUUCCGAUGUGAGUUAAUCGAGUUAUACUACAGAGGCGAUUGGCGAAGUAUUUUUAUACCUGCUUGUUCAUCUCAACGCCGAUGGCGCGCUUUGUGACGUUCCAGACGCGACCGGUGCGGCCGUGGUAGAAUUUGUGAGGCAUACCCUUGUGGAUGGCGCCGUUCACCUUGACGUCGACAUAGUCGCCGACCUUGUAGGUCCUAAGGUAGGUGGUCAGGGGGAUGUAACCCUUCUUCCUGAAUGGCCUCGAGAAGAGAUCUCGAGUUCUGGAGCGGAGACCAUGUCCAGCCGGCAUUUUUCACUCUUGCUUCGUCUUCUUCGCUGAGAGCGGCAGUGGCUGAAGGAAGAAUGAGGCGCUAGGGUUGUGCGAAUAUAAAUACAGAACCCGUAGUUUUGUUCUUAGGGUUUAGUUUAUGGGCCUGACUAUUGGGCCAUAAAUUUGGGCUCCAGGCGUUUCCCGUGUUGGUUAUUCACUUGCCGCGGGUGAGCUGAAGUUUACAGCGUUCAAUUUCAGCUCAUUAUUUUUCCGGCGAGCUUAAUUUUAAAUAUAAGUUGGAAAAUUGAAAAUUGUGUGGAGCUUCAAUCAGUUCAAAUAUUCGAAUUUGACUCGUUAUCCAUUAGUUCGAUUCGAAUUUCACUUUAUAAAAAUUUAUGGCGAUCCCGAUUAAAGUUUGAAUUAUUUAAUCGGUUUCUUAUCUUCUGAAUCAAAAUAGCUAAAAUUAAAAAACUAUGCAAUCUUAGUAUUUUGUUAGAUCUUUUAAAUUAUAUAUGAUUUAUAAUCUACAAUAUUAAAAUGAAACACCAGUUGCAUAACGAGUCUGAGCUCUUAAGUUAAUGUUCGAGCCAUCAAUUGUAUAACGAGUUUGAGCUCUCAAACUAAUAUUUCUAGUUAAAAUUGACUCAAAGUUAAAAUUUGUCACAAAUGAAUUUUCCUCAAAACAAAUCUGCUUAUGAACAACGGUUCGAUUUCUAUAUUAUAAGGAGGAAUCCAUAGGGAGAUUAUUAUAUUUUUUUGGCGCCAAUCUAAGGGGCAAUUGUGUGGAAGCAAGCAUAUGCGGGCAUCAAACGGGUAGUGAUACCAAGACUCAUCUACUCUACUAGAAGAGCUCUCUUCAUGAUUGUCCUCGAACUUUGUGUUACGACGGUAGUUCAUAUUGAUUCGGUAGAGUCAACCCGUCUACUUCUCUCGUCCAUCAUAAAUGUUCAUAUGAGUAUGCUACUCCACAUAUUUUCUUGCCGAAUAGCAUUUAUACAUUUGAACAAAAUCUAGUUCGUUCGGUGUUAGAAUUUAGGAUAAAUACAAGAACAAUUGACAUGCCUAUAUUACGGCAUGUAAGACUUGUAAAUGUUAAAUUUACGUUACGUUAUCUCUCGUCUCGUUGAGUAUUUUUCGUUCUUUCGUGUAUCAAGACAUGAUUAUUUUCUUGAUACCAAGGGAAAAAAGAAAAAACAAACUCAGCCCAUCUCAGCUACCGCCUCGCUGGUUAAAAUGUCUACCUCCACCGGAACCGAGGCCGACGGCGCUGUACCGCCGCCCGAAUUGCCGCAGAACUUAAUCCCCGGCAUCCCAAACGACGUCGCUUUGAUCAUCAUUGCUCGUGUCCCUAGGGCGCAUUUCUUGUCCCUCUCCCAGGUCUCCAGGUCCUUCCGCUCUCUGCUCAAAUCGCCGAUCUUCUACGCCACCCGCACGAUCAUUCGAUCCCCGGAGCCUUGCCUCUACCUCUGCAUCCGCAUCUCCGGCGGCGCUCAGAAUCACUUCCAGUGGUUCACUCUCUGUUCACAGCCUAGAAAUCGGUGGCGGAAUCAUGUCCUAGCCCCGCUCCCAGCCACCCCUUCGACACUCGUCGGCUCCGCAUUUUCCGCCUACAGCACCAAGAUCUACGUAAUCGGCGGAUCAAUCUCCGACGUCCCGACGGCGCUCGUCUGGGCUCUCGAUUGCCGGACUCGCAUGUGGUCGGCCGUCCCCAGCAUGCAGCUCCCUCGAGAAUUCCCCGCCGCAGGCGUGGUAGACGGCAAGAUCUACGUCAUCGGCGGGGCCGCCCGUGGGACCCCACCACAAACGGAAGAACAGCGCGGGUGUUUUUUCUCUUCNNNNNNNNNNNNNNNNNNNNNNNNNNNNNNNNNNNNNNNNNNNNNNNNNNNNNNNNNNNNNNNNNNNNNNNNNNNNNNNNNNNNNNNNNNNNNNNNNNNNNNNNNNNNNNNNNNNNNNNNNNNGUCCUUCCGCUCUCUGCUCAAAUCGCCGAUCUUCUACGCCACCCGCACGAUCAUUCGAUCCCCGGAGCCUUGCCUCUACCUCUGCAUCCGCAUCUCCGGCGGCGCUCAGAAUCACUUCCAGUGGUUCACUCUCUGUUCACAGCCUAGAAAUCGGUGGCGGAAUCAUGUCCUAGCCCCGCUCCCAGCCACCCCUUCGACACUCGUCGGCUCCGCAUUUUCCGCCUACAGCACCAAGAUCUACGUAAUCGGCGGAUCAAUCUCCGACGUCCCGACGGCGCUCGUCUGGGCUCUCGAUUGCCGGACUCGCAUGUGGUCGGCCGUCCCCAGCAUGCAGCUCCCUCGAGAAUCCCCCGCAGCAGGCGUGAUAGACGGCAAGAUCUACGUCAUCGGCGGCUCCGCCGUCGACACCCGAUCACAGUCCAAGCACUGGGCUGAAGUGUUCGAUCCAGCGACUCAGAAAUGGGACACCCUCAAGAGCCCGAUCGAGGACGAGUUCCCACUGCGGCCGAAAUGGAUGCACGCCAGCGCAGUAAUCGGCGCCGGCGGGACGGCUAGAAUCUACGCGAUGGCGGAUCGGCACGGAUUCGUUUACGAGCCGGGGAAUGGGAAAUGGAGGAUGGCGGAGAAGUGGUUGAAUCUAGGGUGGAGGGAGAGGGCGUGUGUGGUGCAUGAUGUUUUGUACUGCUAUGAUUACUGGGGGAAGAUGCAGGGGUUUGAUUUCGAAGCUGGUGGUGGGAGGGGAAUGUGGAAGAAGGUGAGAGGGUUGAGGAGGCUGACGAGGUAUUUGGUCGGAGCGACGAUGGCGAAUGUGGGAGGGAAGUUGAUGUUGGUUUGGGAAGGGAUGGUGAUAGGGAAUGGGAUGGAGAUUUGGUGCGCUGAGAUUGAGGUGGAGAAGAGAGGAGGAGAGUUAUGGGGGAAUGCUAUCUGGUUUGAUGUUGUUUGUAAGGUUCCUCCUGGGUCUUCCGUUGUUCAUUGCUUGGAUAUGACUCUGUGAUUUCGAAUUUUUGAUAUGGUAAGGUCGGAUAUGGUGGUGUUUGUUCUGAUUGUUGUUGUUGUUCUUCAACCUGAGUUUCUGUUCAAAGGUUUGUUUGCCGUGUUAGAUUUGAUUGACACCUGCAGAUUUUUGCAGAACAGUCGGGAUGGAGCAGUGGAGUAGUGGCAUCAAGGAUAAACCAGUGGAUUUUCGCAGAACAGUCAGGAUGGAGCAGUGGAGCAGUGAAGAUUUUCAAGCUCAAAUAUUUUGAACCCCUUUUCGAAGAGACUGUUGUGUAGUUUUUGAAAUAGGAGUUUCAUUUGGUAGGCAAUGGACAAAGAUAAUGCUGAACUCGUCGAAAGACAAGCGAGUGUUCGAUAAAGAAACUGGAGACAAUCAUCUACAGGGGUGCAUAACAGGGCUAGAAGAUAGCGAAAUCAAAUGGAAUGCUGGUCAAAAGUGAUAUAAUCCAACGCAGAGUACCAUAUUCUAGUACAGUAUAUUAAGGCAUGGGUAAAAAAGGUCCUAGAACAAAGAAGGGCAUUCUCCCUAGAGAAGGAAAGCGAUAAAACUAGAUAAUAUUCACCCCUGCAUCCAGAACUGCCAAUCCCCCACAAAAUGCUGCUGCUCAUCUCUCCCAGAUUUAAGCCUGCAACAUAAUCGACCGAAGAAUCCCGAUAUCAGUACUCAUGCAACACAUUCAAGACGAGACGAGCAUAUUUGCGCGUAACCAUUAUCUCUAGUUACCUUGUUAGCGAUGUUGUUGGAGAGCCAGUCCAGACCUUCGUAAAGACCCUCACCAGAAGUAGCACAGGUGCUCUGAAUGUACCUGGAAUGGUCAAAGAUGUUAACAUUAGUUUCGAGGAAACAUAUGCGGAGAACCAAAAAAACACCGACAAACAAGACAAGAGAAUGUUUUACCAGUGACGCUGACGGAGGGAGUGGAGGCCAAGCUUGUCGGUGAUCUCAGCAGCGUUCAUUGCAUUUGGCAGAUCCUGUUUGUUAGCGAAAACAAGCAGCACUGCAUCUCUCAGCUCAUCCUGUAAGCAAUGGCCAACAUGGAUUAGUGUCAUUGGUACUUCACCUCACAUCAAUAAUUCAUACAUCAGAGGCACAUAACAACAGCAAUAAAAGAGAAUCAUACUCGUACAGAACAAUAAGCAAAAGAGAAAUGAACUAGUAAAGAUAGGCAUAAGAGCUGAGUUGUCCUCACAAUGGAUUUUUUAGAGAUAGUAUACUAAGCAGUAAGAAUUAGACAUGUACUCAGUUGGGAUAUAGAUUGCAAGCAGCAAAAAUGCUAAUAAUGAAACGUGUUUAUUUCAGCAUUAGAUAAAUUGAAAGCGAAAAGGAAGCACAAGCAUUAAGCAGCACAACUAGUUUCUUAUAUUUCAUUGGCCAGCAGAGCUAAAUGGCCAAUAACUGCACGAGUAAUUAUAAGUUCAAUGUUUAUACACAAUUACGGAAAACAAAAGGAUUUACCUCAUUCAACAUCCUGUGCAACUCAUCUCUGGCCUCAACAACACGAUCUCUGUCAUUGCUGUCCACAACAAAGAUGAGACCCUGAGUGUUCUGGAAAUAAUGCCUCCACAAUGGACGGAUCUAUACAUGAAAACAUCCACUUUUCAUCAAUAAUUAGACUGUCAAGUAAGAACUCCCACCAACUAAACCAGGCGGCAGUGCAAAAAUAUUACAUCCAAAAGAGCGCAUCGGGGAAAAUCACAUACCUUGUCCUGACCCCCGACAUCCCACACUGUGAAGCUAAUGUUCUUGUAUUCAACAGUCUCCACGUUGAAUCCUGAAGAUCAGAAGCAAACAUUAGCCUGAGAGUCAUAAUUCCUAACCAGCCGCCUAUACAUCUGAGAUCUUUAUAAACAAUUACACCAAUGUCUAAAACUAGCACGUGAUCACCAACCAUCAAAACUUUUGAAAAAUGGAUGAGUUGAUCUCACAAAAUGAUGACAGAAUCACAUCCACUUAUACCAAUGCACAACAAUAACGGUUUCAGCUACACAGUAUUAGCCUUGGAAAUUGUACAUCACAACAGAAAGGAUGCUUACCGAUGGUGGGAAUGGUGGUGACGAUCUCUCCGAGCUUGAGCUUAUACAAGAUGGUGGUCUUACCAGCCGCAUCGAGACCAACCAUGAGAAUCCUCAUCUCCUUCUUGGCAAACAGCCGGCUGAACAGCUUAGUGAACGUCAACCCCAUUUUUCUCUUCCUUUGAUGUUCUGAUCCCUGCACACACAAUCGAAUUACACCCUAAACAUCACCUCACUGAAAACUGAAUCGAAUCACCAACUACACAGAUCCAAUCCAACAGAUCCGCGCGCCAAAUGCGAUGAGCUCACACAAGCUAACAAAAAAGAAACGAAAUCACUAGCUCUGAAAUCCAGAAUUCCAGCAGCUAAUCAGAUCUAACCCGAUCUCACGACGAGGAGGCCAUCAGAUCAGAACGAUGCCGCGAAACGAAAUUGACAAAAGAGAAUCAACGUCGCGUAAUCAGAUCAGGAAAGUAUAGUUAAAUCGAGAGAGGUGGAAAUCGAGAUCGUACCUUCGCAGACGGGAUCGGCGAUGAGGUGAAAAACGCGAACAGAGAGAUGAAAAAAGAAACUGAAGCUUUGAAACGAACGGGUGAGAGAAAUUUGGAAAGAUGGGAGGAAAGGUUUAUAAAGGCGAGGGGAUUUGAAGGGAAUUGACGGGACUACCCUUGUGAGAUGGAAUAAUUAACUAGAUUAGUGUCUACGCGAUCAUUGCGUAUGGGAUGCUGCCACGUCGGUGGGCUGAAUGAAUGAAAAAUGGGGAUUAAAUGUUCCAUCACAUUAAUUCUGAUGGCUAAUCUUGUUCCUUAAUCACGAACAAUCAUUAAAUGGUCGUUUAGUAGAUCAAUGUCUCAAAAAAUCUCUAUUCAAUAGCUAUAUUUAUGAAGCGGAAGGAUACCUCCUUUUGAAAGGUGAAUUAGGGUUUUCAUAACCCUUAAGCUUUUGGCGUCUAUCGCCGUUUUCCUUCCACCGAACCUUCAUCCGAUAAAAUUAUCAUCGCCGUCCCUAUCACGACUACACAAUCAAGGUCAGCCUAGGGUUUCAGAAACCCCUUGGCGUUUUUCUUUAGGGAUCGAUCGCUGCAUCACUACGUCGCUCUCCUCCCCUUACUCAGCAUCGUCGUCGCUCACCCGACACCUCCCUCUUCUCCUCCCGUUGAUCACCAUGGCGAGCACUCCGACAGCUGUUGCAGAAAUAGUAAUGCAACGACAGCUUGAUGCGCUGCAGCUAAUAGAGCGGAGAACGAGAGCCCCUCCAAACAAAUGAAGAGUAUUCAGGAAAACUCAAAAUACCUGACAACGGCAGACCUGGACAAUAGGUCCUGCCUUGAGGAGUGAUCCGUCGGCGAAAACUCACUCGAAAUAUCGCCCUCUUCGAGUGUUUGAUGUUUUGGGUGUCCCCAAUUUAGGCUCUACCGGUCGUUUAUUGAUUUCUUAGUUUUGAAUGUGUCUUUCUGCUUGAACAAUUAUUUCUUAUUUGCCUUCACUUUUGUUGUCGGGUAGAGUUUAGUGUUUGGGAUGUUAACCCGUGUUCAAGGGUUUCUAAUAUAGAGGUGAUUGGAAGCACAAAAGUAGUAACUCAAACUACUCUCUACUCGUUAUGAGUGGUAAUCCUCUCUAGAGAUUGUUAGACAAGUUGAAUAUCAUUUUACUAAGAAUAUAAUAAUAUAAGUAGAUCAAAUUCGAAAAAAAAUCAUAGAUCAAUAUCCAAAAAAAUGCAUAAUGAUGUAGCCUUGUUAAAUAGCUAUAUCAUGAUCAAGCUGACCAAACAAAGCCCUUUGCUUGGUUCAAUUCCAACUUUCUUUCGGCUUACAAGAAGAUGAAAUAAAACUACACGUAAAGUUGAUAUUAACAUAUGGUCAUGUCUUAACAGUUAAGCUUGAUGUGGGUUGAAUAGUUUAUUUAGGAAUGUAUUAUUAAACCUUGUUACAAUUAUUAGCUUCCUUAAUCAAGACCCCCAUUUGAAAAAAUCAUUGUUAACCCAUAAUAAUCACAACCAAUUAAUUGCAACUAAUCUUCCCCAUUUUUUGUUGGUGGAUCACCGUCUCGGAACUAACAUGUUCGGCUUUGGAUCAUUCGCGAUUCUGUGGCAUGCUGAGCUACCAGUUUGGACCAACUCGGUAAACUAAUUGUAGGACGUUGUUGGAAGACAAUGCACGAACUUUUCGGUUCGAAGAGCUACUAAAUACGACAAUGUAGAAGAAAGAUAUGAAUGCACUAUCUCAGCACGACCAGGAAAAUAUAAAAGAGUAUGUCUGUAAUUCGUAGAACUUUGCAUUCAAUUUCUGGGAGAAUGGCUUGUUUAAGUUAAUGCUAACAAACCUUUGUUAACUGAGAUCACCUUCUAACUUUUCAUAUGAAUAAUAGGGUUACACAUAAAAAGCGAUUGCCCGUGAGCCAAGAAACUUAUGUACAGUGAGAAACUAUCUAUACAUCGAAUUACCUUUUUCGCCACCUUCGUCUUCCUCCGUAACCUCUUUAACCGUUGAUGUUUGCAGAAGCUGGAACUUAGCGCCAGUACUGAGCCCAACGGUGAAUAGUCUCCACCAUUUGAGGGAACAAUGCGCUGACGCUCUCGUUGAUCAGGUCCUGGAAGAAAUGGAUGGCUGCUUCGUCGUCCAAGUCCAGCCGGAACUUCUCCUGGAGCUGCAAUGAUUCGGCGAAGCUUUUAGUAUGUAUACAAGUCCACGUGUUAUGUACAUAAGUUACGGUAUUUACCUUGAGUAUUCCCUUCUCUGGAUCGGAAGCGAUAUCGGGGAUAUUGGAACCGGCCAUCAGAUGGAAAAGGUUAAGGAUUAGGUUGCUUGAUUUCCGGAGGAUGUUGUAUGCUUCGCAGCAAUAUGAUUUGAACCUGGUGUAGUAUUGGCUAUAUAGCACAGGGGAAAGAGGAAACUAGUCACGUUCUAUAGCUCGUUUGGAUAGGAAAGGUUGCGAAAUUAACUAUAAGAAGACCAAUACCUUUCUGCGCCACCCAUCGCCUCGACCAUCUCUUUGCAAAGCUUCAUCGGUGGCGGAAAUGGUUUAGGAUCUCGGCCGAGAAUAUAACCAAAGUCGACGUGGAACAUGCGCCCGUCGUCUCUGAGUAGAAGAUUGUCCAAGUGUCUGCAAAGUCUCUGAGUAGGUAAAUUUCAAGAACAAGAGGCGAAGUUGUCUGACAACUUGUCUCAACAAAUCCAAACGGGAAGAAUUGCUCCGAAUAAGGAUUAGUGAAUAGUGAUCAUCAGGGUGAUACCUAGCCGCUCAAAACAGCUUAAAUGGUUGGUUACCUAUCUCCGAUGCCCAGUAUAUAUGUGAUGACAGAAUAGCCUGCACAGCUUUUAAUAAACGUCUCGAGACAAGUGGGAGUGAUCCCAAAGGGCCCGUGAUCAUCAGGAUGAAACUUCUGUAAAUAGCUUGUAAUGCUACGAUGCUCCGAGAGAAUCUGGAUUUCGACAACCAAGACAAACGAAAUGGAUGAACGUUGAGGAAUAAAGGCUAUUGACUGAAGCUGAAUGACAGUAGUCCUGAUAAUGUUUAAUGACCAACUACAAUAGAGAACUAUGCAAGACAAGAUGGUUCAUGAAAGGACACUAUCUAGGAUAUACCUGAGCCAAAGUUCGUGAGGGUAUGAAUUCGAGCAUGCCCUCAUCUUGUCCAGUAGCAAGAACUUUAUAUGGAGUCAAAUGCAGAUCAAGAUUUUCCAACUUAAGCAACCGAUCCAUUAGAGAAACCAUCUGAACAACCUGUAAGUCCAUAAACCUGUUACCUGUCAAACAUAUGAUAAUCUCUUCGGAAUUUUUUUAACAUUCUCCCACUUGUUUCAAAUGGAUCGGAAGAUUUGUGAUUACAUGCAAAGACUAGACUUUGAGGAGGAAAAAGGAAAAAAGUACUGCAGAUAUAGAAAGCAAAAAGACUUUUGAAAGUCUUGCUAAGAAAGUACCAGUUGGUCUUGCCGAAUAUCAUCACCCUUCUUAAAAAUGAUCAUAGAAGUUCCACCACUCUGUGUUCUGAAAGUCAGGCGCAGGGGGUGCAGCGCACUUUUGAAUAUUGAUGACUCCGAUGGCACAAUCCCAGAAAUGAGGACAGAUGGAGCCAGUGGAGAUCUUAUCGGCUGAAAGGAAAACGAAUAUUGCAAAGAGAGCCAUACGUAGUUGAACAUCAAUUUUGCAACACUGGCGUUUCAAAGUGUUCAAAUAUCACAAACCAAAAAGUCGGUUGGUAGUUGGUAUAAAACUUAGAUGGAUGAAUACCUCCUCAAAAUAAGUGAGUUCACUGAGAAGCCCAGAAAGAAGCUGUCUAAGCUUUUCAAUUUUCUUCUGAGUGUUGCCUCGAACAUUUCUGACAUCUCUUGUUAUAGAACACAACUGCGCUGUCAAUUCUGUCUGGCGCACUAAACUUUGCCACGACUUGAAUCCAUCCUCUUCUCCGUCUGGACCAGCUAGCAACUAUUACAAAAAUGAUAGAUGAUUGCAAAGUGAGAAUACACCAUCAAUUCUUGCAGCCCCUAUUAAUUGACAAUACAGAUUGAUAUGCUCCACUCUCAAGUGUUACAUUUAGCGAGGAAUCCAGUCCCCUCGGAUUUCUAAAAUGAAUAGUAGACUCAGAAGUGUUCAGAGAAUAUAUAGUAAGAGUGUAAGACACAGAUAAAUGUAUUAGAGAACAUUCGGCCGAUCUCUUGGAUUCAUACCUUCAUCAUAUUCUCUUCUAGGAGCUCAUGAGUACAAUAAAAGCGUUUGGUAUAAGCGUGAUCAUAAAAUUCCACAGCAACGUACCAUCGGAGAAAGCUAGCCAACUCAAUGUUGUUUAAUGCUGUCAAGAUGAAUAAGGUUUCAGCUACAGAAAACAAGCUUAACUGCUAAGUUGCACCAGAAAAUUAAACAGACACGGCAAUCCAUAAUUAGGCAUUUUGGCUACAGUACUUACAGCGUUGCACAAGGAACUGAGAAAGACGAGAUUUAUCGGAUCGUUCAAAUCUUAGCGCCUGAACUAGUUGAAGCAAGUAACAUUGGAGUUCUUCAUCAUCAGCCCUCUCCAAAACAGUGACAGCAUAAGCACGAACCUGUUUUCUCAGAUAAAUAUGACCACUCAAUCAAGUGUUCAUCACUCUUUUCCUAGCUACGACAAUAAUGUCUUAAGAGCCACUGUAUUUAAUUUUUCAGCACAAGCUUUCAAUUUUGGAAAAGAAAUCAAUUCUUCAAACAUCUCCUUCCUCAACAGUAUCCAUAACUUUCUCAACAGAAUGGAGAAAGCCUACAGCAUUGGGCGAGCAUAAUUUCACCAAAGACCUACCUCUUCACUUUCAAAAAGAGGAGAUAGAAGCUCAAGCGCAUCAGAGACAUCAAUAGUUUCCCAUUUGCCCAUCAACUCUAGCGCUUGUUUUGCUUCCUGUAUAUACAUGGUGCACUAAUCAGGAUUCAAAGUUGUAUUUGAGGAAAACGAGGAGGAGAAACCAGUAGAAGAUACAUGACAAAAGACAUUAAGGAAAAAGUAUUAUAUCAUACAGAUACUAUUGACAGUUGCAUGCAGCUAAGUUCUUAAACUCCUGCCAGGAAUAAUAGCGAAUGCUAACCUGAAGGUCACUCCACUCCACGCAUCGGAGAAACUUUGUCAGUGCCCUCUUUUCAGACAUCAAAGAAAACCGGAAUUUCCAUAAGAGUUGUCUCUCAUCACCACUCAAUGAUCGUGUUGGUGGGUAUUUUAAAAUUCUUUGUAUCGACCUGGAGAGAAAUUCAUGCACAAUUUAAGCUCAGAAGUCAAAAGGGCAUAGGAGCUCGAUGCCAAGAACACUGCAAUUGCUUUCUUACUUUCUUUCGUUGGAGCUUGGCUUCAAAUCCUUGUCAAUGAUACCUCGUGUUAAGCUCCUUGCUAAUUUCAGUUGCUUGUGCUCAGAAGGAUUUAUCUUACCCAUUUCAGGGUCCCACACAGUAACAAGUUCAUUCGUUGAAGAAAUGGGUGAUGGGAAUACAAAAUUUGCCCCUGAUUCCUACAGGUGAAAAAAGGGAAACAUCAUAAUCACAAAACUUAUUCAUCCCGCUCUACCAAUAAAGCAAGUCAAAAUUCCCAUAGGUAAUACAAUUUACCAUCAUACAAAGUGUUGUAGUUAGGAACUGAUGACCAGUAGCAACACAAAGAAAGAACUUGAAGCAGAAGACCAUAGAAAAAUCUGAUGGUACACAUAAGAUACCUGGAAAACAACUCUAUGUUCAAAGCUGCAGAAAUCAACAACCAAGUAAAGAUGCGAACUUCCGGUUUUAGAGCUCUCACGUUCCUUAAUUUUCUCCAUUGAUUUAAACGUAAGCCGAUCGAGCCAAUCUACACGUUGAAUCUGUCCUCUUUCGUAUUUAUUCAGAAGCUUCUCCAGACUCUCCAAUUCUCCACGCUCGUGCCUUGGGACCUGAUAGAGAAGCACAUCAGAUUCUAUUCCAGAUUGAAAAUUACAAGCAAAGGGGUAAGAAGUAACCUUUCCAGGUGUAGUAGUAGGAAAUGAUCCAUCAGCUUCUUUUCCCGACCAAAGCCUAAGCUUCAGCUUACCCGUUUUAAGUUGCAACUUACUGUUGAAAAGAGGAAUAGUAGCCCCACCAAUGAGCCCUUCGUCUUUUCCACGUGAAACAUCCCAAACCUGAAUUUUCCAAAUAGUUCAACAUCACCAGAAAUUUCAACUCCAGAUGAGGGAGCACAAAAGUGAAAAAAACUCUCUAUUGCCUGAUAAUUUGCAUUACAUUACAGGGCAAGUUCAAAAUCAUUAACCAACAGUAGGCAGUACAUGACAACAGGGGCACCUUCCAUCUCCAAACCAUUCAUCAAAACUACUUAAUUUCCACCAUCUACAGGUUUAAGUAGGAAUAGGUGGACCUUGUAGGAAGUUCCCUGACCAACGGGGCACAGAAGUGGAUAUACUUCAUAGAGAGCAGCUAAAUGAAAGAGGUUCUCAACUUACUGUCAACGCGAGCUGUGAGUAUCUACUCAGGUCCCUAUAUUUAGUACUCAAUGUGAUGAGUUCAUUCCAGCAUGCUGAGGUUCCAUUAGUCUCCAGCCUGGUACAAACGGGAAGGAAUGACCAGAAAUCCUUUGAGAAACUAAUCCAGAUAAUACAGAUGAUCCGGAACAAGCAAUGACAAAAGAAAAACUACAAAAUCACACUCAAGUCACCUUGUUCGCAUUGGAAGACCAAAGGGAGCUCCAUCCAUACACAGUACACACUCAACAUACAGCUCUGCUCUUCUCUCUUCCGUAGUGGAAUCAAGCCCUGAAGGAAACACCAGAACAAGAAUACUGUAACCAGAACUUGAACUAAGUUCAUGAUACCAGCGCAGCUCAUUUUUGUUCUCCGUAACUAGCAGAAACACUAGAUGAUCAAUCUAAACAUCUAGCAAAAACUGAAUCCAUCCGUUAUACUAAUACACAAGAACGAGCUGCAAUUUUCACCGAAUCGAGUUCAAAAUGCUAAGGCAAAGCUCAUUCAUGCAGAAUAAAAAAUUAAACAAAAGAGAAGGUAACCUGAGUCCGGCAAUUUGACAGGAGGCAAGGAUCCUUCCAAUCUCUCGAUUCGGAAUGUCACCGGGAGAUUGAUGUCGUACGAUAGGAAGAAUCGGAACUCGUUCCGGCUCAUUGAAUUUUCCAGCAAUUGCAGAAACCCCUAGGUUUCUUCCCCGGGACUGAAGAGUUGCUCCCAACCGAGUUGGAGCAAUCUGAGAGAACGGAAAUUUUCGAAUUCCGGCCGCCGGAAGUUUGGAGAGUUUAGUAAUUACUUGUUCUGUGUAUCUGUUGCAGCUGAAAUCCCACUGUGCUCCGUGUUGUUAAUCAAAGGGAAGAAGGAGCAAGAUUGAUUGAUGCACGAAACGAACACGAGAGGAUUUUGUUCCACGUAAGCAAUCGCCAUGUCAUCAGCUGUUGAUGGAAUUAUCUGGACCCGUUAAAAUUUCAGCCUGUUUAUAAGUGGGCUAGGCUAGAAGCCCAUGUUAGUUGGGAAUAUAUUCUGAUUCUGAAUAAGGAUUCAGAAUUUUUUGCAUUUUGAAGGCAGAAUCUCAAAUUUAAGGUGUGAUUUGGUGCAACACUCCACGAUCUCAUAAUCUCAAUCAACAAACUUAGUAUUUAUAAUCGAAAGAUAACAUAGAAUCACAACAUUCUAAUAUCUAAAUUCAUAAUAAUCAAAAUUCAAGGAUGAUCCAAACUUGUAACGUACAUUUUCUAAUUAUGUUUGCCCCUAUUAUGUCAUGAGUCAUGACCAAAUCGGAACAUCGAACGGAAUGAACAACAGUUGAAAAGUUGGAGAUUCAACACAUCUUCUUAAGAGCUAGACGGUUCAAUGCCGUAACAACUAAUACCGCAGACUAUCAUCCAUCAUUGUCAUUUCGAUAACGAAAACAACGAAUGAUCCUAUGGCUCCUAUUCAUAAGAGCUCAAACCAUCCUGCUAUACACAAAAACAAGUCUCCAAUCUCGCCCUCUCCAGUUCAGCUGAUGCUACUUACAAACCAAAUCUCAGCUUCUUACUAUCUUUAAUCAACCACAUUUUGCACAAACAUGGGUGGCUUCUCCACCUCUCCAUUUUGUGCCUCCACAUCCAUAGCAGAAAGCAGUCCCGCACCUGUUUCAUCAACAACUUAAAAGGUUUGUAAUAUAACAGGAAACAUAAAUUACUUGUAUUCUCUGUAGAAUGUUAGCCUCAAGGUUAGAAACCAAGUUGCAAAUGAAAUUCAUCAAUACCUGGAGAAACUUUACCAUUGGACACACUCUGUCUCUAAUCAUUUUAGCAAAAUAUAAGAUGGGCACAUCCAGUAAGUGGGAAGUUCACCAGUCCUAGUAUCAUCUGGAAAUCUUCCCACUUUCUAGCACCAUGAGACAGGAAGACACCUAACCUAACCCACAUGUUCUCAUACUCAGUAGAUUGUUUGCCCACCAAGGUUUGAGCGGAUGGCGGAACCAGGGGUGGCCGAACCUAGGCCACCAUCCAGGAUCCCUCGAUUCAAAGUGAGAAAAUUCUGUGUUAAAUUUUCAAAAUUAAAGUGUUUUACCACGAAUUUCGCCCAGCGAGCCUCUGUAAAGUUGAAACCCUGCUCAAGGUCUCCAACCAUCCUAAUUCUGCUAUUCAAGUCAACCCAGAAAGCUAAUGGAUGUUGAAGUCCCAUUAUAUGUCAUCUACUAAUAGUCUAAUACUAGUAUACCAGUUGGCAUUGCUAAGAAAGUUCGGAAAUUUGACAACCAACUCACAGAUGAUCACUCGCCAACAAGAGACAGUAAAACUGUACCUGCAUUUGAUGUAUCUGCAACCCACAAUCCUGUCAACGUAGAUUUUACAACUGGGACACCUCUUCCAACUCUUCUUACCCGCCAGAUUCAUCAGCAUAAUAUCUUCCUUCUCCCUCUCAUCCUUAUGCAGCUUCUGAAAAUUGUCGCAGUCAAUCUCCGAAUGCCAGGGAACUUUACACCGAGCACAGAACAACCUGCAGCAAUGGGGGCACUCGGAUUGCGUAACCACCUCACCUCCAUCGUCAACCAGCAUAGCUGAACAAUCCUUGAACGGACAGUAAAACUUCUGAGCACCCAAGAUCAAAGCCUCGCACAGGGAAUUCCCCCACCUGUCAAACACUUCCUGAGGAAGAAUCGAUCUGCAGUGCUCUGGCUCCAAAACCCCACCACAACCCGAAACAGGACAGCUGAUCAUCGACACAUUGUCCUGCAACUUCGAACCUACGUAUUUGGACAUACACUGCUUGCAGUAAGCGUGUGAGCAUCCUUUGAUCGGGAAAGACUCGUUUACCGUCUGCGCUUCCGCACAGAUCUCGCAGAGGAACUCUGCAUUCGGAUUCGGGUCGGGUUGGGGAGGGUUUGAGUUCGAGGCCUGACCCGGUUCGGUAGUGGAAUUAAAAACUCGAGAAAACGAAGGAGUGGUGGAGUGGAGCAAAGUGAUGUCGUCGUCGAACAAUGAGAGGUCGAUGAAAUUGCUGUCGCCAUUGAUGCCGGCGGCGAUUUGGAGAGAAGCUAGGAUUGCGAGGUUGAGGUCUCGGUCUUCGGCGUAGGUUUCGACUGAGAUCGGAGUUUUCUUGGUUUUGCCGCGGUCGGAGAUAGGCGUGAAGGAGAAGUAAUCGCCGUCGUCGUCGUCGAGGAGGUCGACAAUCUCGAUCGCCGAGGUCGACGGUCCGGCCAUUUCUUUUUGGCGGCGCGGCGGAGACUGGAGAGGGGUUUCCUUUGGGGUUUUGGAUUCACGUGUUACAGACUUACCGUGGAGGGGAAAGUCUAUGGAAAUUUCCAGGUCAUAUUUAGGGGAAUUAUUUUGGGAUAAAAAUUAUGGAAAAUUCAAAAUGUAGAAAGUGACGUGAAAAAUAUUAGGUGAUUUGAAAAUUUUGGAAUUUUUUUUAUGAUAAUAGUUAAUUUUUAUAGGUAAUUUUUGGAAAUUGAUCACUGUCGAAAUGAAAUUUUUUAAAUUAAUUAAUAUUUGACAUUUAUGUUGAAAAUGACUAAAAAUUGAUAUUUUACCAUGUUAAACCCUUUUAAUAAUACCAAAUAAAGUUAAAAACAUUUUCUUAAGGGUUUUUAUUAUUGUUAUUAGUGGAAAUGUAUGUGUUUUCGAUUACAAAAAUUUUUAUUGAAUAUACCGUAUACACAUAUGUCGAAGUCUCCACCAUAAAAAUAUUGACAUAUUAACAAAAUUAAAUGUUAUUAACAUACCACGAACCGAUUUACAUUACAACAACAUUCCGUACGUCUUUCCAUGUUUGAUACACAUUCUUCAAUCAAAGCACUCGUAGGAAUAUAUUAUCUUCAUCAAGCAAAUCAUCCAGUACAGAAUAUUUGUAUAACUCUAGUACAUAUAUGACACAAUGUGCAACCUACAUAAACUAUAUACUCAACACGAAUCGCGAUCGGUUUGGGGCCGGUUGCUUGUCGGCUUACCAAGUUGGAGGCAUUGAAUCGGAGGAACAGCCGGAGUGUUCAACUCUCCGAAUGUAUUCCAGCAGAACGGAUCGUACAUGUGGAACUUCUCUUGCAGCGGUUUCAACUCAAUGCUGGUUAAGCUUAUGUCCGCACAUGGUAAGUUGUCGCUGCAGGCGAAAUGCACGGGCUUCACCGUGUAGGUUCCUUUGAUUUGUUCGUAGUUGAUCCCCGAUACCGACACCGCUGAUGAUUGGUUCUUACAUGUAGCCUUGUCACAAUAGUAUUGGUCGAUUACGAUUGGGAAUUGGACUUCGGAAACUUGAAUGUUUGAGAACAUGAUCCCGUACACCGAGCCUGAUCCGCCCUGCGAGAUAACCAACUUGACUGUGAAUCUGUGACUGAGUGUAGAUAUAGCAAGUAGUGGAGAUUGGUUGAAUAUAUACCUGCCAUGUCUUGAUCCUAACACCGGUCAUUGUGUUGUGCAUGUUGACGUUUUUGACAGUGACGUUAGAGACGCAGGCUCGCGCAUUGUCCCUUCCCAAACUUCCGAUGCUGAUUCCGUGGCCUGGACCGCAGUUUACGUCAUGUAUGUAUACAUUUGAGCAUCCUGUUUGUAUGGAAAUGCAGUCGUCUCCUGCAUAAUUGAUGGAAAUAAUGUGUUAAUUCACAUGUGGUAUUUGAUGAAUAAAUAGGUUUAUUACUAUAUUAUCCUUAUAAAGCUCAAUUUCUAAUGAAGACAAUGAACGUGUUUGUGAGAUUUUUUUGUUAUAUGUUUUAUUGUAAAAUGAUGUUUUAUGUUUUAAAGUUUUUUGAAGUUGGAUGAUGUGGUAGCCUUAUAUUUAAAUUUUUAAUUAAUAAAUUAUGUAGGGAUUGGGAUAUUUAUUGGUAUUCGAAAUCCACGAGUUUGUGAUGCGUAUGAAUAUUGAUAUUCGGAUGGGGACGGGGAUGAAGAUGAAUUUUAUGAAUAGGUAUGUAGAUGGGUAUAGGUACUCCGCCCGAAUCCAGCCCUAUUGUCAAACUUAGUUGUGAAAAGGAAGAACAGACCAAUGGUAGUUUGGGGUUUAAAAAAUAAUGGAGUGUUAUGAAACCCACUAAUUCAAAUACCACAUCAACUCAAGUAUUUCAAAUACCACCAAAACCCACUAUUUUAAUACCUCAUGUCAAAUUACCAUCAAUUCUAUUUUGGAUGCUAAACAUAAUAUUUUGCCCCAAAUACCGCUUUCAAAUACUCAAUUCAAACGAUCUGAAAUUACCAUAAUCAAUGUAAUUACCGCAUGCAAGGAGGCUGCUAUGGAUCAGCACAUCUCUGGAAUUCUGCAAGUGGACUCCAUCUGUAUUAGGACUAUCUCCAGGAGACGAGACUCUAAUAUGAUGUACCAUCACUCCAAUGCAGUUGUCAAACUUGAGGUGGCAUUGUGGACUGUUCUGAAUCGUUAUGCCUGUCACCGUCACAUUCACACUUCCAUAAAACCUCAGUGCCUGCAAGAGAACAAAGCUUAUGUCAAUCCUAGUACAAACUACAUGAUCAUUCACAAAAUUCAUCAGUAAGCUAAUCCUUACCGUUGGCUUGAUGCUUGGCAUUUUGCUACUGAGUUCACUUCUUACCUGCCAGAAGAAUUUUUCGGAAUGAGAAUCUGCAGUUGAUGCUCCUACAAAUCGAAGGUGCAUCAACUAAUAAUUAGUUACCGUUCGUGGUGGUUGCUUCUCUAGAGUGCUGUUUAACAGGAUAAUCUGCUGCGUUAAUCCGUCUUCGAGUACAUCGAUUGGAUUGUCUUGCCACCACACUGAACCACUCCCAUCAAUGGUACCUUUCCCUUGGAUUGUGAUCUGUGCUAGCUUGCUGAAUUCCAGCCACUGCAGCAAUCCUUUGCCCCAAACGUAGGAGUUCGUUGGUGCAACAAUUGUGCCAUCCAGCUACGAAAGGUAAAGGGAGCUCAGAAGUGUUAAGCUGCGAAUUCUCAACCUCCAGUGGAACGGAAAUAUUAUCGGUUUGAUACCUGGAAGGUGAUGCCUUGCUGACAGUAUGGACCAGAGAAAGAAAUAGGUCCAACAAGGAAUCGAUGUUGCUCUGGAACAAGCAUAAUUGAAUUUGCAACUUUGCAAGCAGCUGCCCAUGCACCCUGGAAUGCCUGAAAGACAAAAUCGAAUCGUAAAAUUGUAAGAUUUCAAGGCAUAAGUAUGUGGAAUAACUCUACUCAUAUGAAGAUGACAUUCAAAUGGACCAAGCAGAAUUAUCCGUCUGUUCAUCUACGUAUGCUAUGGUAUAUCGAGACGAAAGCGAAAAGUAAAAAGUUCGACGAGUAGGAAAAACCGAAACCUUUGUGUCAUCGCUCUUUCCAUCUCCCUUGGCACCAAAGUUGACGACAUUGAAUGUCAACGAAUCUGCGUGCGGCCUAGUAGGCGAAGGAGGUUCCGGUGAUGCUACUGGAACAUGCUUUGGUGGUUUCAUCGGAGACGGGGAAUUAGGAGCUAUAGGUGAAGGAGCUUUCUUUGGCGACUUUGACGAUCUGCCGCCAUUGUAAUGGUUGUUACUAUGGUGGCUGCUUCCAUGGCUUUUGACCUUCUUCUUUGUCAGAGAAGCUGAAAACCCUCUGUUCUGCCUCCAAUGCUUGCCUCUCCUUGCAAUGCAAGUAUCAAAACUUGCUGACCAAACUAGAAACGCAACCAACACCAUGAAUGUGAAGCUUCUCCGGUUCACCCCUUCCAUCUUUGCUGUGGGAAAACAGAGAAAUGGCUAGAGUGUUUAUAUAGUGUCUAUGUAGAAGCUGUAGAAAACAAUUGAUUUACAUGAGCAAUAAGAUGAUAGUGGUUUUCUCUUAUAUCAAUGAUAAGGAAGUUGUAUGAGAUGGUAUUUAAUGUUCAUUCUUUUGUCCUUUUAUCUCUGUUUGGUUUCUGGUCCUGUGAAUUUUGGUUGGGCAGAUUAUAGGCUGCUAGCUAGACAGACAAACAUCAAAGUGAAAGGGCUGAUUUCAGAGGCCACUUGGCGUUGUGAUGUUGCAUGUGACUCGUUCAAAAUAUUUCCUUGCUUUGUCCAAACAUUAGUGUAAUUUUAUGAACACGUUGCUUAUGGUUUAGCAAAUUAUUUAUCACAGGCUUUGUAGCAUUUGCUAUAUACUUAACAAACAAACCAGCAGGAUAAACACAAGUAGUUUGCCUGCAUAUUCUGGAAAGUUACACCAGUUUUCCCUCCCUUCAUUGAUUGAUUUCCAACUUCUUUAAGCUUAUUUCAUGUGUGAUUACUGCUAAAUGUUACUUUACGAAGAACUAACCGCUUAAUCGAUUAGGAUUUGCAGAUUGCUGAGCUUGAUUUGUUGAACAAGACCCUGAAUCCUGAUGACACAGUGGCUGGUAUUGACCGAAAAUGCUAUUGAUCCGAUAGCCUUUUCUUUCUAAUCAACCCGAUAGAUUUGGCCGUUGGAUCAUACCACUUUUAGGUUAACUUUCAUCCAAAUGGAAAAAAUCACAUUAGUGUGGUCAUUGUACGAGCAUGUUAUGUCAUUAAUACGACCAUUUUACAGGCGCGUUAGGUCGUUGUUAUAUCUACCUUACGAGUAGUUGAAUUCAUCAUCGAUACAUCAUUAUUGCAUUAUUGUAUUGACAAAAACAACUUUGGACCGUUAAAUUUGCCAUCGGAUUAAUAAAAAAAGGCUUUCGGAUCAAUAGCAAUUUCGCAAUACAUUAUAACUCGAGCCAUUAAAAUAAGUUGCAGAGAAAACACACGUGAGUGGGUCUAGAAAAAAAGAGAGCACUGACUAGAACCAGAGUAUUAUCAUCACAUGCAUAAAAAAAAAUUACUCACGGGUUGUAGUAAUUGUUUCCUUUUGUCCUCUCCGCACCUUCACCCACCAUCCUUUUUUUCUCAACUCCAAUCCUUUACUUCUUUCACAUUCCCAUCUCUUAGGGUUUAGAGUUUAGAUUCUCUCCGGAUCUUAAUUUUUCGUGGCUAGUAUAAUUGAAUAUAAUGAUGAGUUUUUUUAUACGACAAAGAAUAAGCUAGAUUGUGUCUACCCUUCGAAUAGUCUAGUUAAGCUAGAUUUAACAACCCCAACAAAUACCUACGGGUAGAGCCGCUUGAUACCGACACUCUCAUCUAGACAAGUGAUGUGUUGGGGGACUAAAAAUGGCUCUUCGUUGGUAUAGCUGCCUGAGAAAGAGAACAAAUGGCCUUCCCUAUUUCCUCUCAUUGUAAUACAUUGAUACUCUGGCGAUGCAGAUCUUUUUUCUCAUUGUUUUCCUCUGUGCAGGGUUCAGACUUCAGAGAUCCUUUUUUGUUUCUGUGUGUUUUCUGAUCUCAGUGUUUCAAAAUCAUACCAAAAGAGGACAAAUGAGUACUGAGUUGUUUCUAAAGACACAUGAUUACAAAAGAGUUGCAGCAGCUCGUUGCUGUAAGUCGUACUAUGAGCAACAGAAGCCAACUGAAUACAGUUAAAACCUCCAUUGCCAUCAGCCCAUGGUUUUGCUAAAGGUCAUUUCUUUCCCGUCAUCUCGCCGCUACAGCCAAUAAUUGCUAAUGCACAUAUAUUAAGAAAUCAUGUCCUUUUCUCUAGUGAUUGCAGGUAAAUGUUUGGCUCCGAAAACUAGGCCUUGAACUGCCCGAUAAUCAUGGCUGAGUUGGGAGGUGUUGUAACUUGUAACAGGGUUAUAAUCAUCGUUCUUGUGAGAUUGUUAAUUUUUGUGAAACGUUGAAUUGGGAUGGGAUUGUCAAAGUUUGGGCAUACUAACGGGGAAGACAGCUAGACCUCAGACAUUGUUUAUUCAUCGAUCUGUUUUCGUUAUGUUUUAAUUUUAGAUCGAUUGUUAUCUCAUAAUUGAUUAUAUUAUGUAUGACUUGCUUGGAGCUUUCGAACCUCAUUAACUUGUGAAUGAAAGAUGGGCCAUGGGGAUUUAUGAAAAAGGAAGACAAACUUUUGUUGGAUGAUGCUAAUUCAUUUGAAAAGAUUUUGAUGUGUUCGAUCCAUAUCAUGAUGACGAUGUAUUCUCUACUAUUUAAUAAUUGAACUUUAUAUUUUGUCGGGAACUAAUAAUUUGGUACUAUUUGGUGAUAUGCUCUUUCGGGCUAUUAUGAAAAUGUUUGUAUUUUGAAUUAACAUCAAUUAUCAAUCUGAAUUUCUUGGUUGAAGAUCGAUAAAAAUUGCAAAAAAUAGCUUCAUUAUCACACUAAAACACAAAAUUGAAAGAUCCUUCAUACAGGUAACCAAAAUCAAAACCGAGAUUUUUGCUAUCCGGUUUGAUAAGUAAAUUCAUUGAAAACUGACUUUGGUUUCGGCCCAGCCCACGUACAGCUAGGCCCAAAUCGAAAUUCUGGACGAAGCUUCUCCCCCCGCUAAGUUCCUCCGUUUUGAUUCGCGCCGUUGUCGUCGAGUUCCACUGAGAAAUGGCCGAUCAUACUUCCAUUUCUCUCUGAAUUAGCUAUGGCCACCAGAUUCCUCCUUCCUCUCCGCCGUGCUCAUCUCCGCUUUCUCUCUUCUUUCGCAGCCGUGGAGACAAUUCAAACCGAGCCCUUGCCGGAGCUGGUAAGCCAGAUAUCUCGCCUCCUCAGCGACCACCGGAACCCUCACCACGACUUGGAGCGCUCCCUCCGUACGUACCGCUCUAAACUCUCCUCCGAGGUAGUCGAGCAGGUCUUGAAGCGAUGCAAGAAUCUCGGAUUCUCCGCACACAGAUUCUUCCUCUGGGCCAACACCAUUCCCGGGUUUCAACACACUCCCGAUAGCUUUCACAUUUUGGUCGAUAUUUUGGGUGCCAGUAGGCAGUUUGCUAUACUAUGGGAUUUCCUGAUCGAGAUCAGAGAUUCUGUUUACAGUUUUCAAGUUAAAGCAGAGACAUUUUGGCUUGUCUUUAGAGCUUACAGCAGGGCAAACCUGCCCGAUGAAGCCAUUCGAAGCUUUGGGAGAAUGAGUGAGUUUGAUUUGAAUCCCAGAAUCGAAGAUGUGGAUCAGCUUAUCUAUGUUCUAUCCAAGCGUAAGCAAGUGAAGCAAGCACAGGCCUUUUUUGAUCGAGUUAAGCAUGAAUUGGAGCCAACGGUUAAGACUUACAGCAUAUUAGUGCGCGGGUGGGGUGAUGUUGGGGAUAAUAAGUCUGCAAGGAAGGUGUUCGACGAAAUGAUACAAAGAGGUUGUGCGGUGGAUGUGCUUGCCUACAACAGCUUGUUGGAGGCGUUAUGUAAAGGAGGGAGUGUAGAUGAAGCUUAUAAUAUGUUUGGAGAAUUGGGAUCCGUAGGAAUCAAGCCUGAUGCUUGUAGCUAUGGGAUCUUCAUCCGUGCUUACUGCGAAUCGGAUGAUAUUCAUUCUGCUUUUGGAGUGCUUGAUCGGAUGAGAAGGUAUGAACUUCUACCGAAUGUGUUCACGUAUAACUGCCUGAUCAAGAAGCUAUGUAAAACCGAUUGUGUAGACGAAGCUUACCAGCUUCUGGAUGAGAUGCUUGGGAAGGGAGUGUCUCCGGAUAAUUGGAGUUAUAAUGCGAUAUUAGCGUACCAUUGCGAGCAUACCGAGGUCAAUAGAGCUACCAACCUGGUUUCUCGAAUGGCUAAGGACGGUUGCUCGCCUGACCGGCAUAGCUACAACAUGGUGCUUAAAUUGCUCAUAAGGAUGGGUCGGUUCGACAGGGCUACUCAGGUAUGGGAAAGCAUGGAGGAGAGGAAGUUUUUUCCGUCAGUUUCGACCUAUGCGGUUAUGAUCCAUGGCUUGUGCAAGAAGAAGGGGAAGCUUGAAGAGGCGUGCAAGUAUUUCGAGUUGAUGGUUGAUGAGGGAGUUCCACCAUACUCUUCCACUGUUGAGAUGGUGAGGAACCGGCUUAUGGGGUUUGGACUGAUGGAUAACAUUGAGAUACUUGCUGGUAAGAUGGAAAGAAGCUCUUGUUGUUUGAUACAGGAGUUGGCUAUUGAAAUGAGAGGGAACAAGACUCAUGUGCGGUCUAGAAAGGAAGAAACCGAGUCUGAAAGUGAUUGAUUGCUGAAACCUCCACGACACGGGUGCACUUUUCAGGUAAACCCUCGUACUUUUUGGUGCAUAUUUGAAUUUGACUGUGAAUAUCGAUCAGAAAGGCAAGAAAGCUUCAUACUUUAGUGGUUUUGUGAUGCUAUCUAACGGAUAUUAUGUUAUGAUACUAGUUUUUGUAUAGGCAAAAAGAGCUUAGAGCUCUGUGUGGACAAAGUCCUGACUGGUGGCUUCUGAAACGUCAACAAUGUUCAUGUCUCUGGUAAACUGUGGAUUGGAUGUCGAAGCGUAAUCCUUAUCGUGCGAUGAUAGGCAGUCGACUGAAGGACGAACGAUGCCAUAUGCAGACCCUUCGGCGGAGUUGCAGUAAGUCUCCACAGUGCCAUCUCUUCCUUCUAAGUUGACAUUGAUUAGGACUAUGUCGCUGCAUGGAACCGUAUCGCUGCAAGCAAACUUCAUGGCUUUUGCACUCUUGGAAGUUCCGGUUAUGUUUCUGUACAUGAUCUUGCUUAUCUCCACAGCUUCUGUCUGAAAAUAUUGAAGUUAGAGAAAAUCGAAAUGGAAGAUUGGUCAAAGGCUCUGACUGUUAGUACCUGGUUCUGGCAGGCAUUCGGUGAAUCACAGUAGAACUGGUCGAUGAUGAUAGGAUUUGCAACAUUCUCCAUCUGGACAUUGUCAUAACGAACUCCGCGAACAUGCCCAUUACCACCCUACACCAGAGAAUCAACGGUUAGAUCAGAGAUUUGAGCUUGGGAUUCACCGUAAGGUGCGGUGGUUACCUGCCAUGUCUUGAUUCUGAGGCCAUUAGUCGUGUUCCGGAGGAGCGCUGUGUUUAGGAUAACUCCCGUGACGAUCCCGGUUGAGUUGUCCUGUCCAAGGCUCCCAAUGCUAAGCAGGAAAGAAAACAUCAACAAGUGCUUGAUUAAGCAUAAGCCCGGAUUAUUCUGAAUUAUUUUCUCCCUUUUUGACAUAGAAAUUACCUGAUACCGUGUCCCGGUCCACAGUAGAGUCUCUUCAUCCUGAUGUUGGAACUACCAUUGACGAUGGAGACACAAUCAUCCCCUGAACGUGUAAGUGGAAAAGUUCUGGAAUUAGCUAAACUACAUUCUUAUCUCAUUAAAGAUUGUUACUUUCUUUUCACAGCGGGGAACCUGUUCCGAUUUUGCAGUUUUGGAGAACAACAUCAGUCGACUGAGUAAUGUGGAUCCCGUCUGUGUUGGGACUGUCUCCAGGAGCCGAGACUAACACAUCAGAGACUCGGACUGAGCUGGAUUUCGAGAUCACGAAAUUCAUCUGUUGGCUGUUCUUGAUGGUCAACCCUUUGACUUUCACUCCAGUGCUGGAAUCAAUGGUUAAUGCCUGAAAAAAAAGAUCAUACUCCGUAAUGCCUCGAAAGUUUCAUAAAGCUGUUAGUAAAAUUCAGUUAAAAGCCUCUUACAGUUGGUGCUGCUUUGCAAGGCUGCAUGAACAGAGAAAGGAAAAAACAGUGUAAGAUUUACUUCUGUUAUAUAUAAAGAACAAAAACAAUUAUGGUUUAAGAGAUCAAAUGAACUUGCAUUUGUCUUGUUCUUUUUACAGGAAGCAGCCCACCAUUUACUGCCAGAGCCAUCAAUGACUCCAUUCCCUUGGAAGACAACCCCAUUCAGCUUACUGAAAUCAAGCCAUAAUCUCGCAAGAUCUUGAUUCCAGCUCUCCGGUUCGUCCGGUGCUAUUAUUGUUCCAUCAAUCUGAAAAAAUCAUAUCGUCUGUGAAAUGCUUGAUGAAACUUGAUCAUAUGCAGUUAACUCUGAUUAUCAUCGUUACCUGGACAAUCAGCUUAUCACCACAAGGUCCUUUGAAUUUCGUCGCAGCUACCAGAUAUUGGCGACCUGGAGGAACCAAGAACACUGCGUUGGAUGAUGCAUUACAGGCAGUGCUCCAAGCUUUUACAAAGGCCUGAGUGUCAUCAGAAACUCCAUCUCCAGCAGCACCGAAGCUAUCGACAUUCACCAGAACCUUGCCACUCCGUUCGCUCCUCCACGACAUAACAUCGCAAUCAUCAUCGUCCACUUCUUCGUGUUCUUCCAAGGUUUCGAGCUUCUCAAGAGUUGUGAGUUCGUCAUAUAGAAUGUUGCCUGCAACUCCAUAGGUCACUAACAGCAAGCCAAUGAAAGAAAUGAUGAAUAACCUGUCCAUGACUUUUGCUUUUUCUUUUUCUUUUUCUGUCUGGUUUUCAGAACUUGAUUUAUUUUGCAUAAUUCCUGGAAAACAUAUAGUUUCAAUUUAUAUGAAGCAGAUAAGAUUGAUUUAUGAAAGUGCUUUGUGGACUAAUUAGCUUGGCUUGAAAGUACAUGAAGAAACCAGCCUGCAUUUUCUUACAUGCCUAUACUUAAAGAACAAGUGAAAUGGUUUUUUUAAUGAAAUUCUUUGCUUUACUCUGCAGCCAGUGGAAAGAGACCAUUCAAUUUCUACCAGUUUCUCAACAUAAGAACAUUCCAAUUGUAGUACAGAUCACAGACUUGUCGAUUUGCUGGUUCAUCAAGUUGCUAGUUAAUAGAAUUGCUAAUAGUAAGCUCUUGGUCGAGGGUUUCCCCCAUCAGUCGAAUUGUUGGUUCAUAAGGUUACAAGUCAUUAGGAUCAUAACUAGUUAACUCUUAGUGCUUAGCUCAUCAGGUCGCAAGUUCGUCCAUUUGAAGCAGAUCAUUGGUUUAUCAAGUGGCAUGACAGAAAUUCAAAGUCGACAGGUCGAGUCAGCUUAACAGUUUCCAGAGAUCUCGAAAUUCAUGCAAAACCCAGUACAAGUGUCCCGAAAAGUCGCCAUCUUUUCACCAUACAGAGAGGUCUGUAACUGGUUUUCUGUAAAGGUCUGUAACUGUUUUUUUAAGAAGAUGCAUGAUUAAAGAGCUUUCGGAGAGUAAAAGAUGCAAACUUCGUUCUGAAUCGAACAGGAAAACCACCAUGAAGCCAAAAAUCAAUGCACUCAAGAUCAUAUCUCCAAUCAUCCAAAACAGGGAACUCUUAUCAAAAUUUCAAUUCAUUUGCCAACUAAUUAUACAGAAACAGAAUCCAACCAUUUCAUAGAACUGAACAUCCCCUCUUAUCAGAAUUCAAUUCCACAAGGAUUUACCUCAUAAAGGAUCGGACUUGGCCUCUGAAUCCUAAUUACAAACUUCACCGACUAUUGAUCUUCCGCAACCAAGCAACACAAAAACAACAAGAGCAACAAUAACAAACUACCAGAAGGAAAUCUCAAUCUCAAUCAAGCAGUGAUCAUGGUACCCAACCCUUCCUCCGACAUAAGCUCGUGAAGCAACGAGUGCUGAACCCUACCAUCGAUAAUGCUUGCAGUUCUCACCCCCUGAGAAAUCGACCUCACACAGCAAUUCACCUUUGGUAUCAUCCCUCCAGCAACCUUCUUCUCCUCUAUUAGUUUAUGCACCCCUUCAAUGUCCGUCUCUUUCACCAAACUCUCAGGGUCGUCUCUGUCCUCUAGUAUCCCCGCCACGUCGGUAAGCAAGAUCAGUUUCUCAGCUCCUAGCGCCGCCGCCAGCUCUCCCGCCACCGUGUCCGCAUUUAUGUUGUACGACUGCCCCAUCUCGUCCGCCGCCACUGACGCGAUCACCGGGAUGUGACCGUUGUUGAUCAGCGGGCGCAGCAUUGUCGGGUCGACCCGAUCCACGUCUCCCACGAAUCCCAAUUGGGCCGAAUUAGGGUUCGGCCUUGCCAUCAGCAGCCGCCCGUCCAUACCGGACAGCCCCACGGCGGUGCCGCCUGCCUUAUUGAUCAACGACACCAAAUCCUUGUUCACCUUUCCCACCAGAACCAUGGACACGAUCUCCAUUGUCUUGGCGUCGGUCACUCGGAGACCUUCGUGGAAGAGGGGCUCGAUGUUGAGAAGCUUCAGCCAGUGGUUGAUCUCCGGGCCGCCACCGUGGACCAGGACCGGACGGAGGCCGACGCAGGACAGAAGGACGAGGUCACUGACCACAGAGGCCUUUAAGUCCGGGUCUUUCAUGGCUGCACCGCCGUAUUUGACGACGAUGGUUUUCCCCCUGAAUUUCUGGAUGUAGGGUAGGGAUUCGGAGAGGAUCUCCACCCUGAACUGCUCGGGGGAUUUGGAGGAGGAAGCUCGUAUGGUUGAUGAACAGCGAUGAUGAUGGCGGGGUUUAAGAGUCAGAUAAUGUGGUGAUGAGGAUUUGCAGAGGGUUGAGGGAAUUAGGGAUUUGGUCGGAGGGUUGAAGAAGAUUGCUUUAGAGGCCGCCGCCAUUUUUUAUUUUCUGCAGCAAAUCAAAUUUCUGAUUGUUCGCCGGCCGCCGAUUGAUUAAGAAGAAUUGAAGGACGAAUUUCUGAGCUCUCGUAUUGGCCGGGUCGGGGGUCCAUCAUUUAUCUGGGCUUCAAAUUUGUGGGCUUUUUCCAGAUCUGGAAAGUGAACGCUGCUGCAGUUUCCCGCCGACGUACCUAAAAUACUGCAUUUCCCGCCGCCGAUAGUACCAAAAGUGUCGCCGGAAUCAAAACAAAAUUCAAAAUCGUUAACCGGAGAGAUCUAUCCAUCCAUCCAAUGCCUCGCUACAAAGACGAGCCUACCGCGGUUCGCGUUUAUACAGUCUGCGACGAAUCAAGGUCUGAUCGGAAAAAUCGUCCGAUUCACAAAAAGUCCGACUCUUUUUAACUUCAUUCGUUAUAGGUUCUGCAGAUACUUAAUCGUAAGGAACGUACCUGCUCUGGGUUGCGGCGACGACUUAUCGAAGCUAUUCGCCACCUACGGCGACGUCGAAGAGUAAGUUAGAAAGCUUUUCUCUUCUUCCCUUCCCUUCCCAAUCCAAAAGGUCAAUUUUUAAUUGUAAUUUUUUUCUUAGAGUGAAACCGAUGGAUGAAGAGGAUUGCGAGCCGUUCACAGACGUCUACUGGAUCAAAUUUCGUCUUGCUAGCAAUGCCAGGUUGGGAAUUUUUAUUGAUUCUGAUUGGAGUAAUGAUGAUCAAGACUGAAAAUGAGUGUUAUAUGUUUUAAGGUUUGCAAAGAGGAAGUUGGAGGAUAGUACAUUCUUAGGGAACAGGUUGCAAGUUGAAUAUGCUCCUCAGUUUGAGAGCCUUACAGACACCAUGGAUAAGCUAGAAGGGAGGAGAAAGGAAGUUCUUGCUAGACUGAAUCGUGAGCUAUGCUUUGAAAUUCUUUACUCAGUUUGAAAUUCUUGUUUCCGUUGUGUUGUUUAAUAACAAUUCAGUCUUUCUGGUGGUUAUUUGUCAGCUGGACGAUCUCAAGGAGCCAAAGUUCUUACUCAAGGUGGUUCUAGUACUGUUUCUCCUCAGCCAUUGAAUCUCAAUCAGUCCUGGUAUGCAUUCGAACAAUGGAUAAAGCUGCUUUCUUCUGAAUUCUGACACCAUGAUAAGAUCAAAUGUUAUCAUGUAUUUGAAGUGCUCGAGGAUCGGAAGGGAGUUUGCAGAGAAAUGAUGCACCGAUGUCAAGGGUUUCUUCUGAUAAGGUUUUUGUUCUGUGUUAAAAAUGUUACUAGCUCUGCAAAUCCUGCUCUUGGUUGGCCUGUGAAUAGCAUCAUUAACUCGGCUUUCUUUGCAGGACUACUUUCCAUCUCGAUCCAUGAACGAGACCGUUAAAUCAGUUAGGGAGAAGCUUGAUAAGGUAUGUGAUUCUGUUGGAAAUGUUUCGAGUAUAGAGAGUAGAAUAAAAGACUGAUGUUUCUUCCUGCCUUUGCAGAUAGAGUCAAGCUCACAGCAGCAAGCAGGACCUGCAGCUAAGAAAACUAGAUUGGACAACAGAAGACGGAUUUAGAUUCGCUAGUACCAUCAAAUUGAAUUAAAUCUGUAAUUUUGUUGAUCAGAGAUACAGAUAUUGAAGAGCUAUUUCUUGCACAUUAUUGCUGCAGACAUUGUACAGUUAGCUCAUAUAGGUAGAGCAACCAAACCAAAGUUUAUUGAAUUAGUUUGCAGAGCAGCAGAGGCUUCAUUUUGUAAUUUUGCUUCCUUUGGUAGAGCUUCUUCAUAGUUUAUAAUGAUAUCCAUAAGUUUCCACACAAAAUUCAGAACAUGGAUAAGGAACAGAACUCAGAAAUCCAUUUUCCCAAAAUAAACAAGGUCACUCAUACAAACUUCUGUGUCUUCGCUUCAUUUUUCUAUCUCCAAAUUUCUGUUUUGUAGUUUAGAUUUGAAUUUCAGUUUCUGUCAUAAUUUACGACAAGUAUACUUGGACGCUGGUAGUUUUGAUCAACUGGCAUACAGGGCAAACAUUGAUAAACACAUCACAAUCCAUACAUAAACACAGAUGCCUGCACGGCAUCAACAGUACCGAAACCUCCUUUGCUUUGCACGAUCUGCAAGUAGUCAUCCGCUCUUUUCUCGACAUAGGUCUCGUUGAAGGCCCGACAUUGAGGUAGUUGUUGUUGGGAUCAAUGCAGGAAGCAGCAUCAUCAAACUCACUGUCUCCGAAUCCUUCCUUCACUUGAUCAGCACCCUGAGAAAUCGCCUGCUGGAGAUUGGUCUUGAGGACAUUCACGAGCGAUUCGUUGUAUUUCGCUCUAUAAUGCCAAUUCUGAGCUUCGGCAGCCACUUGCUUGAUUCUGUCGAUCAACUCUUUGUUCCGACGGUUCAUGUUGUCAAUCUCUAUGUCUUUCUCACGAAUCUUCUUUGCAACGCCCUUCUCGAUCGAUGCUAGAAACGAUGCCACAUGUCUCUGCUUGAUGUCUCUCACACCCUUAGCCAAAUGCUCCUCCUGAUCCAUCAAAUGAAAAGACCAUGAAAAAAACAGUACCACCCAGCGAAACGUUUUAAUCAACUCAAUUGCUAUUAGCCACCCUAACAUUCGAAUUUCAUCGCCCAAAUUAAACAAUCGGCCUUGCAUCUAAAAUCAACAAAAAAAACUUGCAAUCUCCGACUAAAACCAAAGUCUGAGAUAUUUUUUUCGAACUAUAGUCAGAGAUUUAAUUGGUAUUGCUAAUAUUUCACUAGGUUGCUAAUAAUCAAUCAUUCACAAUGAGGUCACUGUAUCCAUAAACAAUUACCUGAAGUUUGAUGUACUGAUCGAAUUCCUCUUUCUGGCGAUCGAGUUCAGUCCGGAUAUUGUCCCCGAGCGACAAGAUCACAGACGGUGCUGCUGCCCUGCUUCCACUAGCAGAAGGAAGAGACGACAUUCGCUCAUCCUCGUACUACAAUCCCUGAUUCGUUUAUUCGGUUGGAGCAUAGGGGAGACAUGCUCGCGUCCAAAAUAGUUCACGGCAUCAACGUUACAUCCAGCUGGCACUGAAACCCCGCAAUGUACGUUACUAAACCAGCAUAUCAUGUUUCCCAAUAAGUUCAAGGUGAAGAUCAACACUCUUAUCUUUAUUAAAGACUAUCUUUACAGAACGAAAGCAGUAACUCACAAUUACCAAAUAGCUGGAGCUGAUUUGAAGGGUUGUUCUGGUAAGGAAUUCGGUUCUCGUCCAAGAAAACAGGAAGCAUGGGAUUGCCACUGUUGCCUCCAAGCAUUUUUCGUAUGUAUCAUAAACUUUAUAGACUUCUAGUUAUGUACGAAGGAGAUUCAAAACCUGCCAGAAGAGCAGAACAGGAAUAGUAAGCAAUCCAUUUCGUGAACAUUGACGAAUAUAGUUCUUGAGUUGUAAGAUACAAUUUUUCAAUUAAAGCUCGACACUUUCCAUAUAAACAGUCUAUAUCGGAGAGCAGAAACACGUGUCUAGGCACAAAUGAGGAAUGUUGAGCAAGGAUCGAGCCUAAACCAAUCAAAAGUCUAGCUUUUGUCGAAACCAGAAUCUUCAUACAACUUUAAAUGAAUUGAGUGAGCCUUAUAAGCUUACUAUCAGUAGCAGAAAAAAUUCCUAACUUAAAGUAAUUGAGGGAAUAUCCAUUAUCCACCAUGACAAGAAAUCAGACACAACAUUCGCACUUGGUAACUUUACCCAACUGCAUUAGAGAGACGUUACAAAGAACGAAGUUGCAUCCAAUAAACGUAUGAUCCUUAAUGCGCCAUGAGUGAAUUAACAACCUAACCCAUGCACCAAACAUGGAGUUUGUGAUGCACAGCAACUCCACAACUAACAGGAAAGCAGCCAAACAACACACUAGAAGCACAAUGGCAGUGAACAGAUUAACAAAUUUCCAGUAACACAAGGCAAACAAUACUGAGAUCACUCAAAUUCAAUGCACACUGAUGGAGUGAAGCAGAUCGGUCUUCAAAAAUCAAAAGGAGAAAGCAAAAUCCUCAGAUUAUAGCUCCACUGAAGUAGGCUAGUAGGAUCACUCCAAUAAGGGUUUUCCAGAAACGGACCAACUUCUCUCAACACAAAUAUGAGGCUGAUGAGUCAAAAAUAGGAAUGCAAAUGACAAAUUCGGCAAAAAAAAUCUUAAGAACCUGAAAGAUUAGAUCUUCAUCAAUAACUCAAUAAAAAUCUCUCAACCCCAUAAUUUCAUCAAACACCAAAAACCAACAAAAAUUGAAAUAAAACAAACGGCGAGCUUGAAAUUUGAAUCCAUCAAUGCAAAUAAAGAGUAAAAGCCAUGAAAGUACCUCAAAAGUAUCAAUCAGGAUUGAUUAAGCUCCACCAGCAGAUCCUACAAAUUUCAUAACAACAGCUUUAUUAAUCCCUAACGAACAACACAAGGAAAUCAUGAACAACCAAGCAAGAGCAAACCCAGAAACCAAAAUGUUCCUAACAACAAUCCACAACAAACAAAAACCAUGAACAACCAACCCAGAUGAACAAGUGGAGAAGUGGGGAAAAGAUGAAACCUUUGGGGUGGAAAAAGGCACGAAACCCGAUGGUGAUCGGAUGAUUCUUCUGCAAUAGAGAAAUGGGUGUGGGGGGGUAUGGUGGUGGUAGAUAGAAAUAAAGGCGGAGAAGGUGAUGAAGAAGAUGGUGCGGUGAGAGUGGGAGAGUUGAUAGAGAUGAUGAGAGAAAACGGACGAAAUCAAAUGCGCUCUCUGCACACACAAGUAAGAAACGAAAAGUUUGGUUUAAGUAAUUUAAUAAAUAAAUAAUGAUGGUAGAGGAGGAAGGAAGAGACGGUAAGAAGGGAAGGGGGGAAGUGGGUAGAGGAGGAAGUGGAUAGAGGACCGUUUUCACUUCCUACAACCCUACUUCACAUUCAAUCCAUAUAUAUUAUUACGGAACUAGCGAAUGAGUUUAUAAUUUUUCGAACAUCUUUAUUUUACAGUUUAGUUUUAGAGUUGAAUUUUAUCAUACAAAAAAAGAGUUGAAUUCUAUCCAAAAGAUUGUAAUAGUUGAUUAGAGCCUAAUGCACCCCGAUUUACAUUUAAUGGCGAAGCGAUCUGAAGAAACAGAAUAGGUCGUUGUGGACAUCAGUGUGAGAAGCAUGGCAACAUGUACGUUAUGUACCUAAUUAUGUAUUUAUGUACAACAUCGUCGAGUUUUGAAUUAACAUGUUUGUUUAUAACAUCUUAGACAUACUUUCCUUACAAACUAGUAUUUGGAGAUGAGUUCUAUCCAAAUUUUUAUAACAUGAUAAAUUAUAAGUGAGUUCUAGUAUUUUUGAAUGAAACGGUAAGACGGGGAACCCACAUAAUUCAAUUGAUUAAACUAUUAAUAUAAAUAAUUUUAUGAAAUUAAUUUAAUUGAUAAACCUCGUAACAUAUAGUCAAUUGGUCAAACUAUUAUUAUACGUGAGUUUUUUAGAAUAAACCGACAAUAGAUCGUAUCAUAUGAUUAGAGAUUAUUAUUAGAGAUUAAUGUUUAAGAUUGUACCCAUAAGACUAACAAUAUAUUAUUUAUAAAUGAGUUGUUAAGUGAAUUGUUAAGGUUGAGUUCAAUCUUUUCUUAUAACAUUAAAAUCCCGGAAUAAGAAGAUCUCUUGAUUUGAUUUUAAGCAAACUUAAUCAUCGAAACCAAACAAACCCUAAUACUUUAGUUUCAAAUUCAUGCAUCAUAGCUAAGUAUUCAUUUUUCUCCCUUAAGCUAACUACAUAAGAUUAGUCUGAAUCACAUGUAACAGUGUAUUUAGCAAUAAUAUAGAUAUGAUCAACUAAUUAGAGUAGCUUUUGAAUUUGCAUCAUUGUGUUAUAGUAAUUUGGAGGUGUUAAUAGAGCUGGAAGUUUGGGUAACGGGUAUCGGGUAUUUCCGAUUCUGUUCAAUAUCCGAGCAGGAUUUGUAUAAACAUCAUGUUAAGCAUAUAAAUAUCAAUAUUCACCAUUUACGUACAUAGAUAACACAUCUAUUAUAGCUUACCAUGAAUUCGAACGGAGACAUCUAUACCUAGUCCAAAUAAGUUGUAUAACCAACACGCACCAUUCAUAAUCUCUCACGAUAAAACCCUAUAUAAUUUUUUUGAAAUCAUAAUCUCCCCUAAUAAAACUCAAUGUAAAAUUUUAGAAAUCGUAACUCAUGCCAGAACUUUUAUACAAAUAAAACUUGACUAAACUCAAAAUUUCCGCCCAACAUCUCGAAACAUAUCGGUUCCAAUAUAUCACUUGUAUAUCAUGAACUCUAAUAGAGAAAAUUCCAAAGAAAGUUGAAGUUGUCACCAUCCCUUUUAACCCCAAUAUAAUGAAGCCAUUUUUGGAAUUCAUAUUAUGAUGAUACAAAGCCAAAGAAUUGAAAACACAGAUGUUAUGAAUCCAAAGCAGCCAGCUAGCUAGCCAAAGAGACACAGCCACACACUAACACUACUUUCUCUGCAAUCCCACCAGCAAACAACCAACUUGUUGAUUGAAUCGUAAGAGAAGAAAACAAAUUACUUUUUAAUAAAUGGGAAUUCCUUAUCUUCCUCCUUUGUUUUUUUUGGCAACGUUCGAGUUCGAAUUCGGAUACUUAAUAUUCAUUAUUUAUUUAUCGUCUGAAUUUUUUUCAAAAAAAAAAGUAGGGUUGACAACAAUCGAGUUCGAAUUUGCAUAAUUACUAUACGUUACAUUUGAGUAAUAUCCAUUUUAUAUAAUAUUUUGUGUAGUUAAUAUCAUACCAUAUACAUAUUUAUCGGUUUUAGUUAUAACCGCAAUUGAAAAAAGUAAAAAUAUAAAGAAAGUAUAUAAUUUUUCAAACAAUUCACAUUUGUAAAUCACUAAUUAAGCAAUAUCAAAUUAUAUAAAAAAAAUUUAAUAAAAAACUUAAUCGAGCAGUUACGGUUCAGAUAUGAUAUCUCAAUAUUCAUAUCCUAAAAAUACCCAUUCAACUCAAAUUUUACCCUGUUUAAACAGAUGGGGUUCGUCCGGAUACCCGUAAUAACGAUUAUAAUUGCCAUCUAGAAUUUAUAAUUAUAAACUUGGCUUUCUCUUGUUGCCAAUUUCUUGUUGAUGGUGCCGUUUGAGUAUAAGCUAGCUAGCCCAUCUCUAUCUCUGGCCAUUAUCGUCAAUGGUAACGUUUUGGUAUAUAAGUAUAUGCCCUUGUUUGAAUUGUUGCGAAACUAAAAGUUAGUGCAACUAGCUAGCUUAUUGUUAGCCUUAGCUAUCAUAAAUUAUUUAUAUGCAUCUUUGAUCCUUUUCAUGUGAUGUUUAUGAUAAAUUGGUAUUUAUAAGUUAUAACAUUCAUUCACAAUCUGUGUAUGGGUUCCGUCUUGAUUGAUUGAGGACUAGUACAUGCAACUGUCCAAGGUGACGAGUGGAUGGUGGUCAUCAAUACCUAGCUAUAUACUACUACUCUAUUAUUGGAUGCCUUUGUCAACGGUAUGAACAUAUCUUGCAUAAUUUGCCACGUGGAGAGUAGCUAGGUUCACCAAAAUAUAUGUACAAUGGUCCGACUCGCGACGAAGUUGUGUUAAAGCUGUUUCGAUAUCAUGGAUAGGCGAGGAAUUCAGCAAACGGGGAUAAGUUUCAACGUUUGGAACAUAAAAUUUUGUGUGUAUCGUUUAGUUUGUUUUAUUACCAAGACUCCCUCUACGGUCGCACCACAUUUAGUGAUGUCGUUGUUAGGAAAAUUUUGUGGCUGCAGGCAUUCAACCCAUUUGAUCAGACUAAUGAUGUCAUCACAAGGGUUGAAAUGAUUGAGCAUGUAUUUUGGGUUUCGACCCAUAAUCUAUGUGAACAAAGUCAUGUACUAUAAAUUAUAUAUAACCACUCAACUUUAUAUAACAUGUUUCGCAUGUGUACCAUGUAUUUGAUGUGCGACAUACUCUAAACUAGUUUAGAGACAAUCAAUAUUGUAGUCUACUCUUAAAUUCUACAUGAUAUAUUGUAUGAUCUUGGUAAAGGGUCAGCAUCGGUGUCCAAUAAAAAAGGAGACCACAUUUCUCGAGCGAUCCACCUUAAUCUUUCCUUGUUAGGUGUUCAUAUGUGAUGUGUCAGAUCCGCUGAAUUUGAACUUAGUAUUUUUAAAUUAUCAAAUAUCAACAGACGACGCAAUCAACUACAUUACUCCAAGGUUGGAAAAGAAUAUAAUAGUCGCAUCCAAGAAUUCAAAACCCCACGUAUAUUUAGAGAUUAUUCGUUGUCUCUAUGUAAUCAAUAUUGUGUUUGAUUUCGACAUAAUUAAUAACAAAAUAGUAAAAUGCUUAUUAGUCCAUCCAAAAAUCCAAGAGGUGGCGGCCUUGUAAAUUCGUAACGAAGACUUCAUCAUUAUUUGCAUAUUUCAAUAUUCAACCCAAAUUGAAGGAAAGAGUUUGACGUUGAAACGCCGUCGUUUUCUCUUAUUCACACUAACCUUCCCAUCUAUAUCUCCCUUUUAUUUUCUGCAAUUAUGACUAACUUGCAUGAUAAAAAAAAAGUAAUUGAUAUGUGGGCUCAUAAAUAUUUAAUUCAGUUGGUUAGUGGACCAAAUAAUUAAUAGUUCAAUUAGAAGUUUGAGUUGAUUGAGUAAAUAUGAUCAUAGAUCUUUCUUUUUAAAUAUAUAGAAGUUUUAAUUAACGAUUCUUUAUAUGAUAUAAAAAAAUGUAGUGAGUGGUUAAUAGAUAUUAUAAGUAGGAAGAUAGGGGUAUGACUGAUACUAAGCAUGUAGUAUGAGUAUGUGUAUUUAUAGCUUUUAGCCGUGCAUGGUUGGGGGUAGCUAGAUAAUGUUAUAGAUGUAGGCCACCAAGUUUUAAUUAAAUACGUUCAUGAUGGCAUGACCUUAGUAGAGGAAAUGUAGUGAUAUAUCUGAUGAAUGGUGGCUAGGUCUAGACAAGAUCUUGCUGGUUGUUGAUGAUGAAGAGUGAGGAUUUUCCUAGACAUGAAACUUUAAAAGACAGACGAUUAAAUUAUUUUCUAUGACAGGAUAUCCUUCAUCAGAUCAAUUGAUGUGAAAGGACGGUCACCUCUAAAUCAAUUUAUAUCAAGCUCAUCUUGAAUGGUACCAUGAACCAUAAUCAUUUUACUUAUGCACUAAGAAGUUACCAUCUUUACUAGUUACCUUUUAACUUGUUUUCACAAAAGGGGUGAUGCAUGCCUAGUUGGAAAAAUUUGGAAUUCGAUUCCUUUACUAAAUUCUAUCACUUUCCCACUAUAGAAAAAACAAAACAAAAUUCAUUAAAUGGAUUAACGUGAGAAUCAUGCAUCUCUGGUGGUGGUGGUGGUGGUGACUAAACUUUUUAUUUAUUAUUCAAUGACUCAAAUGUAAUUAAUACCCCCCAAACAAAAAUAGUUUAAAAACUAUUUAAUGUUUUUCUUGGGAGAGGAAAAGAGACUGACGGUGACGGUGACGGACGGGGGAAGAGUUAGCCGUUGGGAAUGGGCUUAAUCCUGUUGGCGGGUACUUUGGCAGCGGAAGGAACGGAAAACGACGACGUUUGCGUGAAGGGCUCGGGUCACGGGUUUUGGGUGAUCCGCAUAUCUCUUGCUUCUAUAAAACAAAAUUUAGGUGUUGUUUGGCCAGGGAUUUGAACUUGCUACAUCUUGAAAUUGAAACCACCGAUAACCGGAAAUAUGGUGGAUUAGUUUGCUUUGUGAUUAACUUAAAAUAUAAUUAAUAAGACUAAAAGCAACUCCAUUUGUACUUAGUUGAAAUCAUAGUGCAACCAAAAGUCUAAUCAUAUAGGGCCCUAUAAUCCCCAAUGUACAGCUGAAAUUCAUGAAACAAUUACCUAAACAUUUGGAGACUUUCAAUUAUCUGUCUUGAUGAUCAUUCAUACUCAUCCAAAACUGUAUCACCAUUUUAUUUGGUUGUUUUUACUCAGAUGGUUAAUUUGUUGUCAAAAUCAAAUCGACCAAAUUGACAUAUAUCAUGUAACUGUAAUUUGUUAUACAAAAAAAACAUGAUCGACUUUCUUUGACGAAUUUUCUAUAACAAUUCGAUCUCAGUACAGCGUUUAAAUCUUAACCGUGUUGCUUGAUUGAUUUGAUAUUCGGGCCGAUAUAGCAACAUCGGUAUCUCUUGAUAUUUUGACCUUAGUUUUGAUCAAAAAAUAUUUUGAUCUUAGUAGUCUUUGUCAUGUACAAGAGGUGAAAAAUUGGGGAAAUAAUGGCAUGUAGAGGAUGGCAUGCAGGAAGUUGCUUCAUUUGUCCAAAAGUGAAUUUGAUUGUGAAACAUGAAGAUAAUUAUGAUUUAUUAUAUAAUAUAAAGUAAAGUAAUUAUAGUUUAAUUAAGGAGAUGAAAAGGGGAUUACAAAUGCAAGCGUGUUGGCUUUCGUGGGCGUUUAACACGUUGUUGGAUGUAACUUUGUGUUUUGAAAGGGGAGCUUUUACACAUUCAAAGCACCAAAUUCCUCAAGUAUUUCACAAAUCUUGAGAGUUUUUGUUGUUUGAUUAUGUAGUGGGAUGUGGGUUUGCCACCCGAUGAUCAAAAUAUAAUCAAAAUAAAUUAUGAAUCUUUCAUAAUAAUUUAAUGCANNNNNNNNNNNNNNNNNNNNUUUAAUGCAUUGAGUUGGAUUAUAUAGAAUUUAAAAAGUAUUAAGUUGCAUAUAAAAGUAUGGUAAUUAAUUUAAAAAUUUAAAGAAAAUGGUGUAAUAUUGAGUGUUCUAAACUUAAAGAUGAAUUAAAUCAUAACGUGAAAAAACUCUCCUCUUAUGUGAUUAGUGAAUAAUGACACAUAUUAUUUAAAGUUUAUGAGUAAAUUACGCAUUAUGAGUCUGACUGAGUACUACAUCAUUAAGCACGACAUUGACAUAUGAACAUAUAUUUUUUUUGAAUAUUCUCACUUUACAAAUUAACUUCUGAAGAUGAGUUAGGGUGUAACACAAAAUAUUAUUAUUUGUUUAUUGGGAUUAAACCCCUCCGUCUAUGUAAGAUAGAAAAAAUAAAUAAAUAUUAUAUCAAAUUUCAUUUAUAAAAUAUAUUAAAUUCAGACUCGAAAUUUUCAAAUUGCUAAACAUAUGAUCCUAUUACCGAAAUAACUUCACUUUUGCACUAAAUAUUGUUGUUACGGUUUUGUAAAUUGACUACUAAUAUCAUUAUACUUAUUUUGGAGAAACGGUAUCGUUUUGCAUGUAGUAAAACAGACGUCCAGUGUCGAGGAUUUGACGAUUGACUUAUUGAGCCAUCGUCGUAGCUGCCUCCGCCGGCACCGGCGAGCCAGGAGCCGGUCCGGUGUUGCUCCUGUCACCUUACGUUAGAUAAGAUGAAACUCCUUAUUCGCAGACUCGAUUCCAUUUCUAUUGUCCGUUUCCGUCGCUUUUGGAAUGGCAUUCCCUUCCAAAUUCAAGCCUUCCUUUUUCCCACCGCUCUUGUUUUUCUACAUAUUGUUAUCAGCAGAUGAUCUGGAAUCAAAUUUGUACACUAAUCAUCUCCAGCCGAGAUAACAACGAAAUGGGUAAUUAAUUGACAGCCAGCAACCCCCUUUUUCCCCUUUCCAUUUUCUCGAAUUCAAUUGCUUGUCGUCUUUGUUUCGAGAAUCUACACAAAAAGUUGGGUUCAUCAUCAGCUGGCAUCUGUAGUUUGUUGAAAGAAUGAUUCCUUGAUUCUCCUUAUUGAUUUUGUGUUUAUUGAAAGGAAGUGAGGUUUCAUGAAUGGACACUAUUCUCCGCUCCAAAGAUUUAUUCUUUGGGCGUUUUUGUUGUUUCUGCUGGCAGGGUUUCUGGGUUUGCACUUUUUUCUCUUUACUGGAAGAUACUUUUGCCCGGUUUCUGAUAUUUCCCAGAAGCCAUAUUGGUCUGAAAUGCUGUAGAAUUGAAGUAUAUCCGUAUACCCUAAUCUAAAACUGUAAAAUUGUCAUGGAUUUGCUUAUGUUAUUUGCAGUGCUUUCGAAACUGUACCAUAUCAGAUGGAUUGAUUAUCACUACUGCGAACCAGCCAUCAAGCCGGUCUGAUAAGAUCGUGGUUUAAGCAUUUGGACAUCAUUAUUGCCAUACUUAUCUUAAUUAUGAAUAAUGCUAAGGAAGCUUGUACGUCUACAUUUUGGUGGUUGGACUCAUUUUGACCACAUCUUAUAAGCUCGACACCUUGCAUCAGUAAUUUCUCCAUAACCGGUCUGGUAUGAUCACGGUUUAAGCAUUUGAACAUCAUUAUUGCCAUACUAAUCUCAAUUAUGAUUGCAAAUGAAACAUGUAUGUCUAGAAUCUGAUGCUUGGACUCCUUUUGACCACAUUUCAUAAGCUCCACAACAUGCAUCAGUAAUUUCUCCUUCCUUUUUCUUCCUGUCCAUUUACUUUCAUGUGGUAACUUUGAAUUUAAGUUUCCAGUCGAGUUGCAGGCUAUGGACGGAUCUGAUCCAAGUUAGCGAAGAAGCUUUGUACCAACAAGGAGUACAGAUGUUAUGGUAUGCAAUUUCUGAUUACUCAUGAUCUAUUGUACCAUGUGUGUUGUUGUCCUUCUUGUCUGGUCCUCAAAUUGAUGCUGCACUUACUUGUCUGUUUAUGUUUGCACUACUUGAUAAAGCUGGUUCACUCUCAAUUUCCCUCUUAAAUUAUGCAAAUGAAAAGCCAGAACAAGGCGUUGUACCAAUCACCAGAAAAAAUUGAAAGAUGGAAUCAUGUCCUUUGUAAUUUCCAGUAGGUGAUUGAUUAAUUGUCUAGUAACGUGCAAGGAACAUACACCUGUUUUUGAUUUGUUUAUAUCUUUUGGAUAAUACCAUUCGGAACUAAUGACCCACAGCAGUGUUUGGUUGGUUGGAUGAUAAUGAUUUCCCUCUCAUUCACCUAACCUUAUGGACAUCUCACUAGCUGUACAUGCAUCACUUUGUCCCGUUCUCGAAAAGGUUGCUGUCGAAAGAGAGGCGAAAUCGGGUUGUACAUCUAGUAGCCAGGAUUCUUCAAAGAUCCAACCUUUUUCAUCUGGGUAUCAUCCUUUUUCCCUUUCUGCAAUAACCUCUCUUUUUCUGUUCUAUUUGUGGCUAAGUAGAGUCCAAUAGAGUAAUGAACAAGACGUAACCGCGACUCAAGGCACCGACUUUAGUCACGGUUCAGCGGUUAAGGUACCAGGACCGGACAUAUCCUUAGUCGUCGUUCCUUUCGAGUCUGUUGUUUUAUCUUGCAGUUGUUCUUUCUUGACCAGCUCUUCCACACAGAGCCAGAGAUCAGUUCCAUUAUGCAAUUCUUUUGACAAAAGGAGGAGAAUUGAUCAACUAUGAGGGCUUUUGUUGUUGUUGUUGUUGUUGUUGUUCAAACCUGUAACUUUGAAUUUAUGAUUGGUGUUGACUGACAAGGCUAACUAAAUCUAGAUGCAGCGUGCUUUGGUGGGUCUGAGAGCACUUUGAUUAAGUUGUUUAUUUGAUUAUUUGGCCGGCAAGAUUGCCAUUACUACGUGACAAAGAAACUUGGAUGAUUGAUGUAAUGAUGUUCUUCAUUACUUUCAAUGUGCCAUUUGCAUAUCCUUUCCUAUUAAGGUCUAAGCAAUUGCUGAUUUUCUUUUGACUACGAAAGCUGUCCCUUUAUCAAUGGUCAAAGCUCGCAGCAUCCAUUAAUUAAACCACGUAGGAGAAGCUAUGCUUGUAAUUUAACCUAUAGUUGGUGGGAUAAGAAAAUGUUGUUACUUAACGCAUGAGCAACUAAAUUACGUAUUCUUGCCGUAUUACACUACUUGUAAUAAGCUCGAGUUGGGAUAUGAUUGGAGGAAAGUGCACUGUAGUAGAAACUUAACUAGCAUGUAUGUAUGAUUAGUGGCGGGUAUUCUCCUGGUUCACCAUGCGGUUGGUUAGUAACCGUUCUUCUCGACAUUAUACGGUUAGCACACAGGCUUUUGUUCACAUUCGAUGUGGAAAUUGUCAACAACGUUCUUUUCAUGCUUCGAUUUCGGUAAGCUACUCAUCCAUCACAAUUGAUAAGGCAUUUAUAGACCCAUAUGCUAUCAAUUGAUCGCAUACUUUUAUCGUGACGAAAUGUUUAAAAGGGUAAACUUGAAACUUUUGAAAAAAAAAGUGAUCAUAUCAUGAUGCAAAAUCUUAAUCAUUACAAUAUUUAACCUAUUUAGUUUUUGCAAAAUGUUUAUUUGGGGACAAAUUGUCGGCAAGAUCAACUAAUUUGGUGUCAUUUUGGUGGGUAAUUUUGAUAAUGUGUUUCCAAAUUCCAUUCAUUCAUCUUCCCCACCAUGGCCUUAUAAGCCCAUUAAGAGCCUCAAACUGUUACUCGGAUUUGUGUGCUUAAACUUGUUGUUCAUAAACAGUGAACUAGCCACAAGUCUAUUAGACUAUGUUCGAGGAAUUCUAAAUAUAUGUAUGGUCGUUAACUAUAUCAACAAUUUUAGCAAUUACUUCAUUCGGCAGUUUUUAGUCACUAUUCAUUGGUUGGAUCAUGAACCUUUUAUCCAAACAAUUUGGUAUAUAAUAACAGUUUAAUUAUGAUUUAUAAUAAUUUAAGUGGUUGAACAAUAUAACGUUAUACAUUGUAUAGAUUUAAUAUUUUCAUCGUAUAGUUCUGAAGACCAUGUUCAUUGCUAAUGAAGUUACUAAUUUAACAAACACUAUGUAUCUUUAACCAUUACUAAAUAAAGUGAGAUUUUACAAUUGGCAAUUAUGAAGUUUUGGAGUGGAGAUACUAAUCUUAGAUCAUCCACAUUGUCAAAUGUGUUUUGCUUCAAUGAUGUCAUGAUUAAAUUUAGUACCGCCCAUUUAAUUUUCUAUCUAAUUCUAACUUAGCAUUAAAACAUAAUAAUUUAUUAUCAAUGAAACAAUGAUCGUACCUUUUAUCCAACUUUUGUGUUAUCAACUGUUCAUUCAAUUUUAGUAACAAAAUAAUAUAACUUUAUUAGUAACCGUAUAUACUCACAAUUUAAAGAUAUCAAGUUCAAAUCCGAUACAAAUUCAAAUCUAAUAGCCCAAUGUAAAUAUAUAAUAUUUCAUUUCUUCAAUCCAUCUUGGAAUGAUAUACUUUUGAAAAAAAAUGAAGAGAAUUGGAAGCAAAUGGGUCUAAUUUCUUCCAAGUGGCUCUCGAAUCAGCCAUGGAAAUGGGUGUCAAGCUCAAACAGAAACACACACACACAACAACAACAAUUUGCUAGCAAAAUCCUCGCCAUGAAUGUCUAUUAAAAUCCAUCUAAUCUCCUUGCUAAUCAUCACCUUUUGUUUAACCGUUCAUAAUUUNNNNNNNNNNNNNNNNNNAUUUUCUUUUAUUAUUUACCAAUUUCAUCCCGUACAAAAACGCUUCAUUCACUAUUUUCUAACAGUCUCCUCCUACUCACAUUCUAAUUCCAAUAUAAAUUUUUGUUAUUGCGACCUCCCAAUUUUUAAUUAAAAGAAUUGUAAUCUGAUUGAUUUUUUUCUCAUUCCGCUUUCAAUUUUUGCGUAGAGAAAUUUUUCGCCUUAUUGUUUAGGAUUCGUAAGGAUCGAGGAANNNNNNNNNNNNNNNNNNNNNNNNNNNNNGUAAAUAGUGGGGGGUUAUCAUUAUAAUAUAUAGUGCCAUAAUUUAAAUACACCAUAUCCAAAAAAAAAAAUCAUUUGAUUGCUUAGAUUCUUUCCAAUUUGUCCCCUCAAUUCACAAAAUUACACUUCAUAUUGUCUCCUUUGGUUUUGUCCAUUUCUAGCUACAUAUCACAAGCCCCUAAAAGGGAAUAAUCUUAUGUUCCAUUCUCACCAUUAUUAGUAUUACCACUACUAGCUACCAUUACCAUUAUCUAAUGGCAGAAUCAUGAGUGGAUGAAAAUAGAUUAUCGUCGUAAAUUCACUAAUUCCAUUAUUAUAAACUUUAGUGUAACCCUUUUGUCAUUGAAGUUUUUAUCUAAAGUAAUUUGGAAACUCGAUCGUCUGUAGCACUUUCAAAUUCAACACCAAACUUAAAAAUUAUAUAUGCUUGUGAUCUUUGGACAUUCUGGUUCCGAUAUUAUUUGCUACGAUCAUCCUUCUUUACUUCUCAACUUCAAACACUUCGUCGAGCAUGAUGUUUCUAUUCAAUAUAACGCGCUAACUCACCCAAAAGCCAAACCUUAACGACCACGAUCCGUAGUAUCGAACACCACAAAAAACGAAAAAUAUUGUAAUAAAAACGGUCGAACAAUCACAAUCACAGUCACCACAAAAUUAAGAACAGAAACAACGAGAACAUAUACCAUAGCCAACCUAAGUACAUCCAAUGUGUAGUUUAUUUCCUCUCGUGCCGCCAUAAUAUAUGUAACAGUGAUGUUCCCAGAUAACUGGGACGAUGAUAUUUAUUAAUAUAAUAUCGAUCGAUCACCACUUUCAACUGAGCUUUUUGCUUGUAAUCGAUCACCAAUGACCCAAUGAAGACUCACAACUUCUUGCUAUAAAAUAUUAAAAAAAUAUGGCAGCAAUCAUAUGCUUAGAUUGCUACACUUGCAUUUCACAUUUUAAUAUAUUUAUUUUUGUGCAAGUCAUAUUUACAAUAUAUUAACUUAUCCAUGAUUGAUGUCUUCAUAUUCAUAGUUUAAUAAUAUUUUCUUCAUUACCCAAUAAAGCAUUAGAUUCAAACUAGUUUUAUCAUAUAAAAAAAGUACUACUUCACUUCAAAAUAUAAAACAAUUAUGUCUCCACUAGUGUAGUGUAAAACCCGUAAAACCCAAUUGAAAGAGUGAUACAUAUGUGAUAAUGAAUAAGUGAGAGAGAUCAUAUCACAUAUGCAUCAUCAUGUCAUGUACAAUGAAGUAUGGCAUACAAGGUCGGCAUGUUAAUCGACAAACAUAGUUGCUUGUGUUUCGAAAGACGUACAUCGUGUAUAUAUGAGCUCUUGUUCUGAUACGAUUUUUUCCCCCAACAUGUUAUAUUAAUUUUACAGGCUANNNNNNNNNNNNNNNNNNNNNNNNNNNNNNNNNNNNNNNNNNAUUUAUUUAUGGUAGUCUGAAUACAAUAGACAAUCACUCAUUUUGUAACUGUAUAUACAAGGAGAAUUAACUAGCUAGAAGAAGUAGUUAUAAUAACCACAAAGAUUAUUUGGAAUAACCAACACAUUUACUCAAAUAAGUGAGAGUUGCAGUCGAGGAAACCUCAUUCCCAAGAGCAUCUAUGCCAUAUUUGAACACCAAGCCCUAAAAGAAGAACCACCCUUUAAUUACUACUGUUUGUGGAAAUUUUCACUCUUAUGCAUAUAGUAAUAAAUGGACAAGGUUAUGUCUUUCACUUUGCAGCCAUUUUGGAGCUUUUGAUGUAGCUAGGAGAAGUUUCCUUUUCUUUGUACUUCACCUGAAAAUCUGCACACAAAAAACGGGAAUGAUAUAGGGCUUUUCGAUAAAGUAUCGGAUAUUUACGUGUUUCGGUCAAUUGGGUCUACUCUACAAGAGUUAAUUGUUGAGCAUCUAUUUAUAGGCUUUAUAUAGGUUUACCUUAAACUACGGGGAAUACUAGUACAAUUAAUUAGUAUUGCUGUUUUAUUUCCUAGUUGUAAUGGAAACGAGAGACAUGAUUCAACAUCCUAUUUCGAGAUACUAAUAAGCUUUUACGACGAGAGAAAUAAGUAAAAAGGUCAUAUCCCGACCUACAUACCUUGUAGAAGAAAGUCAUUGACAUAUUGAAGUAGUAAUGAGGAAGAGAAAGAAAGUAGCUAAUUAUAGUCAUGAUAGUUUUCAACAAAUGAAGGUUAAUUAAUUGAUUAAGUACCUGAUCUUCAGGUUCAUCAGAGUGGUUCCAUGGUGUUUGUGGAUGUUCAUGAUCUUGUUGUUGCUUCAACUUGAUUUCAUCUCUGAAAUGGGCUGGUGGGAACUGAGCCCACUGGACAAACCCACAUAACAAAAACAAUGCCAUCGUUUUUUUUAAUAUGCUACGAGAUUGAUUAUUGUUAUUGACGAUAAUUAACACUCAAAUUAAACAUAAAAAUUACGAUUUACAUUCUUUGCAGCCAUGCUGAAAGCUUCCUUAUGAACCAUCUUUGGAUUCUCAGCUUUCAGCCUUUUGAUCUCCUCUCUGCAUUAAAACAAUAUUAAAACAGAUUUAUUUGUUUUAAAAAACCAUUUUCCAAAAAUGACAAAUUAAUGAUCCAAAUUGUGAAGGAAAACACUGAACAGAAUUAAUGUUUCUUGAUUAAUUACUUGAUGAAGCGAUUGUAAGCUGAAGGAGCCCUUUGCCUUUUCUCUGGAGCUGCAAAAAUUUAAAAAAUAAUAAUACAAUUUUACUAUUAUAACCACACAAUUAAAUGAUUAACUAACAAAAUAUUUAAUUAAUUUGAUGAAAUAACUUACGUUUAUUGAUUUUGCGAUUAAUAUCUUCAUCUUCAUUCUCAUCAGAAGUUACCAACAAUGGUGGGCUGCUAUCCAUGAACAACAAUGAACCCUUCUCUUCAUAUAGGCUACCCACUUGAUGAUUACCAUCUUCCUUUUGCUCCUUCACAAUCGUCAAAAUAGUCAUCCAAAAUAAUUACGAGUUAUUGGGAUGAAUCGAUUCUCCAGCGUGAUAUCAGAUUGUUUCACUGUGAGAUCGAGGCUCGGUAAAGGCAACAAUAUCAUGUGUUCAAUUACUUGAGUAAAAAAUUAAAUGAUGUUAAUUAAGGAGUGGUAUAUAAACCAAUUAUAACCCUCUUUCAAAAUCUCAAGAUAUUGUGACGAUAAUGAUUAGUACGAGAGCCUUCCAUGACAAUAGUUAGUGAAUCUAUGCAAACUUCAAUCCCUCUACCUGAUUAUGAACCUCGUCGUUGUCGAGUCCAACAUCGGGGGAGGCCGGCAAGAGAUGGAAGGGAAGGAAAGAGGCUUUGAUCAUAUUGACAGAGAGCAAGCUAGUGCAAUGGCCACACCUCACUGUAACCACCAUUGACAAGCUGCUGCAUGGCACACUCACCUUCAAAGAGCAUAAACAUAAUGAAGAUUUAAGCUUACUGACAUUAUAAGUAGAUAAGCUUUUGAAAAAGAUCAUUAAGAAGAAUGGGUUUAAUUUGAUUGGUUUUACCAGUAAGAUGGUGGUGCAGAAGCCACACUGGACAUAGCAGAUCUGGUCCUCUGCUGCUGCUGCUGCUGCUGGUAGAUCAAACAGUUGGCUGCUGACUGUUGACGACAUUUUGUCAAGAGAGAAUGAGAGAGACAAUGAGAAGAUGAUGGAAGUUUCAUAUGGGUUUUUUUAUAUAGGGAGAGAGCUAACUAUAGGGGUAAAAUUGUGAUAUUAUAAUUAUUUUUCCCUUUUUAUACCAAGAAGUUCUUUGACGGAUAUGGUGAUAUCGUCGUCAGAUAAAAUUUGGAGGUUGCCAAUCGUCAGCCCGGGUGAGACCGGUUAAGUCAUCACAAAAGUGCCAAAAUGGUUGUGCAUUCCAAAUUUCAAACACGAGAUCUUUAAGAACAAAAUCAGGUGUUACAACCAUUCGACUAUAACUUGUUAAAAUUAUGUUUUUUUUAAAUAAGUCAGAUUAUAAUGGUAAUUAAUCUCUUUUUGGUUGAGGGGUAUAAUGAUUGAUUAAUUGUCAUUAUCAUGAUGAUAAUAAUUAAGUCUCUGUUCGUCAGGUUGUUUGUAAUUUAUUACCAUCACAAAAUUACUCAUAAUUACAUGUGGCCACACAAGACUUUGAUAGAUAGAUGGUCCCUUUUCCAAGACUAUGAUUAAUUUUAGUUAAGUGUACUCUAAUGUGUUUCUAAUUAGUUUUAAUCAUUAGUUAAGAUUUUUUUUAUUAAGAUCAUAAUUAUGUCCUCAUUUUAUUAUAAUGUUAAUAAAGAUUAAAUUAGUAUAAUUAUAUCAUCAUUUUAUUAUAAUGUUAAUGCAACUCUUUUAAUAUUUUCAUAAAAGUAAGAUCUUAUCGAUAAAAUUCGUCUUAUUAUCACUUAUCGAAUCUUUUUAUAGAUCAUUAAUGACUAAAAACCUGUUAAUAAUUUGUUUUGUUUACGAGAUAAACACUCAACCAUUCCACUAAUCAAACUUCGUACUGCACACACUAAUGGUCACUUUUCAAUAGAGAAAAAACCUAAAAAGAUUAAAUCACCAAUAUGAUCAUCAUUUGAUAUUUGUGUAUCAACACAAGACUAUGAUUAAUUUUAGUUAAGUGUACUCUAAUGUGUUUCUAAUUAGUUUUAAUCAUUAGUUAAGAUUUUUUUUAUUAAGAUCAUAAUUAUGUCCUCAUUUUAUUAUAAUGUUAAUAAAGAUUAAAUUAGUAUAAUUAUAUCAUCAUUUUAUUAUAAUGUUAAUGCAACUCUUUUAAUAUUUUCAUAAAAGUAAGAUCUUAUCGAUAAAAUUCGUCUUAUUAUCACUUAUCGAAUCUUUUUAUAGAUCAUUAAUGACUAAAAACCUGUUAAUAAUUUGUUUUGUUUACGAGAUAAACACUCAACCAUUCCACUAAUCAAACUUCGUACUGCACACACUAAUGGUCACUUUUCAAUAGAGAAAAAACCUAAAAAGAUUAAAUCACCAAUAUGAUCAUCAUUUGAGUUUUGAGUGUCACCACCAAUAAAUGACAGUUUUUCAACUCUGCUUCAAACUUUCAAACAGUGGAACUACAGACAGUAAUUAAUUUACCAAGGUGAAUAAAAGUGGUAGUGGCCCCCUCUAAAGUGACUCAUGGGUUGUUUUCUGUGUCAUAAUUUACUGCUUCAAAACGAGAGAAAGGAUGGUGAAAAUUACCAAAGCAAGGUCAGGUUCUAGAAGAGUGGAUCAUGUUCGUAGAAGGAAAUGAAGCAUCUUGGCCUUUUGUCUUUCUGUCCAAAGGGGUUUCUUUAUGUUCCACUGUUAAUGCCACAUCUACCUUUGCCAAGUUUCCAUUUCCAUUUCCAAUUUUUUACCUCGAGUUAUUAUUUAAAAGAUGAUAGAGUCGGAGAUUUGUACAACUUUGAGUAAGUAUUGAAUCAUUAUGAUACCACGUUGUCAUAAACCACUGCAUGUCAACCACUUAAAUCAUUGGGACAUGACGAUUCAUAACAAGUCUUUGUUCUGUGAAUAACAUUCAGAAUCCAAAGGGAUAUUCAUAGUCAAAUACAAGUAUUAUUGAAAACAAACGCUAGACCGAACAACUAAAAAUAUAGAUAUCAAAAUGCAUAACAUUACUAUCAUCAUUGCCCUGGAUACUUUCGAAGGAUGGUGACAGCUCAGGACAGCCAACCUCCCUACGUACCAACUCUUUGGUGGAAUGUUGAAGUUUGAUGAUCCAAAUUCACCGUGUGUAUAUCAAAGAGGUCAGAUCAGCCGAGCUUGCAAGUCCGUAACCAAACUUCAUUAGUUCUUCAUCAUUAAUAUUUGUUAAACCAAUAACUUCUUCUCUCAUUGGUUAAUGAUUUAGGGUUAUGAUUUGGGUUUUUGUAGGAGAGAUUGGCAAAUGUGAAUGCAUGGAAAAAUGAAGGAGUCAGAAGUCAGGAACCAGAUAUUAAUUAGUAAGGGACUAAGAUUGAUAAAGGAUUAGAGCUCAAUUUGGAAAUGUGUAGGUGUGGGUGAUUCAAGUGCAUGAUUUCCUCAUUUUGUAUAAAUUGCCAGAUUGUCGUUGAAAGUGUUAAUCUCUAGUGAUUAUAGAAGGGUUAAGGGGGAAGUUCUUUUGAUAGCUAUGUUUGACCUAGUUUGGGGGUGGUUGCUACUAUAUCGUUCGAUUCGUUGGGUCGUUUUUACGGGUUUAUUAUGUCCCGGUUCGAUAAGGAUCAAGGGUUUCCUAACCCACUUAAUUGAUUGUUUGGGAUGGAAAUGCUCUAAUAGUUCUAUAUACUUUUAUUCUUGUACGUAUGAAAUUAAUCAUGCCUACGCACAUCUAUCGUAUACACUCAACCGCGAAACAUGCCGAUAAACUAGACCGAACGAAAUCAAACCGAUACAACUAAUUAAACCGAUUCUUGCUAUUAACCCAUCCACACCAACACACUAUGCAUGGAGAGACCAAUAUUAAUUGCACCACUUCAACCACCAAUUUGAGGACCACAUGAUAGGAUUGGAGAAGUAUUACUAAUUAAGAACCCUAAUUUUUUUUUUCUUUGUGAAUGGUGAUUCAGAGGGGAGUACCUCGUAGUUCUGUGUAGAGGUUGAAAGUAGUAAACUGAUAACAAUUUGGUUGACUGUGACUGCACAAGCUAGCAUUGAUUAAUGUGCCAUGAUUUUUGCUUCAUCUUGUUAAUUACUGAUCUGGAAAAUGUGGAUUAAUGGCCUUAAUUAAACUCUAUAUCACAAACAUUUUGUUUUGUUAAGAGUUAAUGGCGGGUUUGUCAGCUAUACAAAACCAUUUAGGCAAAGUUGAGUCAACUCAUCCAUGCACUAUGAAGAAGAACACUCAGUCAUCACUAGUGGAAUUUUGUUUUUGUCGUUUACUAUCUCAUUGUUGCCAGUUUUCCAGUUCAGAACAGAGCAACACAGACCCAAUUGGCAAUUGCAGAAUCACAAGUCAAUAAUUUUAUGAAUGAAGGUUUACAAGUCAUCCUGUGCAAAAGUUGGUAUAUAGGAGAUGUUGUGGGCUGUCAACGGUGGCAUCGGCCUCCAGCGUCGCGGUGCAAAGUUAAUAUGGAUGGUGCCUUGUUUACAGAGCAACGACGACGUCACGGAGUCGGGGUGGUGAUGGGGGACUUCGACGGGACUAUCUGGGACGCCUCCAGCGAAGCUUUGCGGGCUAAGGGUAGUAGAGGCUCGAGUUCUUGGAAGGGGUCAAGUGGAUCAUGGGGUUGCGGCGUUGCGGGAGCUAUUAAAAAAAAAAGAGUUCGGUCGAAUCCUUUUGAUUUACAAACAAAAUUCACCUAUUAUAAACAAAAGUCCUUCAAAAUUUUUAUGAACUAAUCCUACUACUAACUGUAAAUAAGUUUAAUUAGUGUAAUUACUAGCAGCAUUUUUUAUGAUCAGUAAUUUAUAAUUUUAACCAUGAUCGUUUUAUCAACCCUAUUCAUAUAUUAAAUGAGAUAAUAGAAAUAUCUAUAUAUGGGUAACACUUUGGUAUUUACAAAUAUCGGUAUCCUCUAUACUAUAAUUUUGUCAUAUUUUGUUAAAAAUAAGAGUUUGGAGGNNNNNNNNNNNNNNNNNNNNNNNNNNNNNNNNNNNNNNNNNNNNNNNNNNNNNNNNNNNNNNNNNNNNNNNNNNNNNNNNNNNNNNNNNNNNNNNNNNNNNNNNNNNNNNNNNNNNNNNNNNNNNNNNNNNNNNNNNNNNNNNNNNNNNNNNNNNNNNNNNNNNNNNNNNNNNNNNNNNNNNNNNNNNNNNNNNNNNNNUCAUUCGACCGUUAUUUACAGGGGUUACCAUAGUGAAUUUUUAUUUUUAGCCAUUUCCAAUAUGUAUGUCAAAUAUUAGCUGAUUUGAAAAUUUUAAAUUUUUUUUGUGAAAAUGGUCAAAUUUUCAUAGUAUAACACACGGAAAUUGAUAAAUUUUGAUAUGAAAAUUUUGAAAAUUUUCAAAUUGACUAAUAUUUGACAAGCAUAUUGAGAAUGGCUAAAAAUUGAGAUUUCACCAUGUUAAACCCUUCUAAUAAUAGUAAAAUGAAGUUAAAAAAAUAUUUUUUAAAGGUUUUGAUUGGUGUUGUUAGUGGGGAUGCAUGUGUUUUUUAUUACAAAAAUUUUACCUUUGAUUUUUAAUGGUUUCCCACCACAUAUUGUUCGGUACGAUUUUAAACCCCCUUACCAAUUUUCUGGCUCCAUCAAUGUGCGUGAGGACAAUGUUUUGUUCGAGAUCGAUUCACAGGUGGUUCAUGUGGCAUUGGCCCAUGAAGUGGUUGACCAAACGGAGUUUGGUAAAUUGAUCAAAGAAUGGCAGGCUGUACUUUUGUUACAACCUAGUUUCAAGGUUUUGUAGGUUAGGAGGAAUAGGAAUCCGAUUUUGGAGGAGGCCCUCCCGACUGAUUUGAACAACAUUUUGCUUUGCUUGUCAGCAGCAAUAAACGUUUGGGUUGUGAAAAAAAGGAGAUAUCGUUGAAUCUGCACUUGUUUAGCAUCGUUCAGUGUCUAUCUUCGGCUGGAGAAAUAGUCGUUUGAGGCACGAAGACGGUAGGCCAGAGCUCACGAAGAACGUAGAAGAACAAUACCGAUUAGGAUUUUAAGGGGCGAAGUGAGGGAUAACAUAGCAAUCCCUCGGCGUAUUCGGACAAAGUGACAGUAAGUGUGACAUGAGUAAUACCAUGUCAUUGAACAUUGAUCUCGAAGAGUAUACGUAACAUUGUCCUGUGUCGUCGCUUGAUUAGCUAAGUGUGUUGGUGCAAAUCCUACCUCUUGGCGACCAACACAGACUAAGAUGUGAUACAAAUCUAAGAAGCAUUACAGACUAAGUAGGCUUAAACAAUGAUCGAAUUGAACAAAGGGUCGUUAGGGUGAAAGAUUUCAAAAGGUGAUUUGGACAAAAUCACACACUAUAGAGAUUGUGAUAAAAUACACCGUUUGGCAUGGAACCAGAUUAUGAAACAAACAAUCAAAGUACGAUGUUAUGAAUUUAUGACAACAAAAUUUGUUAACCCAAUUAUGCUUCAAAAGAAGAGUAUGCAUACUACUGUGUUGUGAUGAUACCACCAAUUGCAAUGAUCAUACACAAGUAAUAUACGAGCUAACGAAUUAACUUCAUUCCCCUACUAAAACGGACAAACUGAUUAGAACAAUGAAUAUUCAGUUCAUCAACACCAAAAUCCCAACACUAGCAAAACUGAUCUUUGAAGGAACAAGGACCCAAACGAAGACACAGAACCAAUAUUUAUCUACACGGGACACAAAACGACUGAAACACAGGACCAUGGAGAAAACAAUAAACAACUUUUGGCCAAAACUUGUUACAGAACAGAUAGUAAGCCAAAGACACAAGAUAGACCACUACUAUAGAGGGCAGUCUUUCACCUUCUUCAAUAAGGAAAGACACUAGGAUCAAGAGGAAGAGGCACAUGGUACCGUCCACCAACUACAUCAGAAUGAUGACUACAAAAACUAACAGAGGGAGUGCAUAACUCAAGAACCAUGCAACAUACAUGAUCAAGAACACUUAGCAUUUGACCUUUAGGUUGCUCAACUAGUAGGCCAUUCACAAGACUCAGAAAUCAAGUAACAAGGACAAGUCUCACAGUGCAAAUUUGAGAAAUGAGUUGUUGACUGACCCUAAAGAGAGUAGAUGAAAACUGACGAUAACUGCCCUCAUUGUGCAAACCCAGUUGAAAUAAGAUACACCCACUCUAAAAUCAAUGUCAAAGCUUGAAACUUUAUCUUGUCCUCCUACUACGUACGCAGUUCAAGAAGAGCUAGAAACCAAUUGACAAUACAAAGUCUACAUAAGAUAUCUAGCAAUUGCAAGUGUAUAAUAAGAGCACUCAUGUCCAAUGACAAUUGAACAAAGCCAUCAGAAUCAAUGCCUAACCUCUGUCUAAACAACACACACAUCAUUAUAACCUAUCAAAGAGACAGACACAUUUAUGAACAUCUAAUGCCAGACAUGAAGAAAUUAACUGCAAUAACAAGCAAUUAGGCACGAAUUUAUGAAGCAGAGCGAUGUUUUGCAUAUCACAUAUCUAAACCAUCCAAAAUCCAACAGUUAACCAUAAACCUUUAAACCAUCCGGCGUUCAACAAACCUAAUCCAGAUGCUCAAAAUUCAAACAUAUUAUAAUCCAAAACACUCUCGAAACCUAAUCAGAGCCGGCCUUGUUGUAAACAUAGGUCAUCCCGCACUUGCCACAGUAGUGCCUGUCAAAGUGGUUGGCCAUAAACGUACCAGCUCCGCACUCGGCGUUGGGGCACUCCUUCCUCAGCCUCUGGACCUUGCCGGAGUCCUCCACCUUGUAGAACUGGAGGAUCGCGAGCUUCACCUUCUUCUUCUUAUGCUUGAUCUUCUUCGGCUUGGUGAACACCUUCUUCUUCCUCUUCUUGGCGCCACCGCGGAGGCGGAGCACCAGGUGGAGCGUCGACUCCUUCUGGAUGUUGUAGUCGGCUAAAGUGCGGCCGUCUUCCAGCUGCUUCCCGGCGAAGAUCAGACGCUGCUGGUCGGGUGGGAUUCCUUCCUUGUCCUGGAUCUUGGCCUUGACAUUGUCGAUCGUGUCCGAGGACUCGACCUCGAGGGUGAUGGUCUUCCCGGUUAGGGUUUUCACGAAGAUCUGCAUCGUGAGAGAGCUCAGAGCAAAAAGCACGAGUGGCUGCGAAAUGAGAGUGAAGAUGGAGUUUAUACCUCUGUGGGUGGGGAUUAGGGUAGGGUUUUGCAGGUUUCUUAAGAUUGGGCCGAUCCCAACAUUUGAAUAGUCCAUUUGAAUAAGUAGACAUGGGUGAUUGAUUAGGCCUCAAAAUCUUUGUUUUUUCUAAUAGCUUUGUGAGAAGAUAAUGAGAUAGUAAGUGGUAAACUUACAUUUUUAUCGAAAGAAUGAAAAUUAUCGAUAAAAUUUUUUAAAAAUAGUUAAAAGUUAGACAUAUUAUAAAAUGGGUGGCUCUCUAUUGACAAAACGGUGGAUCGUCUAGGGGCGGAGCCCCUGACUGACGAACAUAAGAUGGAGGAUGAUGUCUUGAACAAUCGAACUAUCAAAGGGGAGUAAGUCGACCAUUGCGGAAAUGAGAUGCGAACUUUUCGACGUCUCCUUCAAUAUCAACCUCAGAGCCUUGAUUCUCUAAGAAUAACAAUCAUCUAAACCCCUUUUAUAUUUAUAUUUACACAACUACCUUUCAUCAGUACUAUGUGCUAUAUAUUAAUUAGUUACUGAUGAUUAUUUUAUACUCUUCUUUAUAAUAUAAUUCGUUUUGUAAUUUGUAUGCUACGAGCUUCGAAUACACUUAUUUGUUUUAAACUCACAACGGAUAUGUUCGUCUAUUAAAAUAAACGCCAAAUCUUGCCGAUGACACAUGAGUAGUUUCGUUCGCACAUAAACAAGAAUUCGUUCUAAAAAUGUUAAGAUAACAUACUUUCCAAUCAACAAGCGGAUAAUUAUCUAGUUUAAAUUCGUCAUUUUUCGUACCAACAUAUACAACUAAGAUGAUUAGUAACCAAUCAUGCAUCAUGGAUGGAAAUCAACCGAGGAUAACAUCCACGACAAUGAUGAUCUCUGCGGGAGCGAUUUACUUGAGAAAAAGUGAAUCCUCAAAUCCAUGUUAGAUUACAUGCUAUUUAUUGAUCAAAUAGGAAAGGAUAUGGUAUAUCCUAAUAUCUAGAGUUUAAAUCCAAUAUAUCUUACGAAAUGAAUAUUAAUAUAAUAUUUUUUUUAUUUUUUUUAUAUUGACAGGGAAUCUCGGUAAAAAAAACAUAGCCAUUAAUAAUAAUGUGUACAUUCCAUUAACAAAAUGUACAUUUCAUGUGUAGUUGGGAGAGAUGUGACCAUGCUUGUAGGACCAAUGGUGGGGAUUACCUUCCAGAAAGUAGGAAGUGUAAUGAGAAUUGGCAACCAAAGUGUCGACAUGACAUGAUUUUCUUUACACCAUUGUCUUGGAAGUUUAUGGAAUAAUCAAACAGAAGAUGAAUGAUAAUCCCAUAUUGUAAUCUCUCAUACAGAAGCAACAAAUUUGAUACCAGAAACAGUAUUUGAUCAUUGUGGAAAACGUGUCGAAUCAACGCGAAUCCGAAAACCCAACCCGAAGCAAUGGCCUCCAAACACCUGCAGCGUUCUCAUUCCAACAUCCAUCUCACAGAUUCGUCCAUGCACUCUUUCAGCUACAAGCGGCUGUAAAGAGGGUCAAAGUUUCCUUCUUUUCCCAUUUUAAUUUCUCCAAAUUUUGACAGGACAUUGACAAACACAAUUUUGCCGCUUUCAUCAACAGUCGUCCCUUCUUCAGCAACCCAGAAGCUCGAUACCCAUUACCCACAUCUGUGAUCAUCUAAAAUCCCUGUGCUUCUGUGGUGAAAGAAAGCUCCUUUGAAGGGGAUAUCCAGAUUUUGCAAGAGAGAAGCUUUCAAUUUGUCUCUUCAUUUCUGUAAGUGCUGCUGAAAAACUCGCGUGUCCUGCAUUUUCAAUCAUGGGGGUUUAUAGUGGAGAAUCAUGGGGAUUGAAGUAUAUAUAUAUCUACCCUUUAUGCUUGAUUUCACGUAUGGGGUCCAAAAAAUUGGACUACCUGCCUUUUUCCUUUAUAGCAUCGAUUCCUUGAGUGUUGGUUUAAGAUGACCCUUCAGAUUUUGUUCAUUUUUGGGGUUUUUUCUGUCUCUUAAUAGUAAUACUUGUCUUCAUUCUAAACAAUCUGUGCGAAGUUUCUUGUAUAGUUACAAAAAGGAUGGUUCUUUGUAAUCCAUGUUAGGUUCAGCUGCAGUCAAUUGCUUGGACGUUAGUUAGUAUUAUGAUUUCUUUUGGAAGCCUUAGUUCUCAAUAUGGUAUCUUGGUGAGCAUGUCCAGUGUAUGAUAGGAGUGUAGUUCUGAGAGGGAAUCAAUAUUUGAGUAAAGAAAAUGUUGACUUUGUUAGCAGGAUCGUCGAACCGGACUUGGCAGCCGAUCAUGACAGCCCAUACGACUGAGCCGAGCUAUUGGUUGAACUGGAGGUUCGCCAUUUGUGGAGUUUUCAUUGCAGUAAUCAUGGCUCUAUCAGGUCUUCUGAUAUGGAAGUAUGAAGGGUCCAAGGAAUCGGAGUUCGAAUCCGAAAGAAGAGAAAGCCGCCGGUCACCAAGUGUUGGAUCCUUGUAUAAGGAUGAAGCUGGGAGAACUUGUAUGAAGACAAUUCAUCCUAUUUGGUUGCUAGGUUUCAGGAUUGUUGCCUUUGUUAUUCUCUUCUGUUUGCUCACCACGAAUACUGUCGUUGAUGGAGGAGGCAUCUUCUUCUUCUAUACUCAGUAAGUUAUCCCUUUAUAGUAACAUCAUAGCCUUUGGUUAACUAGCUUCACAUUACAUUAGUAACUAGUUUUUUGUUGGCCUACUUGCUUAGGUGGACAUUCUCUUUGGUGACCAUUUAUUUCGGAGUAAGCUCUCUCGAAAAAUCUGUUUUACAAAUAUGGUUACAAGUUGUUGAUAGAUCGAACUAGUUUCUUAUGAUCCUCAUUCUAAAUCUGAAGUAUGGAUCAGCAAUGUCGAUUUACGGAUGUUGCAAAGGUCAUGAUACUUCGGCUUUGGAUACUGAGAGAGGUAACUACAUUGCUCCGGAUCUUGGAGAAUUCGGAGAUUCAUCCAGCCGUGUAAAGAGUGCAGCUUUGGAUCAAGAACAAGAUCCGUGCUCUGAACAAAAGCAAAUUGCUGCUGCAUGGGGAUACGUGUUUCAAAUCAUCUUCCAGGUGAUUCAUAUCUUUUAGUUCAGAUCCAAAGACUUGAGUUUGAUAUUUCGAGUUCAGUGAGUUUGAAAUGUGUCUCAUUAUUUUUUGAUCCACUGUAUUACAGACUUGUGCAGGAGCUGUGGUGCUCACUGAUACUGUGUUCUGGUUCAUUCUUUAUCCCUUCCUAAUGGCUGCAGAUUUCAAGCUUGAUUUCGUAAGUUUUCGACUUUUUCUCCGUAUCUAGAAUACAUAUCCGAGUUAUGUUCGUUAAUCGAAAUUCGGGUUUUCCACAAAUGCAGAUAAAUAUUUGUAUGCAUUCAGUCAAUGCGAUUUUCCUCCUUGGCGACACGAUAUUGAACGGGAUGGUAAACUUCACCAUCCUCUAUUAUCCAUCUCGUUCGAACUGUGCUAGUCGGUAACAAAUCUGAAUAAAUCAUCUUUCUUUUUCCAUCUAGCGGUUUCCAAUGUUUCGAAUCGCGUACUUCAUUCUGUGGACGAGCGUGUUCGUGGUUUUCCAGUGGAUCAUCCAUGCCGUUGUCUCAAUGUGGUAAGUUUCUGAGCAGAAACUAAUCGAUCGUUCGCUUAUACUUCCAUAAACCUUUGACUGGAAAACAUUGACACUUUGAUCUGGAAUUAGGUGGCCAUAUCCAUUUCUCGACUUGUCGUCUAAAUACGCUCCUUUUUGGUAUGAACGACGAAUGCAUCUAAACCACAUUACUAGCUACUCAUGAUUCGUCUUUUUGGAUAACUGAUUGUAUCAAUUUUGCAGGUACCUUGGAGUGGGAGUGAUGCAUAUUCCUUGUUACGGGAUCUUUGCUCUUAUAGUUAGAUUAAAAUACUUCUGCUUGGCAAAAUGAAAGAGCGACUCCGUUCGAUCAAUAUCGAAAGAGAGAGGCAAUGUUAUGAAGCACAGGCCAUUUCAGUGCCUUGGCUCCCAAGUUUCUGUAAAAAGUCUCGAUUAGGGUUAACGAGUAUUAUGUGUUUGGUUAUUGUUUGAUCAAACCACCGUUAUAGAGUUAAAUGCACCUAUUUUUUCAAUCCGGUUAGAUAGCAAUUUCGAGAUUACAGUUUUGCUAGGUUUAUCACAUUCAUACUUGUAGAACAAAGUUAACUAAACUAUAAAUUCUCAUAUGGACUGGAAUCCACCAGUUUUAUAGUUCGCGAAGACGAAAACCUAUUCGGUAAUAAUUGUUGAGAGCACAAGAGAGAGUUAAUUACACGAAACUUCGAAUGUUUGGUCUUCUGCUAUUUCUGAUCCUGUACUAUUCUCUACAGGCUUAAGCCGAGUGUUCAAAGUACAUAUCUUUCGAAACUACGAGUGUCCAAUGAACAUCCUUAUCUAAGGCUUUACAUUCUCCCUGAUGAACCGUUCAACAUCCGCGAUUUUACCGGUCAAACUGGAAGCUUCCCCGACCGAGACAUUAUUAGUGCACUGAGAGAAUGAAAAUGGCUUCCCGGAUAUACCAAGUGUAUGGUAGUUUGCCACGUCAGCAUCCGAAACACUGCUUCUCGAUUCUCGUAGCUUAUCACUGUUAGCAGAGAGUGCAAAUACAGUUAGAUGAGCUUACAAGUAGCUAGAACAAGCAACACGGAGGAAUCGAAAAGCUGUACAUCUCUUUUUCAAGUUGCUUGCAGAUGAACUCCUUGGUAUGUGCUGUCACCUUCUCUGUUUUGUUGCAGCAGAUCAAGACUGGAACCUUCUUGCUUACCACACUUGCUUUAGUCAAAAUAUCAUACAGGUAUCUGUCACCAAAAGAAAAAUGACAAAAAAAGAGUUGGAUGCAUUGUAAGCAAUCACACAAACAUAGGAUACUGUAUGGUUAAUUUGUUGAGAAGGUUUUACUCUGAAACUGCACGGAGGUUAGGUAAGAACUCUAGAGCAUCAACAAGAAAGACAACGCCAGCUGCUUGAGGCAAGAACUCGUCCAGCUUUGGCCGGAGACGAGGAUGCCCAGGAACAUCAACAAUGUGGAUAGGUUUCACCUUGCGCUCCUGUCGAGGAAUGAAGAAAACGAGAUAAGCAAACACGAAGAAGAUAAGAAAACGUCCCUAGUAUAUGGUUUCCCAUUCAAUCGAGAUAUCUAGAGCUUGAAUAUGAGCAUUCCAAGUGUUGAUUACCUUGCCAGCUUCAGAAUGGAGACUGAAAGUUCCUUCGUUUGGUUCCAUUGAGGUCGCAGCACCUUGAUGUGAAGAGCCAUCCCGAAGCUAGCAAAGAAGGAAAACAAUAUUUAUCAGAAACAUGUGGCUUCUAAAUCCAACUUUGUGAAAUACCAGACACCGGGAAAAAAAGAGAUCAUAAACAACACCGCCGAGUUCUGGAUAGGGCAAACUAUGACAGUUUCUUGGAAUGUAUCAUCAGAGUCAGGCAUGAACCAGAAACAAAAACAUGUAAGAAAUGAUUGGCGAGCACACCUGAUAGAAAAGAACUGUUUUUCCACUCCCGCUAAGUCCAGACAAGACAAUGGUGUUAGACCUAGAGCGUUUGAACAAGCGACCUGUGAAACAAGAAAGGAUAUACAUCAAAUACCAUUCUCAUUCUGACCUUUCCCAGGAAUUUGGUCACGGGUCAUUCAUUUCCAUCCAACGAUGUAAAGUUUGGAUUUCAGCAUAGCAUAUGUUAAACCAUUCCAGAAACGAAAUACCAGCUGGGAAUCAGAACAAAAUUCAAAUAUUCAGUUCACCCUCCUGAUUUAACCUCCAGUGCAUGAUUAAGCAGCUAAAAUUCAAUUACCAAUGUGACCACUAUUGCAGCUAGAAGCCUUAAGUUAUCAAUUGUCAACCUAACCAGUUUCUCAAAAUUCAUCCAAAGAGUCACUGAUCCUCGAGGACCAACUCAAAGCAAGGUCAACUUAUAAUUCAAGGGGAAAGAGGUCAACAUUACUUAGAAUCAACACAAGAAUAGGGAAACACAGCACGGCAGCAGCGGAGUAGAGCUGAACAGGCGGUAUCUGACGAGCGUAUUCAAUCCCUUGCUGAAUUGCCGGUACCUGACUGGCGUAUUCGAUCCCUUGCUGAAUUGCUGGUACCUGACUAACGUAAUCGAUUCCCUGCUGAAUCCAUUGCUCCGCCUCCCUCUUCCACUGCUCAAUCCCUUCCAUCGAUAGAGAGAUUAAACACGCAGCAACUACGAAAACUCCCGCAGCCAGACAGAAAUUCCAAACUUCUUCAGAGAAUUAAGAUCAUUUCUGGAGCUCGAGAUUGAUUACCGGCGAGAGGAGACGAAGACACAGAGCGAGACUCCGCCGAGGUCGCCGGUGAAUCGGAGAAGGGUGUGCGUUUUGGACCGAGAGUGAAGAGUUCCGAUCUGGUGACGAUCUUUUUAAAGCUUCACCGUUUUUGGUAAGUUAGAAGAAGAUGAGUUGGCGAACUUCAGAUGGGCUUUCGGCCCGGAUAGCUUAAAUUGGCCAAAAUCGUUAUAGUAACUAAAACGAUUAUUGGGCCGGUGGAAUUAUGAUCCGGCCCGUAGAAGAGAAGUUGCCAUCCUUACUGACGGGGUGAGGAUGGUAAAGAAGAUUUUCUCGAUUAUUCACAUGUAUAUUCAAAGUAACAAGUUUUAUACACCCUAUCAAUUAUCAAUACAAUAUGUAUUGAUGUUCCCACCAAUUUGGUUCAAGCCAUAGCAUCAGCAAAACAAUUUGUUUAGCUAUAAAGAUAGAUUGAAUCUCCCAAUCUCUAACACGAAAUUUCUUAAAUUGAUGUACCAAGCUAACAGUAUUAUGAUUUACGUCAUUGGACUUGAAAAAGAGUUAUGUCAUAUUUGGAUUUCCACUUUCUGAAAUUCUCGCCUCCAAACGAUUUCCAAAUCAUCAAGAACAUCCUGCAACUAUACUCUAUUGAUUGUAUAAACACCCAAAUUAAAAACAAAAACUUCAAUACUCUUCAAAGAUGAUCGCAAAAAACACCUCAAAUAAUUACGUAACCUCAAUCCGAUCCACCGAACCAUCAAUUCAUCUUCACCCAACCAUCAAUAAUAACCUUUUUAUUGUCUUUUGUCCCAAGCAAUAAUAUAACACCAAACAAAAUCCAAGUCCUCGUCACAAGUUGGUGUUUGGUACGCUUACUCUCCACCCAAUUCCGCAACUACCCAUCAAGCACUAAACUUCUCAGCUCGCAACUCUCACCAACUUCGCAUCUUCAAUUCAAUUUCUUCCCCCUGAUCAGGUAUGAAUUCACAAUUUCCAUUCAUUCUCAUCUCCAGUUUCGAUCCAUCGUUCUUCUGAGUCUCACUCUAAUCCUCCGUUUGCAUCCCCCGCCAGUUUGAAAAAAAAAAUGGCGCGGAAGAAGAUCAGAGAGUACGACUCCAAGAGGCUUCUCAAGGAGCAUUUCAAGCGCCUCUCCGGCUCCGAUCUGCCCAUCAAAUCCGCCCAAGUAAGCCUUUUUUUGUUUCUUCUUUCAAACUCACGCAUGAACAGAAUCCCCACCGUGAAUUUUGUGUGUUUAGGUUAAGGAAUCGACUGAUGUGUUGGAGCUGGCGGAGACUGAGCCAUGGCUGUUGAACGGGAAGCUGGUGGUGAAACCGGACAUGCUGUUUGGGAAGCGUGGCAAAAGUGGGCUUGUGGCGUUGAAUCUGGAUCUGGCUCAAGUUGGUUCCUUUGUGAAAGAACGGCUCGGGAAAGAGGUUGAGAUGAGUGGAUGUAAAGGACCCAUUACUACUUUCAUUGUGGAGCCGUUUAUCCCUCAUGAUCAGGAGUUUUACCUCAACAUUGUGUCUGAGAGGCUUGGAUGCAGUGUUAGCUUUUCGGAAUGUGGAGGGAUUGAGAUUGAAGAGAAUUGGGAUAAGGUAAACAAACCAACCCCGUAAGGAUUGAAUGAAAAGGAGAGAAUUUGAUUCUUAAGAGCCUUGUAACUUUGUUCAUGCGUGUUCUUAGGUUAAGACGAUCUUUGUUCCGACUGGGGAGUCCUGGACUUCAGAGAUCUGUGCUCCACUCAUUGCUACAUUGCCUUUGGAGGUAAACUGAGUUUGAUUUUUGGUCUUUUGAUUGAAGAUUGUUUGAAGGAGUUAAUGACAUUAGGAAUUCUGUUUUUUUUUUUCGGAUUCAGAUUAGAGGCGAGAUCAACAAGUUUAUUUCGGUGGUCUAUACUCUAUUUCAAGGUAUGCGUACAUGUCGCCAUUAAUAUGUGUCUGUAUAUCAUCAUUAUUUUUGGCUGUUAUGAGAGAAUUUUGGUAUUUCGAUGAGUAGAUCUUGACUUUACGUUCCUGGAGAUGAACCCUUUCACUCUGGUUGAUGGAAAGCCUUAUCCUUUGGACAUGAGGGGGGAACUUGAUGACACUGCUACAUUCAAGAACUUCAAGAAGUAGGAACCCCCAUUUCCCCUUUGAUGUUUUGCAUUACAGUUUCUGUUCCUCUUUUUCUGUUUAUGUUUCCUGAUUCAAUUGGCUCGAACUGUUUUUUGUAUAAAGGUGGGGAAACAUUGAGUUCCCGCUACCAUUCGGGAGAGUGAUGAGUGCCACGGAAAGCUUCAUCCACCGUCUAGAUGAGAAGGUACACAUCUCCCUCACAAAUCCCAUUGAGCCUUUAUGUUUCUGAUUCAUUCGGAAUUUUCACUGAUCGAGAAAUGUUGGAAUUCAUUUUGAUGAUGACAGACAAGUGCAUCUUUGAAGUUCACAAUUUUGAACCCAAAGGGGAGAAUCUGGACCAUGGUGGCUGGUGGAGGUGCGAGUGUGAUCUAUGCUGACACAGUAUGGAUCGUGAAACUCUCUGUGAUUCAGAAGCUCUUUCCUCGUCAUGGCUUCUUAUGUCUUUUCUAAUCACAGGUAGGAGAUCUUGGGUAUGCUUCAGAGCUGGGGAACUAUGCGGAGUACAGUGGCGCACCGAACGAAGAGGAAGUUCUGCAGUAUGCCAGAGUUGUGAUUGAUGUGAGAGAACUCUUUUCUCCACACCUCUGAUUCGAUAGAGUCCUUCACGUUUUUCGAUGUUGAAUGCACCCUUUUGCGUGUUGUGUGUGUCUCAGUGUGCAACAUCUGAUCCUGAUGGCCAAAAGAGAGCCCUUGUUGUCGGAGGAGGGAUUGCAAACUUCACCGACGUCGCUGCCACCUUCAAUGGCAUAAUCCGAGCGAUGAAGGAGAAGGUGAGUUCUCAAUCUGAUAAAUUCUUCGUGCAAGAUGCAAUCUUUUUGAGUGAAAGAAACCUUCAUGCAAAUUCUCGUUCUCGUCCUUAGGAAUCGAAGCUGAAAGCUGCCAGGAUGCACAUAUUUGUAAGGAGAGGAGGUCCAAACUACCAGAAGGGUCUCGCCAGAAUGAGGGCACUCGGGGGAGAAAUCGGGAUUCACAUUGAGGUACUACUCUCGAGAUUCAUGAAACAUGUUUUUUUCUUAUGUUAAAUUCAAACGAUUCUCAAUCUUAACAAGGUUCGUCUCUGCUUCGAUCGCAGGUUUAUGGUCCGGAAGCGACAAUGACUGGUAUCUGCAAGCAGGCUAUUGAGUGCAUCUCUGUUUCUGCAUAAGCACCCCUUCCUCUCUUCAUGUCUUUGGUGUGCUGUCAGAAAUUUUGGAGUCUUUAGACUGUUUUCUGUGGAAAUGUUGAUCUUUUCAUCUGGUAAUAAAACUGGUUGUUGAAGCUUAUUAUUAAUAAGAAGCUUAAAGAAUCAAGAACAAGACGGGGGUGGUUUGGAUGGGAGUAUUUUAAGAGAAAUGGAGAUAUGGAAAGAUUGGGUUUAGGGUGGUCUUGGUUGACAGUUAGGUACACCAAAAGAGAGCAUCAUGACAUAACCAAAAAAAGAUAACUCGCAUCUUUCUCUUACGUUAGUUCAUCAGAAUCCAACGUUAGUUCAUCAGAAUCCACUAGAAAAUAAUGUUCAUGACAUCGAUUAAAUGGACCCAUUUGAAGAUCAUCGCAACCACCCUUCGGAUAGUAUGUUGUAUCACAAUCCACAGAGAUGAAAAAGCCAGAUUUGCGAACGAGGUAUAAUCAAGGUGGUAAUUUCAUCGGUUCUCAUCGCACUUUUUACUAUUUUUUUGUAGUUUUGUACCUGGUUGAAAAUUGACAUUUUUGAAAUUUACAUUACAGAACAGCAUCAUGGACUAGUCUCCAUACGGAAAAGAUUACUUCCCACGGGUCAUCUAUAUGAAGUAGUUUGGCUUAGAUAACUUAAAGAAUCUCGUUUGUAUCAAGACACUUCGUUUGUCAUCCAAAAUAAAAAUCAUGGUAUUUUUAACUGUGGUAUUUGAAAUAAAUACUUGGUUAUAAGGUGGUAUUUGAAAUAACUAAUUCAAAACUCAAAAUUUAUUAUUUUGUAUUAGUCAAAUAAGGUCAUUUUUACCUAUCAAAUUUUUUAUACUUUAAAAAUAUCACAUUUCCAAAUAAUAUCUCAUUUGUAAAAUAACUCGUCGGACAAAAACGGAAAGAUAAUUAGAGGGUAGCAUAAGGUUUUGAAUGAGAGGGUGCUUAGUUUAGGUAGUGGUGGCCUCGUGGUCCAAGGAAUUCCCGUGGGAUUUAAAUAAUAAUAAUGAUUAAAGUGGGAUUAGGAGGAGGAUGGGCAAGAGUUCAUAAUAAUAAUAAUAAUUUAUUGUUGGUAUAAUUAUUUUUGACUGAAUUAUUAUUAUAAUUAUAAUAAUUAAAAAAAGUAUAGGGAGAAUAUUCAGUUGAACAACUCAAUAAUAAGUAGGUCGAUCGUUUUUCUUUAAUUUACUCAAUUUAUGACCGAGGUUGGUACCACUUAAGAGGCUAUUACUUAUAUUCUAAGAUCAUUAGGUAGAAUAUUUUGUGUUCCCUAAUAGCAUCUAGUUGAUCAAUGUUAUCCAACUUUCAUCUUAUAAGUUGUCAUGACAUUAUUUUUUUUUAUAAUAAGCUGUUAAACUUUCAUUCAUGUAAAGCAAAUUACAUUACGAUUAAGUUAUCCCAUCGGAGGGGCAGGCCCUAUAAUCAAGGCUAUAUGGACUGCGGAUCCUUACGAAUAAGUGACAUCACUUUUUUCUCUCUAACAUAUUGAUCAACUAGUGAAAAUCAAAGCAAAACAUAGAAAUAGGCCAAAAGAAACGAGACAAGUAAACCUAUUGAAGACCUAGCCAGCAAGCGACCUUAUUUGACACCCUGAAAGCGGCCAGGAUCCCAAGUGGUCGAUUUCCUCCUCCGCUAUGGGAUGAGGACCUCUUAGCAUGGCUCCUGGCGGCGAUGGCUCGUAGUUGUCGAUCUCCUCCUCCGCUACUGGAUCUGAAUCGCGGCCGAAGGUGAGGGAGAGCAUGGAAGCGGCCCAACGAGUUGUGGCCGUUGGUGUUGACGCUAAGGGGUUGUGAAGGUGGUUGUGAGUUGUGUUGAGGUGUUGUUGAUGCGAUUAGAAACGGUUACAUUAAGGUCUCCUUUCAGUUGAAAGCUUUUAGGAGGGUUAUCUAGAAUAUUAAUUAGUUGUAUUUGUCAUAACAUUAUUUUCAUUAUUUAACUUAAUUCUUUUCUAAAAAUAAGGGACCUAAUUUGUGUGGGGAAAAAAAUAAAAAAGCCAACGAAAUGAAAAAAGACAAGAAAUGCUCAGAGACCCACAUGCUAAAAGGCGAACAACUACUGUUGCUGAAUUCGAUCAAUCACAGCCAUUGAUUAGACUGCUUUGAUUUUACAUUCUCAAAAUUUUCAAAAUAUUUUUGUUUUAUUUUUCUUUCUUUUAUUGGGAGGCAAAAUUUAAAUUCUUUUCUUUUAAAUUUAAUCCAAACUGCAAAAUAAAUAAUAAAAUAAUUAGGGGGUGAUUUGAUGGGGCUGCUGCCUAAUAUUCUGGCGCGCACCUUUACCAGUAAAAAACAUUCACUAAAAUAUUUGCUACACCAAAAAAUCACAGUUCCAAUGCAGAAUGUUUUUUAACAUUUAUUACUUGACCCAUAAUCACAAAUUAUGAGAAUUAGGGAAUGCAUUUCGGUCACUAGUUUGGAUAUACAUUUCAAACCGGCUAACCGAACAUCGGAUGACACUACUACUUGAUCAUGUCAAGUCGCUUUUAGGCUGACAAAUACACGGUUUAGUGAUGGAGAAUCGGGUGUAGUAUGUGUCUAUUCCGAGCUGUCUUCAAGCUUAUACACGUGUUUUUAUUAGAUGUGUAGAGAUUCUAGUACGAUGGAGCGAGUGAGGUGGUCAAACAGAUGAUGCGAGUGAAAAGAGAGACAACAGAAUACUUGAGGAUGCCCUUGCACGUAUAUAGACCUAAGACAUUUCUGGACUGAUAAGGCGUCUGGGUCUUAGCUUAUUCUGUUUUGAAAUGAUAGGAGACGGGUGAUGUCGAUUACCGUCAUAACAGUGUUGAAAUGAUUGCGCAUUUUGAACUUCGAACCUAAGAUCCCUGGAAAUAAAGUCAGGUGCUAUAAUCCCUUGACAACAACUUGUUUGGCCUAUAUUUGGGAUAAAUAAAUCAAUAGAGUGUCACCCUCAUGAAUUGGGGAUCUUUUCUUCUAUAGUAAUCUCGGGGGAUCCAAAUAGUGGUGUUAUAUGUUGUAAUCUGAUCAACAAAUCAAUUGAGACAGAUUUACACACUUUGUAUGAGGCGGUUGGACUCGGCCAUGUGAUUGGGAUUUCGAACAUGCGCUCGGGUUGCUGGCGCUAACCGGCUCGCCUUAGACCGACAGCCCGGUUCUGGUUUGAGCCACAUGACUCAUCACCACUAAUAACCCGAACCGAAAUUCAAAACUCGAAUUUGGACCGAUUGGUCUUUUUAGAAUUAAUUUGAAAAGAAAUUUGCCUUUGGUGGACAGUGGACUGGACAACGGCGCAUGCUAGCAGGAGGGCCCAUUGGUUUCAGAACCCUUUUUUUAACAGAAUGGGAAUAUAUUAUUUAUUUAUUAAUUUGGUGAAUUAUUUUUACUUUUUUCACUCUUACCAAUUUAAUGAAAAAGCACAUUUUAAAGCGAAAAAAGUCGAAAACAGACAAAAGGAAAGACAAAUUCAACCACGUGACCUGUCAAUAAUCUGUUUUUUUUACCCCACCAAGCAAGCAAUUUUUGCCAAUUUUAUACAUAUUUUUUUAUGAAUGACAUUACUAAUUUUAUUUGUGUUUUUAAAUAAAAACUCAUUAAUUCAUAAUAUUACACAUAUUACUCCAAGCAUUCUCUAACUAAAUCGGAUAAGUAUUUUUCACAACAAUGAAUGUCAAAUAAACACAAUCACUAGCCAAAACAUAGACUUACUUUUAUUGUCGGAGUCAAUUAAACAAUUAAAAUGUAGUUAUUNNNNNUUAAAAUGUAGUUAUUUCAAGAAUGGUAUAAGAUUAUGAGAAAAAAAAACGAACAAAAUAUACAUAUGUAUUCUUUUUAAAUUUUAUAACAUUAUGCGUCUUUCAUCAAGGCGGGCAAGGGCAGUAUUUAUAGUCUGGUGAUGGACGUUGUGACUUCAUCACAUCGAUUGAUAUGAUUAAAACGAUCUCAACCAUCAAUUUGAAAUAGUAUGCUCUUAAUCAAUGAGCUAAGUAACCAGAACAAAUUAAUUUAGAUAAAGUCCAUAUCUCUACUNNNNNNNNNNNNNNNUCCAUAUCUCUACUGUCCAAGAGCCCCUAAGUAAUCUAUUUACAUCCAAACCUCAUCAGAGUUAUAGGUCAAACUUUAAUAUUCAAAUUCAAAUGAUUAUCCAACAAUGUUGACUCUUAUUUGAGUUAUCGUUAACCAAUCAGGUUUAUUAUAAAUUCUACAAGUUAGAUAAUCAUAUCAAUAAUUACUAGUCGAAUCUCGAAUGACAUUCAUUACCUAGAUAAACAAUUUCCAUUUGAAUUCAAAGGUCAAAAUGAAAAAUGGUAGGUUGGUAUACUUACACCCUACAAAGAACUUAACUAACCAGUAGCUACUUCGUUCAAUUUUCUUAUUAAAAUUUAAACGAGACAUUUAUUGUAAAUAAUAGAAAAUCUCGGCCAUUAUUCCAAAACUACUUAUAAAUUAUUAAUUUCUUACAAAAUUAAUCCUCCUAAUUUACCGAAAUAGUAAUUACCAAAAGUACCCCCCUACUGAUUCCAAACGAAAUGCAAUCAACCACAAACAAAUAAAAAAUCCCCCCCUAAAUAAGCAUCCUUUUCAUGUCUUGUAGAUGAUUUAUUCCCAUAACUUUAACCCAAUAAUUGUUCCCCUAAUAAUCAAAUAUUCAAAUUCCCUCCCUUUAUUUAUUUAUUUUUAAUUAAAAAAAAAGCAGCAACUGGUUGAACUGGGGCGAAAGAGAUGACUCUGCAGCAGCUGCUCCUCCAUCUCUGUAUCUGUGUCCAAGUUUUUGGCAUUUUCUCUUAACCCCUUUUGCCAUCUCUUUGCCCCCCUUUUCCAUCUCCGUGGGUUACUGUAAACCAAGAAAUUCUCCAUUCCCAUAAUCUUCUCUCAUCCUAAUCUUCCCACAGACUGAAGAAGAAGAAGAACAGCAAACAAAGAAGCAAGCUUUCCUGAAAGAGGGCUAAAGGAGAAUAGAAUUCUUUUUGGGGGCAGGGGGAAGGAAUUGCACCGGAGUCCGAGGUGCAGCAGGAAAACAUAGCCAGAUCUCGUGGGGGGUGAAAAAGGAAAUUCCUUUUCCCCAAACCCCAGCUGGUGAAAAAUUUGGAGGAGAAAAGGAAAGUGAAAGGGAUAUGAUAUGAGAAUGCUGGCUUCCUGAGAAAGCAAAGGAGAUAAAAUAUUUGUUUUAGUGCAGUGGUUGUUUGGUUGUUAGGGUGUUGGUUGGCAAUGGUGGAUUGAACAGACUGUAGUGGUUGAAGAAGAAGGGAAAAAGAGUCAAUUUUUUGAAGUGUGGGAAAGAGAUUGAGAGAAGAGAAAAAUGGAAGGGAGGAAGAGUUUCAGGAUUUGGGAGUUUGGGUUACUGGUUUUGGCAGUAAUGGAGAUAUGCUCUGCUACUCUUUCUCCUAGUGGUAUUAACUAUGAAGGUCAGUUGUUUCAUUCAUGAGCAAAGAAAAAAUUUUCUGUUUCUUUCUUCCUAAAACAUGUUGUUUACUUGCGUGUGUGUUUUUUCACAGUGGUGGCUUUGGUGGCAAUAAGGAAUGCUUUACACGACCCUUACAAUGUUCUGGACAAUUGGGAUGCUAAUUCUGUGGAUCCUUGUAGCUGGAGGAUGGUUACUUGCUCAUCAGAUGGAUAUGUUUCUGCUCUGUAAGUGUUUGAAUUUAUAUAUUCUGUUGGUGGGUGUCAUGGUUCAUUUACUGAAAUCCAUUUUUCCAUAAAUAGGGGACUUCCCAGUCAGAGCUUGUCUGGGACUUUAUCACCUUCCAUUGGCAACCUUACUAACUUGCAAUCCGUGUAAGUUUUAGAUCAAGUUUUGUACGUUGUAAUGCUGUCUUAGCUUCUUUGAGUUGUUUUUGGUACAAUAUGCUUUAAUCUUUACCUUCUACUUUUCCCUCUUCAGGUUGCUGCAAAACAAUGCUAUCUCAGGUCCUAUACCUGGCUCAAUUGGGAAACUGGAGAAGCUUCAGACUCUUGAUCUCUCCAACAACUCGUUCUACGGAGAGAUUCCGGCUUCGUUAGGGGAUCUCAAGAUGCUGAAUUAUCUGUAAGCUCCAGACAGUUAAUCAAUCAAAUGUUCUUCUGUCAAAUUUCUUGGUUUUCUCAUAGCUUAAUGAUCAUUUAUACAGGCGCUUGAACAACAACAGCCUUACUGGACCUUGCCCUCAGUCUCUUUCCAAUAUCCAAGCCCUUGUGUGAGUGUUUCCUUGCACUUGAACUUAGAAAAAACUAUGGGUUGUUGCAAGCCACAUGAGCUAUUGCUGAAAGUGAUUCUCUUUGUUUUCUAGGGAUCUCUCCUUCAACAAUUUGAGUGGUUCACUGCCCAAAAUAUCAGCAAGAACUUUCAAGUGAGCUGCUUUAUCUCCUUUUUUCUUCUUCACAUGCUCUUUAGAUUCUUAUUUUUCUCUCACUGUUUGUUGCUUUGAACUCAUUUUCUGACGUUGUUCAUUUUUCGACAAUUUCCAGAGUCAUAGGCAAUCCUCUACUGUGUGGACUUAAGGAUGCUAACAACUGUUCUGCUGUAUUUCCAGAACCCCUCUCUCUCCCUCCUGAAGGUGCUUACUGAUAUACUUGAUUGACCUCAAAAGUGAUAUACAUCAAGUUGAUCGACUCGAUCUGACCUAUCAUUCUUUUCUUGUUGGACUUCUCAGCUGAUUCAGAUUCUAAAACAAAGAGUCACCAUGUAGCCAUUGCUUUUGGUGCAAGCUUUGGUGCUGCAUUCGCCAUCAUUCUGAUCGCUGGUUUCCUUAUUUGGUGGAGAUAUAGGCAUAACAAGCAAAUUUUCUUCGAUGUGAAUGGUUAGUGUCCGGUGAAAUUCGACUUCUUUUUUCCUACUAUGAUCCUAAGAAACUUUUUUAUGAUGUUCCUCCAAUACUAAGCAACUUUUGGUUGUUGACAGAGCAAUAUGAUCCUGAAGUGAGGCUAGGCCAUUUAAGAAGAUACACCUUCAAGGAGCUUAGAAAUGCGACCGAUCACUUCAACGCCAAGAACAUACUAGGGAAAGGCGGGUUCGGAAUUGUGUACAAAGGAUGUCUGAACGAUGGGAGCAUAGUGGCUGUGAAAAGGCUGAAAGAUUACAAUGCAGUAGGUGGUGAAAUCCAGUUCCAAACCGAAGUAGAGACCAUUAGCUUGGCUGUCCAUCGCAACCUCCUUAGGCUAUCCGGUUUCUGCACGACCGAGAACGAACGUAUUCUUGUAUAUCCUUAUAUGUCGAAUGGCAGUGUUGCAUCUCGAUUAAAAGGUAAGUUUAUACAUAAACUCUUUAUGUAUGUCGAAUGGCCAUGUCUCUUCCGAAGGUGGCUCAUUCGACUUGUUGUGUUUCUGUUACAAUGUUUCAGAUUAUAUCCAUGGAAGGCCAGCUCUUGAUUGGGGAAGGAGGAAGAAGAUAGCUUUGGGGACAGCUAGAGGUUUACUUUACCUACACGAACAAUGUGACCCGAAAAUCAUUCACAGGGACGUUAAGGCAGCUAACAUAUUGUUGGAUGAAGAUUUCGAGGCAGUUGUCGGAGAUUUCGGGCUAGCAAAGCUGUUAGACCACAGGGAUUCACACGUUACCACAGCUGUACGUGGCACCGUUGGCCACAUUGCACCGGAAUACUUGUCGACCGGCCAGUCGUCAGAGAAGACCGAUGUUUUCGGUUUUGGUAUCCUCCUCCUUGAGCUAAUCACGGGACAGAAGGCACUUGAUUUCGGAAGGGCAGCACACCAGAAAGGUGUAAUGCUUGACUGGGUAAUGGUUCAACCUUCUAUUUGCUUGUCAAAGUUUGUGUCUUUGCACCGUUCCUUGUCAAAGUUUGAGUCUUUGCAUCUUCCCUCGUCAAAGUUGUCUUUGUACCUAACCCAUGAUGAAUAUUAUGUGUGGAGAACUGUUGCAUUCCAAUAACUCGAGUUGUUGGGAGAGAUUCAUAAUUAGUCUUUAUAUCAUUCCUUAAUAUUCUGAAAAUGAACCAAAUGAACCAACUUUUAUAUGUGUACACAGGUGAAGAAGCUUCACCAGGAAGGAAAGCUACAGCUAAUGGUGGACAAAGUGCUGAGAGGGAAUCUGGACCGGGUCGAAGUCGAAGAGAUGGUCCAAGUGGCGCUGUUGUGCACACAGUUCAACCCCAUCCACCGUCCGAAGAUGGCGGAGGUGUUGAAGAUGUUGGAAGGGGAUGGGUUGGCUGAGAAAUGGGAGGCAUCUCAGGACCACCUGGAAACACCAAGGUUCAUUAGAACAUGUGAAUACUCGCUUCCUAUUCAGAGAUAUUCGGACUACAUUGACGAGUCCUCGCUUGCGGUCGAAGCAAUGGAGCUGUCCGGUCCUCGAUGAUGAUGGUAGAGUGUGUUCAAAGAGAGGAAGAGUAGCAUUAAGCAUCAGGAGUUCAGGACCAUCUCUCCCAUUUUCAUUUCUGUACAAAUUCUUUAGUGGUUUUAGGGAGGUUGUGGGAAGUUAGGUGCACCAAAGAGUGUUGUAGAGGUUUGAAAAUGUGGAGAGUUGGGGUGUGAUGAUAUGAUGUUUUUUAUUAGGAAAAUUAGUGUUGAUAGUGUGUUUGUGUGUAGUGAUUCAUCUGUGAAAAGGAAAAGCUAAGUUUGAAGAGGAAAAUAUCAUGAGAAGGGCUUACUCAGCUCCAACAAGAGAAAUUAAGAUGACAGCGAAAGAAAUUUAUUUGAAUAUUGACUAAAUUUGUAAGAUUGGUCUUAAUAUAAUUUGGGAGAUACAUGAGAGUUUAUUUUGUUAUUAAAUAAACAACUCUAUUAACAUCAUACACAGACGAAGAAAGACAAGAAUUUUUCACAACAAUCACACCACCAGCCAUACAUUGUGUACUCCAUUGAAACGACAAGAUGAAAACAAACUCACAGUAAUCAUCGAUAUUUAUCUGCUAAAUGCCUUGACAAAAAGAACCAGGCAUUUUAAAGAGUCGGGAAUUGUAAAACAUAGGUUCAAGUGGAGUUGCUCCAAUGAUAAAACAGUGUGUUUGGUGAUCCGGAAGUCAUGGGUUCUAAUCCAACAUACCCCAUGAAAAUAAACAUCAAUGUAGUGUUUACUUUCCGCCUUCUAUCUUAUAUCGACCGAAAAUCUCGGUCUACUCCAAAAAAAAAUCAAUAGGUGGAUCUUAGCCCUUGCCCAUGAAACUGGAUAGUCAGCGAGAAUUGGGCCGGCUGAGUGUUUAUUCUACAAUUACUGCUCCUUCUGCCACGUGUUUCCAUUUCGUGCAUCGGCGGGAAAGUUUACUGCGUCUCCUGAUCUACCGGUUCAUCCUUUACUUUUGCUUGUUAUGACCAGAUUGCCCUCUCCCUAGAUGAGGUAUUUACAAGAGAUUUAGUUAAUUGUCCCAAAUUAUAAUCCCUUCCAUAUAUCCUACCAAUUUAGAGGUUGUUUGUUUUUCGGUGAGGACUGAAACUAAGAUUUAGAUUAACCACCAAAAAUAAAAAAUAUUACCCAAAACUAAACUAAAAGAUAAUGUAAAUUAAAAUGGAAUUUUUUUUAUUUUGAUUACCCAUAACUCACCAUAAAUAUUAAUUUUGAUAUUAUAAUGUGAUGCCUACAAAUGCAUAAUUACUUUCACAACAUAUAUUUAUUUUGACGUUCUACUAUCAACUAUUAUAAUCAUUCAUUUUUAGAUUUGAUUACUUGAUAUUAACUUAUGUUAUGCUCUAAAUUGGUGAUUGACAUUCGACAUCUUAAAUUAAAAUUUUAAAUAAUUUUCUUUAGACAUGUAAAUUUGAUGAGCUUACAUCCUCUAAAAAUCAGAAACAAUUGCAUCUUAGUUAAUUAUAUUACAUGCUAAAUAGGUUGACACAUUAAUUUGUAUUUUAACUAAUGAGAAACCAAACUUACACCAAUACAUUUUGUACCCAAAAAAAAUAUGAUAAAUAAUUAUCAGGUUUUUUAAUUUAGGAUCCAAAUUUUCCAUUUUGAAGUAAUUAGAAUCCAAAUUUUGUUAUCAGUGAUAAAAUCACAAAAUCCAAUCAAAAGUGAAGGAAACCAUCUACACUCUCCCCUCCCUUUAUAGUAAUUGCUGGAUUCACUGAAGGGCUUUGAAGUAACUUCACACAUUAACAGUUUCAUCUUCCCCAAAGUCUUUUCACAGUCCACCACCGUUUACUUCUUUCUCCCGCCGCUUCUUCUUCCUCUCACUGAACUGAACAAUCUCCCCACCAUUUCCGAUCUCGAUUAUCUCGUUUUCCCGAUCUCAGAACUUCUAGAUUUCUCCACUCACAUUUCUCCCGCUCAUAUAACGGACUCCUCUGCUAGCUGCUUGCUAGCUAAGCUUCUUCAUCCAUCCCAAGACCUCCUAUGGUGCUGGAGCAAUGGAAACCAAGAAACUCGGAUUCCAAUCUGGGUUUUCCCUCUGGAUAGCCACCACCUUCUUCCUCUUCAUCUCCGUAAUCCUCCUCACUACUUCCUUUCAGGGUCGUGUCUCCUUCCAAGGCGUCCGUGAUGUAAACUCCUCCUCUGCUUCGACGAUUGUUUCUUCAUGGCCAUUCACUAUCCCCGCUUCUUACUUCCCUGCUACUCAACCCAAAUCCACCGCUACCAACGCCUUUGGAGUCGUUCUUGGGAAAGUGAAUCUGGAUAAAAAUGGAAGCGUGGAAAGUGUUCGAGGAAAUGUCACAGAGAGUAAGAGCUUGUCUGGUGCAGGAAUUUCGAGUCGAGAUGGAAGCUCGGAAAGUGUUCGACGAAAUGUCACAGAGAGUAAGAGCUCGCCUGUUACAGGAGUUGCAGAUGCAGGGCAAGUUGGCCGAUCCAAUAAUGGAUAUGUAGAUCGAGGGGAAGAUGUGAAACAGAGCAUAGACGAAGAUUAUUACCAAAAAUGUGAUAUAUUUGAUGGGAGGUGGGAGAGGGAUGAAUCCAAGCCUUAUUACCCUGCUGGUUCUUGUCCUCAUAUUGAUAGGGAUUUCAAUUGUCAUGCCAAUGGGAGGCCUGAUUCUGGAUUUGUUAAGUGGAGAUGGCAGUCAAAUGGCUGUGACAUCCCAAGGUACUGUAUGUUUACCUGAAAUGGAAACUUCUAAUUGUUCAUUCUUUUGAUAAAAUUUGGAUUAGCUAGCUAGUUUUACUUGGUCAACGGUUGUUGGAGAUUUGAAGGUUCAUUUCCUUAUUGGUCUGUGUAUUUUUAGGUUGAAUGCGACUGAUUUCCUAGAGAGAUUAAGAGGGAAAAAGAUGGUUUUUGUGGGGGAUUCUCUGAACAGAAAUAUGUGGGAAUCUUUGGUGUGUAUACUCCGCCAUAGUAUCAGCAACAAGAAGAAAGUUCAUGAGAUAUCAGGGAAGACUGAGUUUAAGAAGAAAGGUUUCUACGCCUUCUUGUUCGAGGCAAGUUGUUGGAAAUGAAAUCACCUCACUUAUGUUAAACCACUUUAUAUGAUGUUUAAUUGUUUGAGGUGUAAUUUGCAGGACUACAACUGUACUGUGGAUUUCGUUGGCUCCCCGUUCCUCGUUCGAGAAUCAUCCUUCUCUGGUGCGAACGGUACGUUAGAGACGUUAAGGUUGGACUUGAUGGACAAGACAACUUCCAUGUACGAUGAUGCUGAUAUACUAGUUUUCAACACUGGUCACUGGUGGACUCAUGCGAAAACUUCUAAAGGGUAUGAAUGAACAAUACUCUACUUCUUGUUACCAUUUUGCAACCAUAUGAAUGUCGAAUUCGUGUUUUGUAGAGAGGACUAUUAUCAGGAAGGUGAUUAUGUGCAUAAAAGGCUCAAGGUACUUGAAGCAUAUAAGAGGGCACUUAGAACAUGGAGCAGAUGGGUUGAUCAGAGCAUAGAUACAAACAGAACCCUUGUCUUCUUCAGAGGCUAUUCAGUGACUCAUUUCAGGUAUAGAAUACUCUUGGAAUCUCAUUUUCAUCGAACACAUUCUUUUUUCUAUUCCAAGUCAUUAGUUAUCUUGUAAGAUUGGAGCUUAGCAAAGAGGUAAAGACUCAACGACAUGUUUGAAAUUCCCCGAAUUCGAGUAUUUGACACGUUUAUUAGGGGUUUGUCUUAUCUCUUGUCAAGUGCAUACGAUUCCAACAAGGAAAGCUUCGUUUGUCUUGUUCUUUUGCAGAGGUGGCCGGUGGAACUCAGGAGGACAAUGCCACAAAGAGACUGAACCGAUCUUCAACGCAACUCACUUAGCUAAGUACCCUACGAAAAUGAAAGUUUUGGAGAAUGUGCUCCAUGAGAUGAAAACUCCAGUGAUUUAUCUGAACAUAAGCAGACUCACGGAUCACAGAAAAGACGGGCACCCGUCGAUUUACAGAAUGAAAUACGAUACGCCUGAAGAACUUGCUGCAGCCGAACGAUCCCAAGAUUGCAGUCACUGGUGCCUUCCGGGAGUGCCGGAUACCUGGAAUGAGCUUCUCUAUGCCUCGAUCUUGAAGUCUGGGAUUGGAUCAACCUAGAAGAAAUGAAUCCAGGUGAUUCGCAACGGUGCAUCUACUGAAUCUUUUUCUGAAUACCGAGUCUGCUUCUACAUAAUACCAAUUCAUCUACUGAAUCUUUUCUGUUGUAACUUUUACCAAUUAGCCAUAGAGUAGCAAAAGCUUGUUGAUUGCUUAAAAGGAUGUAAAAUUUGAACGACUGGUUCUGCUAGGCUCGAAAUUGUAGAUUCUGAUACAAGAUACUUGUCUUCAGUUCCAGAGAUUCCAGAAAUGGUCAAAUGUUUGAUUCUUGUAUGCUAUUUACACUUCUACUAGCCAACUCAGUUUUACCAAUUCCAGAAAUUGAUGGAUGUUUGUAGUACUUGCAUUCAAUACGCGGCAAUAAUCGCGAUAAAUUGUCGUUUUUAACUGGUUUAACAAGACGGUACGAUGAGUAAAGCAUCGAUCUUUAUCGGUUCAACCAGGCAGUACGAUAAGUAAGAAGUACAAACAUCAAUCCUCUUAUGAUUUGGAUUUUCAGAAACAAAACAAACCAAAACAGAAACCAUACUGGUGGUUUUUGCAGAAUCAGAACAGACAUCAAAACAAACUGGAUUGCAACAUAAGAAAGCAAAAGAUAAAUGUUUUAGCCAUAAGAGGAACUCCCAUCAUGACUGGAGCCGAACUGCCUUUCUGUGACUUGCCGGUUCGCCAGCAGAAAGAUGAAACCUUUCGCCAUUAAAGGACUGGAAAAAUUUCACCUCAUCACUGAACAAACUGUUUUGAAGAAGAUAAUGAUGAUGAACAAUGGAACCCACCAAAGGCAAGGUUUGGGAACCAAUCAUCCAACACUCCAAAUCUGUUCCCCCCCACAAACAAACAACCAACUCCCCCCCAAAGGCUUCUUCUUUCUCCAUGGAUAUGGGGAUCAGAGCUUUGAUUGGAAGAACACUACCAUUUUUCCAGAUCAGGAGUGGAAUCCAAUGGGGGAGAGGGGAAGUUUGGCUCUUUGUGGCAAGAGAGCCAAAAUGGUUUGUGGGGGGUGGAGGAGCUUAGCCUAGUUAUGGAGGGGUUUAAAUAGUUUCAUUGGUUGAGAAGUGAAGGAUAAAUUUUUGGGGGUUUUUUUUUUGUUUUUUAAUCCUUUUGUAGUUAUUUGUUUUGGUGGGUUGUGGAUUUUGGAUGGAAUUAAAAACAAUGAGGUGGAUGAUCUAUAGUUAGGGAAAGUGACUAAUAAUUGGAUCUUUGUCCCCCCUACCCCUCUUGAUAAAAGCUUCCACUUUAGAGAAGUCAUUUUGAAAACCUUAGUCAUUAUGUAAUUGAUAUCAUCACCCUUAGGGUUUGUGGGAUGUGUACAAUUGUAGCACUUAGAUCAAUCCAAGAGGCAAAUAUUGGGAUUAUGUCUCAAUUUACAUGCCUAAUCUGAGUUGUUUUUCNNNNNNNNNNNNNNNNNNNNNNNNNNNNNNNNNNNNNNNNNNNNNNNNNNNNNNNNNNNNNAAUCCGGGAAAAAAACAUUCGUAUGUCAUAGAGUCUAUAAGAAUACAAUGAACGGCCUAUGAUGGAAAAUUGGAAAUAAAGUGGUAACCAAAAUGUGAAGAAUACCCAUGAUUGACUAGAGCAUCAUCAACACCUUCACGAUAAGUACGCUCAUUUGGUCUUUCAAUUAUGAGGUUCUAAGAUUUUUAUUGUUAUGACACAUAUAGAUUUUUCUAUCCACAACAUUACUUCUAAGUCAUGUUUAUCACAAGGAAUUAGAGGGAUUUAAUUGAAAUAACAUGUUGGGUUUUUCUUCAUCGAAUUUGGAACUUUUUAAUAAGAUAAAAGACAGAAAAUAGACAUUAUUAUAUGAGUUUCUAUAUAUGAGAUGUAAUUAUAUUCGAACUAAAUUCACAUUCAAUAUCGUUAACACCAAAUAUAAUCCUACUAUUUCUUCGAAAACAUCCAAUAAAAUUAGAACGGUAGAAAUAUAAUCCUACUAUUACCUGUCUCCCUCCUAACACUAUUGCCAAAGUCUCCUACUUUUCUUCAUUUCACUUAUUAAAGGGAUUCCCAUUUAAGUACUAACCCCACUCCUCACCAAAUAUGUUAUCAUGGAACAAAAAUAUGACCCACAAAGAUGUGUCCAUAAUUUGUGUGGCUACAAUCUUUAUCCACGUCCCUUUACUCCUAUUCCAUCUUCUUGAUUUCAUUUAGGGUUCGUUUGGUAUGAGGGUAUCGAGGAUCGAAAUUUUGAGGAUGCAUGAAAUUAGGAUAAUAAAUAUAUGCCGAUUAGAAGUCGUGUAUGAUGCUAGAACAAAUAUUGUUUGGUAUACUUAUAUGGUACCAUGGGGCUCGUAGUUUUCCACAGAGAAUGUUGUAGAAAUUUAGAUGCUAUCUCGAACAAAGAAAUACAAAUACAUAAUCNNNNNNNNNNNNNNNNNNNNNNNNNNNNNNNNNNNNNNNNNNNNNNNNNNNNNNNNNNNNNNNNNNNNNNNNNNNNNNNNNNNNNNNNNNNNNNNNNNNNNNNNNNNNNNNNNNNNNNNNNNNNNNNNNNNNNNNNNNNNNNNNNNNNNNNNNNNNNNNNNNNNNNNNNNNNNNNNNNNNNNNNNNNNNNNNNNNNNNNNNNNNNNNNNNNNNNNNNNNNNNNNNAUAUAAAUAUUAUCCGUUAUUAUGGCAAAAAAAACCGUUCACACCGAAUCCAAACUGUAUUUUCGAAAUUCUUUUCAAUUCCCUUUCACAAUUUGAUCUUUGAGGUCCUUUUAUUGAACACUGACAAACCGACCUACACUUUCUUUCCCCUAGUGGGGGCAUGUUGUUUAUCAUCCAAAGGAAGAGGCUCUUCUAGUCAUCAUCCAAUUGUGACUAGUGUGGUUUGAACUUUUUCUAGACAAUGCAACUGCUCUUUUGACCAGUAGAAAAUGUCGUACAAAAUCGGUUAUAUCCAGGAGAUUCCACCACGGAAAAACCAACCAGGAACAAGAUUUGUUAUAAAGAGGAUAUCGAAUAAGAGAAUCGGAAUAACCGAGCAGCACACUCAAUUUGUUUUUGAGUUCUUAAUUCUGAAUAUAAUCAUUUAAACCGUAAUUUCGUAAAUAUUCAGAAGAUCAAAAUUGACCGAUCCACCUAACUAUUUCCGACCUAGAUUUUUUUGUCCUUUUAAGGAUAUCCGAUAAAAUUAAAACGAAAGCUAGCAUCAAUCAUAUGGUCGCUUUCGAUAUUGGAUACCCUUUUAAGUACCAAAUUGUAGCCACCUAUGAAGAUUAGGUUAAAUAAUCAUGGUAAUCAUCAUCCACUUUGUUUAGUGGACACGAGAAGGUUCAAUACCAGGACAAAUCCCUUGAACAUAUUAAAUUUAUAUAAUUAAGAUCACUAAUUAGUAAUUAGUAAUGAAUUCGUACCAUUUUAGUUGGAAAUUCUCCACCCCCAAUCUUGAUUAAGUGUUUGUCGUUUAUUUCUGAUAGUGAUAUUUCUGAUUGUGAUUAGGUGACUAUAACAACGAUGGGGAUGAUGACCAUGACGAGGACAUGUUUGAAAUAUUUUCUGCUAAAUAUUUACAAUCUCGAUCAAGAUUCUCUCUAUCGUAUUAUGUUUAGUUGGCUCUAGAGAAAAUAAAAAUACAAGAGAGUAUAUGUACGACUCGAUUUUUUAUGUGCAAUUAAUUUGAUAAGUCGAAAGAGAUGAAUGUUAUCGAUAAAAUCAAUAUAAUAAUUAAAUAGAAUUUUAAUUUUUAAUUAGGCAAAAAUCUUAAGGUGGCUGAGUGGUUUAAGAAGCUGGACUCGAGUUUUGAUUCUUGAAAGAGGGCGUGGGUUCAAAUCCCAGUUUUUCUAUAAAAAACAAAGUCAUUAACUUUUUAUGGUUCGUACUCGUGUUGAUGUGAAUUCAAUCUUUCACGCCAUCUUCAUCUACUAAUUUAGAUCAUUAGUAAAAUGAAAUUUGUCUAAGCCACUUUUUUCACGUUAGAAUUGAACUUAAUUAUGAGGAACGAAUUUCAUCAUAAGCAUUUUUUAGGAUACAAAACGACAUGACCAAUUCCGUUUUAAUCUAGUUUAAUUAUGCAAUCUCAUUCUAAUAUAUAGUAUCUAACUUACUCUCCUAAUUAAAAAAUAUUAAGAAUCUCUAAUUACAUAUCUUCAUAAGCCGCGAGAGAUGAAGUCCAACGAAGAAAUCAAUACCAUAAUUAAAUUAUAUUUUAGUUCUUAAUUAAGCAAAACUUUUAGGGCGGUUGAGUGGUUUAAAAUGUCAGAUUUAAAUUUUGGUCCUCAAGAGAGAGCGAGGAUUCAAAUAGUAGUAGUUUUUUCCACCAAAAAGUUGUUAGCUUUUUACGAUUGGCAAUUUUAUUGACAUAGAUUCAUUCUUCCACACCCUCCUCAAUCAUCAUCAAGUAAUCUAAUUCACUAAUAAAAAUAAAUUUAUUUAGGCCAUAUUUUCCGAGGCGAAUUUAGUAGCAUAAUUGACGUAGGACUGGACCUAAAUCUGGCUGAGCAAUUCCACCAUACAACCACAAAGCGACAUUACCAAUUCCGUCUAAAUCCAACCUGAUUAUUGAACCUCAUUCUAAUAUAUAGUAUCUUAAUUACUCUCCUAAUUAAAAAAUGUCAUGAAUCUCUAAUUACAUAUGUACAUGCCAUAAGAUCACACAAAAAUGAAACCGGUUCCACUCUCUUUACCUACAACUCAAUAAUCAUCCAUGCCAAAUCUACAAUGAAAAAAAGAUCUCAUCUUGGAUGGAAAGAACUAUGAUCAACAGUAGCAACUGAUUCCGAAAGGCUAACAUUGAGGGCCAAUGGAUCUCUAUCCCCCAUUUCCAUGGUCUUCUCGUCGGCGAAGGGAGGAUUCGUCGGAGGAGGCAGCUGCUCUUCAGUGGUUAGCAUCUGCAGCACCUUGGACAUGACUGGUCUUAGAGAUGGACUCUCCUGGGUGCACAGAAGCGCCACGUGGACCACUCGAAGAACGUCGUUCCUGACGUUGCAGUUGUGGUGGUUGUGCAGCGUCAGGUUCGGAUCGUACAUCUCUUCGAGAUUUCCCGUGUGGAAUCGCACCCACAUCUGUUGAACAAAAUAGUUGGUCAGUAAGAAAAGUCAGUGCAGUCCGGUUUUUACUUUUCGCAUCGUUAUUCUAAUAUAAAAUGACUAAUCUAUCCCUAAUAAAAGACACUUACCAAGUUGACUAGGCUAUCUGUAUAUUCAGAGGAUUUGCUUCUGUUGUUCUGUUUCCCAGUAACAAUUUCAAGCACGAGUACUCCGAAACUGUAAACAUCUGCCUUCUCCGUCAACUGGCCGUGUGCCAGAUAUUCCGGAGCCAUAUACCCUCUGCAAAUAACUCAAUAAUUCAUGUUGACGAAUAGUAUAAAAGCCAAUCUGAAGUUAGCUUUAAGGUGAAAAAAUGAAUUUACUUACAGGGUUCCUGCAAUGACUGUGCUUAUAUGACUCUUAUCCUCCUGGAAAGACCUAGCCAAGCCAAAAUCGGCAAUCUUAGCUCGAAGCCUCGAAUCCAGCAAAAUGUUACUAGCCUUAAUGUCCCUGUGGAUGAUCCUGAUCCUGGAAUUCUCAUGAAGGUACACUAAACCUUCUGCUGUUCCGACAACCACCUCGUACCUCUUGUCCCAGCUCAUUGUCUUCCCCUUGUUUGCAUCUGUCACAUUUUAUAAAAACAAACUAUCAUCAGACCAAAAUUUUCGAAUAAUCCGAAUGAGUUUUGUCUUGUUUUUCACCAGCGUACUAACCAAAGAUGUACCGAUCGAGACUCCGGUUGGGCAGGAAUUCGUAGACAAGGAGGCUUUCGGGACCGGAACAGCUGCAACCCAAUAACCUGACAAGGUUCUUAUGUUCCACACUGCUGAUCAUGUUGACUUCGUUGAAGAAAUCUGCUACCCUGUGCUUGUUGUUGAUGAACAGCCUCUUCACAGCUAUCUCUCUUCCAUCCGGCAGAACUCCCUUGUAAACCGACCCGAACCCUCCUUGUCCAAGCUUGUUUGCUUCGUCGAAGGAUCCUGUAGCCUUCUCGAGCGUCGAAUACUUGAAGUUCAAGCUGCUGUCGUUCAAGAUUUUCACCAACUUGCUCACAUCAUUAGGACCUGAUCACAGUAGUCGAACCGGUGAGACUAACAGUUCAGAAAAGGUGGUAAACGAUCUCCUAUUCAUGACCGAACCGAUACAAUCAGACCCUAAGUUAUCAUUACCUAUUCUUUUCUUCUGAAUGUAUUUGUUCCUCCAUAUAAAGCCUCCAAUUGCUCCACCAAUUAUUAGUACCAGAACACAGCUGACAACUGCAACAACUAUCACAGCAACAGGAACUGUAAACAAAGGAAAAUUCCUUCCCAUUAGUCAACAAAAUUUUCCAAUCAUUUCAAGGUCAGAUUCGCCAUUUAGAAAAAUGUUCCACAGGAAAGUUGAAUUGAAGAUCGUUUAAGAAACUUGUGUCUAGCAUGUGGAAGGAAAGUUGAAUAGAGUGAUAUAACAGAUUUCACUUGAAAUCGUAUUUUCUAGGAAUCAUGUAUAUUUCUUAGUUCAACUAAUUUUUUCGCAAACCCUCUCAAGCUCAACUCAACUUUUUUCUAUCAAUUCAAAUUUCAUAAGAAACAUGAUUCGAGAUGCUAAAUCUUAUCGUAAAAUCACACGCUGUUCUCCGAUUCUCACCUCUAGAACUUCGAUUUCCAGACUCGCUGUUGAGAAAAUCCCUAUCAGAAUACCUAACAAAACACCCUGUAUUCAAAGCUCUCCCUUCCGUACUAGGCAAGCAACCAAUCAAGGACUCCUGAGCAUUCUCCAAACACAACCUGCAAGCACUGGAAUUCAAAUUCCUCCAGCAAUUCGCCAGCACGAAAACCAACGACGACGACGAACCAUUAUUCCCUUCCCCGAAAACCGCCUCCCUCGUCCUGGAAUACCCUCCAUUCCCCGGCGCACUCGCCACCACAUUCGACAGAGCUCGUCUCACCGAAUCCUGAAACGAUGUUGCCGUUGCAUUCCUUCCUCCGCCGCCUCCACAAACGGCUUGGUCUUGAGCGCCGGAGUACUCGCCGUAGAAGCUGUAGUUCUCGGCCCUCAUGAAGCAGCCGUCGAGGAAGAUCCUCCCUCCGUUGUAAGGGUAGCACUGCGGCAAGAUGGUGCGCGCCUCAGCAUAGCAGAGCACGCAGUCGAGCAACGACAGAUCUCCGUAGCAUUGCGCCAGCCCAAAAUUCCUGUUAGGCCCUGGAUCCCCUGCUACCGCUGCUCCGAACCCCGAGGUUCGCAUCUGGUCGCUGAUGUUGUCCAUCGCCGCGACGAAAUUGGGCACGUAGAUCGUCCCGUUCUCCUCCAGCUGACUGUUACAGGUAACGUUGACCGUCUGUGCUCUGGCGUCUCCUCUUGCCGUUUGUUGCCGGAGCGUUGCAGCUAGGAAGAAGAAGAUGAUUAUGAUGAUCUCUGUUUUGCUCCUCAUUCUUUCACGGGGGAAGUGGUGGUAAUUCAAAUCAGUUAAGAACCCAAAUCGAAAAAUCAUCAAAUUCAUGGUGGGUAAUUAGUAGUAAUUUAAAUCAGAUCAAAAAGCUCUUACCUUUGAGGUUGCUCUGUUUUUGGCUCGAUCUUGAAACAGAGCAUGUAAUGAAAGUCAGAAAUGGUUGCUGCUGCUGCUGCUGUUUUCUGAAUUACCCACCUGAUCGGCUACCUAAUUACGAUACUGGAAUUCAAUGGAAGUGAUUAUUAGUCAAAGAAAUGGAUGCAAUUGGAUUAUCAUGGAGGGUGGUUGAAGAAAAUUAAACGGCAAGGAUGAUGGACGUAAUCAGCCUUGUUGGGAAACAGAGACGUCAGAGACGAAAUGUUAUUAUUUAUUUGUUUAUUUACAGUUGAAGAAGAUGGGAAUGCGGCUGGAGUCAGGCUGUUGAUUUUGACUUUUGUUUUUUUUCUUCCAUUUGUACGGUUCUCUGCUCUGACUUCACUGUGCAUGUUGGACGAUCAUCUUUCUGGAAUUUCUCGUUGAUUUGAGUUUAAAUCAUGGGCGGUCACUUAAGUUUAGGUAGAUAACAUUUUGGUCACUCUUUGUUUUGAAACAAAUUCAUAACUCAAAUUUGAUGGUAACAAAUCAAUUAUUUUAUCAACGUCUAAAUGAACUCCGUCCAAAAUUUGACGUGGCUGACAGAAUGAAUAAAAUAAUCAUUAAAGAUACCAUCUCAGUUGGUUCUAAAUCUCUAAACCAAACGAACCCGAAACCAAACCAUUACAACCAAACUCAGAAAAUUACCCAAUCAAGAUGGAGGGAAAUCCUUGAACAUGAUUAUUUAUUGCAGAAUCUACACUUCCUAUCUUCUCCAUAUCUUCAAAUUAAAAUUGGUGGAAAUAUUGAUUCGUUACAUCUAAAAUCUUAAAAAUCAUGAAUUGGUUAAAAAAAACUUCAAUGGUCGAAAUGUUACUCAUCCAAAACUUGAGUGAAUAUCUCUCUUACUUGAUUGUUCAUGUUGGAUGAUCAUUUUUCUGGAAUUGGGGUUAUAAACAUCGACAAUCAUUCAAGUUUCGAAUAAACAAUAUUUUGCUCACAUAAGUUUGGACUAGAUAACGUUUCGGCCAUUAAUUGAGUGACAACUCAUAUGGUACCUUAAAUGAUUAUUUUAUUAAUUAUUUAAUUUGUUAUGAAUUUUGGACAGAUUUUAGGAUGGACGUUGGUGGAAGCAUUGAUUCGUUAUCAUCCAAAAACUUAAACCAUGAAAUUCGUUAAAAAACAUUCAAUGAUAGAAAUGUUACUUACCCAAUUCCGAAUUACACAGACGUUUGUUUUUGCAAAACUCAGUAACUAAAAACAACAAAUCUGUAGCAAGUAAAUCCGACGUCUCAUGCAUGCCUCUCUACUCCAUGAUCAUGGAUGAUUAUUCGACCAGCCGACCAUCCAGAACUCGAUACGACAAUGGAAAACGUCAUCGUAGAACGGAUUGAAGUUUGCGUUUAGUGGGCAGUAAUCCAGUUCAGGUUUCCUGACGGAGAAAUAAUUUUUAGCAACUAGGAGACAGGUUUGGCACUGAUUGGCGUCGAGGGUAUAGCAAGUAGCCAUUCCCUUGACGGCUCCGGCAGCCUUCUCAGGCGGAUCCCAAGCUGCGUAUCGAUUUCCGAUGUCCAAGUGCAAGAGUGUUUGCUCCACCAGAUAAUCCAGCACAGCUUUCAAACGUUCAGGGAAGUUGGUGCAGUCGGGAGAAGCCGCCGUUGCAUUGCUGAUGAAGCAGAACAUGUCCAGCACGAUGAUGAUCAGGGAAUGUCGCGAGUAGUACUGCGCAGCCAUGUCGAUUGAUUUCGAGGAGAAUGGUGAAUUGAGAAGGGUGCAGGUUGGUUGAUGUAUAUAUAGAGUUGUGGUGAUUUUUUUUGUAGGAAUCUUAACAUGAUUAAUGUAGGAACAAAAACUAGUUAUAAUUAGUUGAGUUGUGAAGGACUCUGUUCUUGUAAUUUGUCGCCUACUUACUAUUCCCAUUGUUUGAGGAAGUUCUAAUUGGAGUUUUGUUUUCAAGCUUUCACUGUGGAUGGCUGCUUAUGAUUAUUCUCUGCUCAGUAGUUCAUACUAGAAGGUAAUUGACUAAUUGUUGUGUUAUUAUUGAAAUUUGAACGUUGCUCUUAUGAUUAAAUGAGCAAUUUGAAUGUUGUUAUAGAGUAUCUCUGUUGGACUAAUAGAAUUUGUGUAGGGUUGUGAAUCGUGAUUGAGUGCGUUGAUCGAUAUCUCUAAACUAGGUGGAUCGGAUCUUGAUUUAUCUCAAAAGGAUGGUGUACGAGUUAGUUAAUAUAUUCUAAGUGUGUGAGUGAGUAUAGAGUAGGGAGAAUGAGAAGAUAAGGAUGACUGACCUCAACAGAGGCCGUUGAGUGGCUUUGCCCUCGUGGCGGCUUGGUGUCAUUGAUGGAGCUAGAAAUUUAGCCAAGAUGGUUUGAAAUUCACACCUAAUAAUAUGUGGUGGGAAAUAAUUAGAAAUCUAAGCUAAAAUUUUUAUAGUCGAAAGCACAUAUAUCUCUCCUAACAACAACAAUCCAAACUUUUAAAAAAUAUAUUUUUAAUUUCAUUUGGCUAUUAUUUGAAGAGUUUAACAUAGUGAAACCUCAAUUUUUAGUCAUUCUCAACAUGCAUGUCAAAUAUUAAUCAAUUUGAAAAUUUUUAAUUUUCAUGUCAAAAAUUGACCAAUUUUCGUGUGUUAUACUAUGGAAAUUCCAAAACUUUCAAAUCGACUAAUAUUUGACAUAUAUGUUGGAAAUGACUAAAAAAUCAAGUUUCAGUAUGGUAACCUCUUUAAGUAAUAACCAAAUAAAGUUACAAAUCAAUUUUACUUCGUGUUAUGUUAAUGUUGAAAAUUUUCAAAUUGACUUACUUUUUGCAUGCAUGUGGUGGUAAAAAAGUUAACAUGAUGGAACCUUAAUUUUCUAAAACAUAAAAACUCUAACUUUUGAAAAUAAUUAAAAAGAAUAGAUUUUAAACCUCAAAAAAUAAAAUCUAAACUUUUAACACUAUAUCUUAAAUUCCGAAUACAAAUUUACAACCUCCAAACUCUUAUUUUUAAACACAAAAUAUAACAAAAUUAUAGUAUAGAGGACACCGAUACUUGUAAGUACCAGAAUGUUACUCAUAUAUAAAUAUUCCUAUUACUUAUUUAAUGUAUGAGGUUGAUAAUAUGAUUAUGAUUAAAAUUAUUAACUACGAACUGUAUAAAAAAUAGCUAGUAAUUACACUAAUUAUACUCCUUCACAAUUAGUGGUAAGAUUGGUACAUAUGAAAAUUUUAAAGAAUUUUUAUUUGUAAUAAAUAAGUUUUAUUUAUAAGUUUCGGGUUCAACCGAACCUCUCCAUCAUUAAUAACUCCGCCAUUGCCUCGUGCCAAGGCCUCAUGUGGAGUCUCCUGGUGGUGGGAUGUCUAGCGUUGGUGACAGUUCGUCUAGACAGGAUGCUUGGUGCGCGGAUCGACAGGUGGCGGCUGACUUGGCGGGCCGAUCGCCUGGUACUAGUGGUGGUACUGGGACGCUUAUACCCAAGUCGCCUGGUGACGAACUAUGAGCAUAUCUUAGUGGCUUCCAAGUGGUAUGUCCAGAGUGAGGUGUGCCCCCUUGAUCUUUUGUAGAGUCUUAGGGUAAGAAAUGAAAUGAUCUCAGACGUCCGUUUAAUCAAUGGUGGAGAUGCAUUUGCAAACCCUUGAUGAGUCCUGGACUUUCAUGGGCCAAUAUACAAACUAAAUGACAAUUACUCUGAACUACAAGCCAAUUAGAUAACUUUUAUCUUUCUAUAGUUCUCAACUGAGAUGAUCAUAUCAAGAUAGCAGAUAUACAUACAUAAAUGUUCUUGGCAUGUUCAAGUCUCAUGAUCUAUGACGAACCACCGAAGUUGCAACUAGAUUAAGAUUGUAAUUGGGAUCAUCAAACUUGGGUGGCUUUAGAUGGACGAGUUGAUUUACUUGCAACUCGACCAAAGUCGUCGCAGGAGCUUUCAGGCUACAAGUUCAGGCGACAACGACGAGCCAUUACCAGCAGUCGGCACAGUACCGGAACCCAAUCUCCGACCACGCUCCCUCCUGCUGUUGUCAGCAAACUUGACGCUAGCCUGAUGCAGCCCUCUCUGCUUCUCCUCCGAGCUCCAUUCUGCCAUAUAGUAAUCCUCUUCUGUCGCCACUUUGCUCGAAGACGGCCCACGGAACAUCCCUCCCCACUGUGGGAAGUGUAUCAAAGUUAUUGGCAGACUGCAGCAUAUGAUCAUAACUCCCAUCAGCAUGAUUCCUUUCUCCUUGGAGUAUCUUGAGCCUCUGAAGAAGAUCAAUUGGGUUAACACUGCUCCCACGUUGCCUCCUCCUCCUGUCAUCCCUGAGAUCAAGCCUAACGACCUGCCAAAUUGAUUUCGAAAGAAGAAUUAAUUAUAUUAAAUUUGUUAACAGUAAUAAGAAUGAUUGCAAAAUAUUAAAUAAUUGUGUCCAAUUAAUAAUUUUCAAGGUGCAAUCGGUGGGUUCGAUCCGGUUCUAACAACACUUGUAAAAACAGAGUAAAAAACAGAGUAAAAUCAGAGUGAAAACAGAAUAAUAACAGAGAUAAACAGAGUAAGAAACUGAGCAAAACAGAGUAAUAAAAGAGUAAAGACAGAGUAAAGACAGAGUAAUUACAGAGUAAAGACAGAUUAAAAACAGAGGAAAACUGAGCAAUUCGCUUACCUUCUGGACACGAAAGGAACGACGCCGAAAGUGAGGCCACAAGCAGCUUGGCAGAAGAAAGAGAAGCAUAUCAUAACAACAAUGGAGCCAGUCAAUGAAUCAACUAAGCCAAGGGCUACACACAGAACACCACCCAAAGUCUGAACAAUCCAAAGCGUCCAGAGUCGUCCUCUCAUUCCAAACCUCUUCGCCACCACAUCGGAGAGAAUCCCACCGCCAGGUCUCGACACUAAAUUCGCCAACCCGAAGCUUGCAGCGAUAAUCCCGGCCGUGUGGAGCUUCAAAUUGAACCGAUCGUAGAAGUACUCGGCGAUCACGUUGUCUAUCGUCAGUUCGACACCGAAGCAGUACCCGUACGUCAGGGCCAGGAUCCAGCCUCUGUAGUUGGUGAGUCCGUUGCGGAGGAUGUCGGCCAACUUGUCCUUGGUCUUAUCGCCAGAGGAUUCUAGGCGGCGGAAGUUCCCGUCUGGGAGGUCCUGGCCGAAUAUCAGGACGGCAAAUGCGGACAGGGUUUGGAACAAGGCGGGAAUGAAGAACGCGAUUCGCCAGGCGGUGAAUUUGGUGGCUCCGAUGUCCCGGAUUAGGCCGAAGACGAGCGGCAUUAUGAGCUGGGUUGCCCCUCCGCCAAGAUUACCCCACCCGCCGGCGACUCCAUUGGAAGUUCCGACCACUGGAGAGGAGAACAUCGAGCUCAUCCAGUACUGGGUCGAGACGAAUGUCGCCAGAGAGAAACCGGUGAAGAACCUAUGAUAGUCAAAAGUCAAAGUCAGCAUCAUAAUCUAAACGACAACUUUACAGAAAAUGAAGACACUUUGAAGAUUUUCGCUUGGCUUUGGUGUCCGGAAAGUUGAAUGGAAGUUUGAUCAUUUUAUUGUUUGGACAGAAAAAUUGAUUCCGACGAACAUUUCACCGACCAAACCAAAACUACCUGACGAGGAGGAAGGAAGCAGGGGACGAUGCCAUAGGGGUGAAGUAGACAGCAGGAGCCGUGAGCAAAGUAAGCGCCGCUGAGGCAAGACGAGGGCCGAACAUGUCGCAUGCGGUUCCCAUCAUCACACGGGCGAAAACAGCACCGGACACAGAAGCAAUGCCAGCAUUUCCGAUGUCGGAGGCCGUCAGGUUGAGGUUGUCGCGGAUGAUCGGAAGCAGAGGAGGGGCGGCAAAUGUGGAGACAAAGCACGCGAAGAACGACACCCACGAGAGAUGGAAGGCUCUCAUGUGCGGAGCCGCAAAUGAAUAGACUACGAAUUUGGUGGCUUUGUGCUCCGAGUCGACCGGCAGAGCAAAUUUGGCCGUCGUCGAAGCUGAAUUGGGUUCCAUUUCCAUGGCUGCCAAUAAAAAACAGAGGACUAAUUUGGGUAGCUAGCCGGUGGUGGGUUGGAUCGGAAUGUUUUGUGUUUAAUGAGGGUAGUGGGUGUAUUUAUUAACUUCAAAGUCUCACCAAGGUAAGGGGCAGAGUGGCUCUUUGGAGGAACAGAGUGUGAGACUGACCGCCGAGUCUCAGAGUACAGAGAGAUGAACGGAAUCUCAAAUCUGUACCUCCGAAAGUCUACUGAGGAUUUUGGAUUUCUACGCAUUUGACAGAGAUGGCUUUGGGAGUAUAGACCAAUUGGAGAUUGUGAAACUUUUGACUUUUCAUUAGAUUAUUUGGGGGUCUGAAUUCCUGACAGUGGGAUAUUCAUUUAGAUACUUUUUAUUAUUUGUUUAACUUAGGAUACUUAAAAUUUAAUUAACCACUUGUUUAUUAUAUUUUGGUUUAUUAUUUGGUUUGUAUCAUGGGUUGUUGUGUUAGGAAUGAUAUAUUUGUAAACAAGUAACAAAUUGAUGAACCAAUUGAUCUCUCAAGAACAUCAAUAAAUUCUGUUUAAGAAUAAUCAAUUCAAGAACUUCGAGAAUAAAAGAUCAAAAGAGUGUUUCCGGGUAUUUACUUUUUUUUGUUAAUUUUUUAUUCAAAAUUAUUGAUUCAGAGGAGGGAGAAAAAGGGAUUGAUCUCGAACAUGAAUAAAAAUGAAGAAAAAUAUGGGUAACGUAACAUAAAACCCACGAUUACGGUGAAUACGGCUGCCAUGUAUCUUGAUGGUUCAGCCCCUAAAAAAAUCGUGACAUUGGUAAUUGCUUCUGAAUUAAAGCUAGUCUGAUUCAUUGCAAUUUUUGUUGGAUCAUCGUUUUAGGUGCCAUAGUCAUUUUUAACACUCUUGUUCAACAAUUAAAAUGUAGUUUUUUGGAAUCAAUGUAUUCAAAUUUAUAACCUUGCACCGAUCAUCAAAUAGACCAUGGACUAAAGGGCCAAGUUUUUAGCCAUCUCCAAUAUGCUUAUCAAAUAUCAGCCAAUUUAAAAUUUUUGAAAUUUUCUUGUCAAAAGGGCCCAUUUUCAUAGGUUAACCCCUUUCGAAAAUUUUGACAUGAAAAUUUUAUUUUGAAAUGGCCGAGUUUACUAGGACUUUAUUUGAUUUUUAACUUCAUUUGCCCAUUAUUUACAGGGUUUAUCAUAAUGAAUCUUCAUUUUUAGUCAUUUUCAACAUGUAUGUAAAAUAAUAGCCUAUUUGAAAAUUUUGAAACUUUCAUGUGAAAAUGGCUCAUUUCCAUAGGUUAACCCCUUUGGAAAUUGACCAUUUUGACAUGAAAAUUAAUUUUUUUAAAAUUCGCGAAUAUUUGCCAUGCUUAUUGGUUAGAACUAACAAUUAAGGUUCCACUAUGUUAGACCCUUCAAAUAAUAACCAAAUCAAGUUAAAAACAUUUUUGAACAUGCUAAAAUAAAACCGAGUAAAUUUGAGUUUUAACUUCGUUUGACCAUUGUAUACAGGGUCCACCAUAAUGACACUUGAGUUUUGAGCCAUUUUGAACAUGCAUAUCAAAUAUUAGUCGAUUUGAAAAUUUUCAAAUUUGCAUGUCAAAAUGGCUCAUUUCCAUAGGUUAACCCCUUUGGAAAUUGACAAUUUUGACAUGAAAAUUAAUUUUUUUAAAAUUCGCGAAUAUUUGCCAUGCUUAUUGGUUAGAACUAACAAUUAAGGUUCCACUAUGUUAGACCCUUCAAAUAAUAACCAAAUCAAGUUAAAAACAUUUUUGAACAUGCUAAAAUAAAACCGAGUAAAUUUGAGUUUUAACUUCGUUUGACCAUUGUAUACAGGGUCCACCAUAAUGACACUUGAGUUUUGAGCCAUUUUGAACAUGCAUAUCAAAUAUUAGUCGAUUUGAAAAUUUUCAAAUUUGCAUGUCAAAAUGGCUCAUUUCCAUAGGUUAACCCCUUUGGAAAUUGACAAUUUUGACAUGAAAAUUAAUUUUUUUAAAAUUCGCGAAUAUUUGCCAUGCUUAUUGGUUAGAACUAACAAUUAAGGUUCCACUAUGUUAGACCCUUCAAAUAAUAACCAAAUCAAGUUAAAAACAUUUUUGAACAUGCUAAAAUAAAACCGAGUAAAUUUGAGUUUUAACUUCGUUUGACCAUUGUAUACAGGGUCCACCAUAAUGACACUUGAGUUUUGAGCCAUUUUGAACAUGCAUAUCAAAUAUUAGUCGAUUUGAAAAUUUUCAAAUUUGCAUGUCAAAAUGGCUCAUUUCCAUAGGUUAACCCCUUUGGAAAUUGACAAUUUUGACAUGAAAAUUAAUUUUUUUAAAAUUCGCGAAUAUUUGCCAUGCUUAUUGGUUAGAACUAACAAUUAAGGUUCCACUAUGUUAGACCCUUCAAAUAAUAACCAAAUCAAGUUAAAAACAUUUUUGAACAUGCUAAAAUAAAACCGAGUAAAUUUGAGUUUUAACUUCGUUUGACCAUUGUAUACAGGGUCCACCAUAAUGACCCCUUCAUUUGACCAUUAUUUUUAGAGGUACCAUAACGAAACAUGGCCUUUUAGCCAUCUCCAACAUAUUUGUCCAAUAUUAGCCAAUUUAAAUUUUUUGAAAUUUUCAUGUCAAAACGUCCCAUUUCCAUAGCUUAACACCUUUCGACCAUUUUUACAUGAAAAUUUUAAGUUGAAAUGGCCGAGUUUACUAGGGCUUUAUUUGAUUUUUAACUUCAUUUGCCCAUUAUUUACAGGGUUUAUCAUAGUAAAUCUUCAUUUUUAGUCAUUUCCAACAUAUAUGUAAAAUAUUAGCAGUUUUGAAAAUUUUGAAAUUUUCAUUUCAAAUGGCUCAUUUCCAUAGGUGUUACCUUUGGUAAUUGACUAUUUUGACAUGAAAACUAAAUAAUUUCAAAUGAGCUAAUAUUUGGCGUGCACGUUGAGAAUGGCAAAAAAUUAAGGUUUUACCAUGUUAAGCCCUCAAGUAAUAGAUAAAUGAAAUUACAAAAAAUAUNNNNNNNNNNNNNNNNNNNNNNNNNNNNNNNNNNNNNNNNNNNNNNNNNNNNNNNNNNNNNNNNNNNNNNNNNNNNNNNNNNNNNNNNNNNNNNNNNNNNNNNNNNNNNNNNNNNNNNNNNNNNNNNNNNNNNNNNNNNNNNNNNNNNNNNNNNNNNNNNNNNNNNNNNNNNNNNNNNNNNNNNNNNNNNNNNNNNNNNNNNNNNNNNNNNNNNNNNNNNNNNNNNNNNNNNNNNNNNNNNNNNNNNNNNNNNNNNNNNNNNNNNNNNNNNNNNNNNNNNNNNNNNNNNNNNNNNNNNNNNNNNNNNNNNNNNNNNNNNNNNNNNNNNNNNNNNNNNNNNNNNNNNNNNNNNNNNNNNNNNNNNNNNNNNNNNNNNNNNNNNNNNNNNNNNNNNNNNNNNNNNNNNNNNNNNNNNNNNNNNNNNNNNNNNNNNNNNNNNNNNNNNNNNNNNNNNNNNNNNNNNNNNNNNNNNNNNNNNNNNNNNNNNNNNNNNNNNNNNNNNNNNNNNNNNNNNNNNNNNNNNNNNNNNNNNNNNNNNNNNNNNNNNNNNNNNNNNNNNNNNNNNNNNNNNNNNNNNNNNNNNNNNNNNNNNNNNNNNNNNNNNNNNNNNNNNNNNNNNNNNNNNNNNNNNNNNNNNNNNNNNNNNNNNNNNNNNNNNNNNNNNNNNNNNNNNNNNNNNNNNNNNNNNNNNNNNNNNNNNNNNNNNNNNNNNNNNNNNNNNNNNNNNNNNNNNNNNNNNNNNNNNNNNNNNNNNNNNNNNNNNNNNNNNNNNNNNNNNNNNNNNNNNNNNNNNNNNNNNNNNNNNNNNNNNNNNNNNNNNNNNNNNNNNNNNNNNNNNNNNNNNNNNNNNNNNNNNNNNNNNNNNNNNNNNNNNNNNNNNNNNNNNNNNNNNNNNNNNNNNNNNNNNNNNNNNNNNNNNNNNNNNNNNNNNNNNNNNNNNNNNNNNNNNNNNNNNNNNNNNNNNNNNNNNNNNNNNNNNNNNNNNNNNNNNNNNNNNNNNNNNNNNNNNNNNNNNNNNNNNNNNNNNNNNNNNNNNNNNNNNNNNNNNNNNNNNNNNNNNNNNNNNNNNNNNNNNNNNNNNNNNNNNNNNNNNNNNNNNNNNNNNNNNNNNNNNNNNNNNNNNNNNNNNNNNNNNNNNNNNNNNNNNNNNNNNNNNNNNNNNNNNNNNNNNNNNNNNNNNNNNNNNNNNNNNNNNNNNNNNNNNNNNNNNNNNNNNNNNNNNNNNNNNNNNNNNNNNNNNNNNNNNNNNNNNNNNNNNNNNNNNNNNNNNNNNNNNNNNNNNNNNNNNNNNNNNNNNNNNNNNNNNNNNNNNNNNNNNNNNNNNNNNNNNNNNNNNNNNNNNNNNNNNNNNNNNNNNNNNNNNNNNNNNNNNNNNNNNNNNNNNNNNNNNNNNNNNNNNNNNNNNNNNNNNNNNNNNNNNNNNNNNNNNNNNNNNNNNNNNNNNNNNNNNNNNNNNNNNNNNNNNNNNNNNNNNNNNNNNNNNNNNNNNNNNNNNNNNNNNNNNNNNNNNNNNNNNNNNNNNNNNNNNNNNNNNNNNNNNNNNNNNNNNNNNNNNNNNNNNNNNNNNNNNNNNNNNNNNNNNNNNNNNNNNNNNNNNNNNNNNNNNNNNNNNNNNNNNNNNNNNNNNNNNNNNNNNNNNNNNNNNNNNNNNNNNNNNNNNNNNNNNNNNNNNNNNNNNNNNNNNNNNNNNNNNNNNNNNNNNNNNNNNNNNNNNNNNNNNNNNNNNNNNNNNNNNNNNNNNNNNNNNNNNNNNNNNNNNNNNNNNNNNNNNNNNNNNNNNNNNNNNNNNNNNNNNNNNNNNNNNNNNNNNNNNNNNNNNNNNNNNNNNNNNNNNNNNNNNNNNNNNNNNNNNNNNNNNNNNNNNNNNNNNNNNNNNNNNNNNNNNNNNNNNNNNNNNNNNNNNNNNNNNNNNNNNNNNNNNNNNNNNNNNNNNNNNNNNNNNNNNNNNNNNNNNNNNNNNNNNNNNNNNNNNNNNNNNNNNNNNNNNNNNNNNNNNNNNNNNNNNNNNNNNNNNNNNNNNNNNNNNNNNNNNNNNNNNNNNNNNNNNNNNNNNNNNNNNNNNNNNNNNNNNNNNNNNNNNNNNNNNNNNNNNNNNNNNNNNNNNNNNNNNNNNNNNNNNNNNNNNNNNNNNNNNNNNNNNNNNNNNNNNNNNNNNNNNNNNNNNNNNNNNNNNNNNNNNNNNNNNNNNNNNNNNNNNNNNNNNNNNNNNNNNNNNNNNNNNNNNNNNNNNNNNNNNNNNNNNNNNNNNNNNNNNNNNNNNNNNNNNNNNNNNNNNNNNNNNNNNNNNNNNNNNNNNNNNNNNNNNNNNNNNNNNNNNNNNNNNNNNNNNNNNNNNNNNNNNNNNNNNNNNNNNNNNNNNNNNNNNNNNNNNNNNNNNNNNNNNNNNNNNNNNNNNNNNNNNNNNNNNNNNNNNNNNNNNNNNNNNNNNNNNNNNNNNNNNNNNNNNNNNNNNNNNNNNNNNNNNNNNNNNNNNNNNNNNNNNNNNNNNNNNNNNNNNNNNNNNNNNNNNNNNNNNNNNNNNNNNNNNNNNNNNNNNNNNNNNNNNNNNNNNNNNNNNNNNNNNNNNNNNNNNNNNNNNNNNNNNNNNNNNNNNNNNNNNNNNNNNNNNNNNNNNNNNNNNNNNNNNNNNNNNNNNNNNNNNNNNNNNNNNNNNNNNNNNNNNNNNNNNNNNNNNNNNNNNNNNNNNNNNNNNNNNNNNNNNNNNNNNNNNNNNNNNNNNNNNNNNNNNNNNNNNNNNNNNNNNNNNNNNNNNNNNNNNNNNNNNNNNNNNNNNNNNNNNNNNNNNNNNNNNNNNNNNNNNNNNNNNNNNNNNNNNNNNNNNNNNNNNNNNNNNNNNNNNNNNNNNNNNNNNNNNNNNNNNNNNNNNNNNNNNNNNNNNNNNNNNNNNNNNNNNNNNNNNNNNNNNNNNNNNNNNNNNNNNNNNNNNNNNNNNNNNNNNNNNNNNNNNNNNNNNNNNNNNNNNNNNNNNNNNNNNNNNNNNNNNNNNNNNNNNNNNNNNNNNNNNNNNNNNNNNNNNNNNNNNNNNNNNNNNNNNNNNNNNNNNNNNNNNNNNNNNNNNNNNNNNNNNNNNNNNNNNNNNNNNNNNNNNNNNNNNNNNNNNNNNNNNNNNNNNNNNNNNNNNNNNNNNNNNNNNNNNNNNNNNNNNNNNNNNNNNNNNNNNNNNNNNNNNNNNNNNNNNNNNNNNNNNNNNNNNNNNNNNNNNNNNNNNNNNNNNNNNNNNNNNNNNNNNNNNNNNNNNNNNNNNNNNNNNNNNNNNNNNNNNNNNNNNNNNNNNNNNNNNNNNNNNNNNNNNNNNNNNNNNNNNNNNNNNNNNNNNNNNNNNNNNNNNNNNNNNNNNNNNNNNNNNNNNNNNNNNNNNNNNNNNNNNNNNNNNNNNNNNNNNNNNNNNNNNNNNNNNNNNNNNNNNNNNNNNNNNNNNNNNNNNNNNNNNNNNNNNNNNNNNNNNNNNNNNNNNNNNNNNNNNNNNNNNNNNNNNNNNNNNNNNNNNNNNNNNNNNNNNNNNNNNNNNNNNNNNNNNNNNNNNNNNNNNNNNNNNNNNNNNNNNNNNNNNNNNNNNNNNNNNNNNNNNNNNNNNNNNNNNNNNNNNNNNNNNNNNNNNNNNNNNNNNNNNNNNNNNNNNNNNNNNNNNNNNNNNNNNNNNNNNNNNNNNNNNNNNNNNNNNNNNNNNNNNNNNNNNNNNNNNNNNNNNNNNNNNNNNNNNNNNNNNNNNNNNNNNNNNNNNNNNNNNNNNNNNNNNNNNNNNNNNNNNNNNNNNNNAUGAUGGCUUUAUUUGGAGUUUACUAGUGUUUUAUUUGAAUUUACUGGGCUUUUUUUAUUUUUAAUUUUGUUUGGCCAUUAUUUUCCGGAGUUAUCAUAUUGAAACUUAAUUUUUAGUCUUUUUCAAUAUGUAUAUCAAAUUUGUUUUGUAGUUGCUGUUUUAUAUUUGCUGCGAUUUUUCCAUGAUGUGGUUUACAUGGAUAAUAAAAAGUUGACUCUAUUAAAUUUGUGAAAUACAUAUUGAAUCCCAAAAGCAAAGCCAUUGUAGACUCUUUGCCACAUUCAAUGGCCACAGACAUGCAAACUCAACCCCAGUAGUACAUUAUAGACUGUGUGAUUCUACUUGGGUCCAAUAUUACAAUAUUACAAUAGCCAUGUCCGAGCCGAUUUGAACUCACCACUCUUUAAUCAAAUAUAGUGUCAAUAACAAUACUAACUAUUGCCAGGAUUUGAGCUCACCACUCUUCAAUCAAUCAUGCACAUGUCCGAGCCGGUCACAUUGCAGUUACCUCCUUCUUUCGAACCCAAAAGGAGCCUUCUUUUAUAGAGAUAAGCCUUGAUAAAACUUCGCCCAUGCCAACUCUCUCUUCUGGGAUAUCCGAAGAACAAGCGAUGCCGAUUUCUAGAAUGGAACUCAUAAGUUCCUCUAGGGCUUUUCUUGCUUUCUCUAAACUGUCGGUGGUGUGGCUGCGAUGGAUUAUUAAGUAAUGAAGUAGUUCAUUGAGUAGAAUUGGAUCCACAACUUCAGAUGAACAUUGUUUUGACAAAGCGCUCCUAACGAACUUAUGAAGGCUUAAACCGUCUUUAAAAGUUUCAUCGGUUGGUCUCCUUCCAGUAAAUAACUCAAGCAGAAGGAUACCAUAACUAUAGACAUCGCCUUGCAUUGAAAUUUCAUUUCCCGUUCCAUAUUCUAUAAAAGAGAUCAAUAAAAAAGGAAAACAAGCAAUGAGAAGAUAGAGAUAAUUAAAAUAUUUCUAAUAUGUAAGAAAUCACUUUAUUAUUUUUAAUUACCUGGAGGUGCAUAGCCAAUUGUUCCUUUUAUACCGAUUGUAGUUGAAGAUGGAUUUUCAACCAUUGUAAGAAAUUUUGCCAAUCCAAAAUCACCAACAUGAGCCACCAUAUUCUCAUCAAGAAGGACAUUGCUUGGCUUGAGAUCACAAUGAACAAUUGAAAUUUCGCAAUGGUUGUGAAGAUAAUCCACUGCGAAAGCUAUAUCAAUGACAAUGUUUAUCCUCUGAAUGAAGUUUAAACUCCUUGUUGUAGGCUCAUUUACUUUUUCAAUCGGCCAAUGGAGCCAGUCUUCUAAACUUCCAUUAGCCAAAAAUUCGUAGAUGAGUGCCUUGAAAUCAUUUCCUUCAUUAUCAAUGCUUGAACAUGCAGAUAUUAUUCUCACAAGAUUUUUGUGUCUAAUGUUCUUCAAUGUUUCACAUUCUGCCAUAAAACUCUUAGAAGCUCCACGACGCUGAAGGUUGAAUACUUUCACAGCAAUAUUGGUACCAAUUUCAUAAAUCUCAUCAAUGACACCCUUAUACACCGAGCCAAAGCUGCCUAUACCAAUCUGAUUUGUCGAUGAAAAACCAUUCGUAGCUUUGUAGAGCAUUUGGUAAGACAAUUGUAAUAAUUGUGGAUCAUUUGUUGCUACCGGCUCUUCUCUUCCUCUUUUCUUAAUGAACGAGAUGAAUAAGCAAGAACCAAUGGAAGUAAGAAAAAGUAGACUAGAAAUUGUUGAAAUAACAAUCUUCCACUUAACACUUAAUCUCUUGCUUGAGUGUCUCGUUAAGUUACAUGAUGGAAGUUUAAGUGGAGCAAUUCCCCCACAAAGCUUGCUAUUCCCGACUACUGAAAUGAUAGUAAUAUUUUUGAAUACUCCUUGAGUAGGCACUUCAUCUUCAAAAUUGUUAUACGACAGAUUCAAAAGUCGUAAAAUAUUCAUGAGCUCCAAAAACUUUGGAAUUUGACCAGAUAAAUUAUUGACAGAAAAAUCGAGCACUUGAAUACCUCUCAGGGAACUCAAAGAAGAAGGAAUUUUUCCUUGUAGGAGAUUGUCUUGCAAGUAUAGAGCCUCUAGACUUAUACAGCUACCCAAACUAGUUGGGAUGCUGCCUGACAACAUGUUAUAAGAUAGAUUUAAAAUACCCAAGUUUUUUAGAUUCCCCACCUCGAUGGGAAGGGCACCUGUGAACUGAUUGCGGGACAAGUCUAAGACAGUUGACAAGGAGGCAAGACUGAAGAUUUGUGGGGGGAUGACACCAUUGAGAUUGUUGCUAUGAAGACUCAAUCGUAAUAAUCCCUCACAACUGUGAAUAGAAGUAGGAAUUUCUCCACGUAAACUGUUAUUGCUAAUAUCCAGUUCAAUCAAUUUCGUCAAAUUUCCCACAGAAACCGGAAUAAACCCAGAAAGUUUGUUGUUCUGCAAUUGCAACGACUUUAGAGACUUGAGGUUUCCAAUGUUGGAUGGAAUCGUACCUGCCAAAUUAUUGUUACUUCCCCAAAGCAAUUCUAAGUUGACAAGGUAUUGCAUUCCGCUUGGAAUAUUUCCCGAUAUGUUGUUGUCGUUGAAUCUCAGAUCCUUGAGAUCGCUUGACAGGUUGCCAAUAUUCAGCGGUAAGCUGCCUCCAAAAUUAUUGGCUUGAAUCUCCAGACUUUCCAAACUAGUGGCAUUGGUCAAAGAAGAGAGGAAGUCCAAAUC